CUCUCUGACCUGUUCGUGCACUCCUCAUCGACCAUCAUUCACGAAUCAUCACCGAUCGGCGGCCCGGCGAUCCUCACCUCGCACGUUUUCAGCCUCAGCUAACACCAGCCAGCCUCCACCGGCACACGUCGAUCGAGUCACACGGCCACACCGUGCCUCCACUUGAAGAGCUCAGUCUCCAGGUCCGAUCCCAGUCGGAACGCGGCCUAUCCUAUCAUCCCUUGCCGGGUCGAUGGAUGGAGGCGGUUGGUUGCGAGCUCCCAACCAACCAGGAGGGUCGGCCGCCGCGCUGUUUCUCGGCGUUCCAACGGGGUUGCCCGCACGCCACAGCGGGAAGAAGAGGAGAAGGGGCGGGCGCCUCAAGGUUCCUGGCAGCGGGGGCGCGCGUUGGCUGGAGAAUUCAUUGCGGCGGUUGGGGAGGACGGAUGGAUGGGUGGCCAGCAAACACCAACGAGCUCCAACGAACGGGUCAACUCGGAGGUUUCAACUUUCAAGUGGCCCAGGGCGAGCAAAAACCACCAAACUGUACGUGCAAGGCCACCGUGAUGGAUUUGCAAGCAUUUCUUUUUCUUUUUUGACUGCUGGGACAUGGAACUAUUUGUUUGAAAGUAAAAGGUUACUAAGAUUGGCAAAGAUGCAUGCGAUUAGCUGGACAACGCAGCAAAAUUCUUCAGCUCUCUGAAUUUGGGUUUGGGUGCAAGGAUCUGUGCAUUCACAAACACAAAAGUACGCGCAUCUUGUGAUGAGUCUACAUUAGAAACAGUGAAAUUUGGGGGAAAUGUAGCAAGAGAGAUGCAGUUUCUUGCUACCAUAUUGAUGCUGCUCUGAGAUUACAAAUGGUCCGCCCUUCGGAAUUGAAUCGGUCGGGGGCCACAUGCCAGUGAAAACUGUUCUGCUGGUACUGUUUGAUUAUUACCGUUCCCCUGCCUUUUUGUCCUUUUAAUAAAAUGAAAAAAGAUGACUAAUGUGGGGGCUCUUGCCAUUCACCUUCCCAACAGUGUUGAUGUGGUUGUCCUCCUGCCCUACCUGUACUACCUGUAUCUGUAUUGUCCAUGUCGCCUUCAAAGCAAUCAAGCCCCUCCCCCCUCGUGUGUACGCACGUUACCACAGCCAAAAAAAAAACAAGGCAUUGUCAUCUACAAUAACUUCAGUUUGUGCGUGGCCGGCGACAUGUGAGGUGAGCCCUGGAGCAACACAGCGCUGGACGCUUCCGCUUCAGCUGCGGACCAUGGGAGAGGAAACGAGAGCGGCUUAAAUAGCACUUCACCCCCUGAACCCCUUGCGUGUGCCUUGUUUGCAACAGCUUCUUGCAGGCUUUGGCUUGGCUUGCAGCUUCCUUUUCAAUCCGUGUGUAAGCUCACAGCCUCACACCAUAUCACUGUGCUGUUGUCUGUGCUGCAGCGCAGUGUGCGCCCAUCUCCAGCUCCAGGCCUUUAUAGCCUAGCCUUUUCUGGCCCCGUGAUAAUUCCAGAGAGAGAAAGGAGGACAGAGGGGUGAGAGAGGGAGAGAGAGCUGAGAAGGCAUGGCCAUGGAGAGUAGUGAGGAGGGAGCCACACUUUGUGGCCACCAAGAAGCGGCGGCGGCGGCGGCGGCCGUGAAGGGAGGAGGAGGGGGCAAGAGGAGGAAGAAGGGGCAGAGGAGAGGGGGAGAAGCAGGCGGGGAGAGGAAGAAGUACAAGCUCGUGAGCUACCACGAGCUGCCGGACUACAUGAAGGAGAACGAGUUCAUCCUCAACUACUACCGCUCCGAGUGGCCCAUCCUCAAUGCCGUCCUCAGCCUCUUCUCCUGGCACAACGAGACCAUCAACAUCUGGACGUGAGUAUGCGGUGGAUUGGAUUCAGUCGCAUCGCCGUCUCUUCUCCUCUGAAUCUUGUUGCUGGUGUUUCUUGUGGGUUCAAUUCAGGCAUCUCCUUGGCUUCAUGCUGUUCUUCGGCCUCACCCUGGUGCAUCUUGGCCAGUACUUCCCCCAGGUUGCUGAUCUGAUUGGGCACCUUUCCUGGUGAGCUUCUCUUCAGAUUCUGCUACUUUGUUUCAGUGCAAAUUGGUUAAUCUUGUUGAAUGCAUGGUCGGAAUUAGAAGUGCAAUAUGAUGCUACAGUGACACUAAGGAAGCACCAUAAAUUAUCCAGUAGGAUUUUACAUCAUGCCUAGCUUCUGGUUCAAGGGCCAAUGAUUGUUGAGUUCGUACUGAAACUUUUGUGCAAGUAAAUCUAGCUGUAUUCGCAGGUCUCACCAACUGAAUUUAAUUCUGAUACUCAACCUCGACAGCGAUAGUACAUAUGUUUGCUUCAGCUAUGAUGAGGUCGUUGAUUAAAGAAAGUAGUUCUACAAUUGAGAAGUUACUUAUACAAAUUCUCUCUCUUUGUUUUUACUGCAGGCCAAUCUCAAAGGUUGCUGAAAAUGUCUCCAGCAAUAUCGGGGAUGUCUUAUCGGUGAGUAACUUCCAUUUCAUGAAACAUUUCAUCCAUAUGGUAAUUCUAGGAGAAUAUACUGGAUUGCAGUAAAAUUGCCAUGGUUAGAAUUCUUUUUGCUACUUUGAAUGCAUCAACCUUUCUGUACUGGUCUGUUGCCUUUUGUUUGUUCUGAUGUGCAUGAUAUGGAAGGCAAGGGUGGGUGAGCUUCUGAUUGCUUGGCUUGAUGGGUAGAUUUAACUUUUUUUAUGGCGCCUUUUUUCUGGUCCCCAUGAUAAAAAGGCACAAAUGUGUUGUUGCUUCACUUCAUCACAACAAGUUUCCGUGAUGUGUUCAGAGGAUUGCGAUCUAGUGAUGUGCUCAUGUUCAUCCAAGUAACAUGACCACCACGACACGGCUCUUGUGUUGCCGCGGCUUUCUUUCCGGGCCAAAUCCUCGUGCUUGUCUACCUAUAGAGUAGCAAGACACUGUUCGAAACAAUAUAUCAUCAUGAAUAUUGUUUGGAGGUUAGGUGCGAAAAGGUCACGUAUUGUAGCACUCUGGGCUCGAUUUGUGUGAUCUUGGAGGCUAUGCCAUAUGUGUACUGAUCUUUCUUAUGAACCCUUGUUUCCUAAAGGAUUUCAUAUCAACCUUCCAUUUUCACUUGAUUUUUUUUACUGUUGAUCCGGGAUUGCAACAUACUGAUGCUUAACUGACCAUGUAUAGCAAGUCUUCAUCUGAAUUAUCACUUGCUUGUCAUGGCUUCCCAAAUGUCCAAAUAGAAUAUGGUAUUAUGGUUGGAUGUAGUAUUCACACUGUACUGUCACUUCGCAGACAAUUACUACUAUUUGGAGCACAUCGUUUUCAGAUGUUUAAUGGCAGUAUGUUAGAAUUUACUUGUUAGUUUUCGGUAACUGUCAUGCCAAUGGUUAACUUGGUAUUGUAGCACUCGGUUCAAUUCGCAUGAUCUUGGAGGCUAUGCCAUAUUUCCAUGUGAAUAUUAAUUUUUUCUUAUCAAGCUAUGUGGAAUAAAAUAAUUCAUAUAGCCUUCCAUUUUCACAUUCCUAAAUUGCGACAUGUAUAGCAAACCUUUCAUGGCUUCCCAACUGUUCAAAGGGCAGUAACCUGAUUAGCCAGAAUAUGGUUGGGUACUUGGGUGCAGUAUGUACUGUUAAUUCCCUGUCAAUCAUUCGGAGAACAUUGCUUUCAGAUGUUUAAUUCGAUGCUAAUUUACUUGUUUGUUCCGGCAAUAAGUGACAUGGCACAGUGAUUAACUUGGUACAUACACAUAUAUAAGUAUAUUUGAUUGAUGCAUGUGUCAGGGUGCGGCGAUGUUCAUCCAGACGAACCCGACGCUGGCGUCGUACGGCACGGCGGUGGCGUCGCAGACGACGCGGUGGCCCUUCUUCGUGUUCCUUGCCGGCGCCAUGUUCUGCCUGCUGAGCAGCAGCGCGUGCCACCUGCUGUCGUGCCACUCCCACCGGCUGAACCUGUUCCUGAUCCGGCUCGACUACACGGGCAUCGCCGUCAUGAUCGUGGUCUCCUUCUUCCCGCCCAUCUACUACAUCUUCCAGUGCGAGCCGCGGUGGCAGGCGGUGUACCUGUCGGCGAUCACGGCGGCGGGCGUUGGCACGGUGUACGCGCUCAUGUCCCCGCGGCUGAGCGCCGCCCGGUACCGCGCCCACCGCGCGCUGCUGUUCGUCGGGAUGGGCCUGUCGGGCGUGGUGCCGGCGGCGCACGCGGCCGCCGUGAACUGGCACGAGCCUGCCCGGAACGUGACGCUGGCGUACGAGGGUGCCAUGGCGGCGUCGUACCUGGUCGGCACGGCGUUCUACCUGAGCCGGGUGCCCGAGCGGUGGAGGCCCGGGGCGUUCGACCUCGCCGGCCACAGCCACCAGAUCUUCCACGCGCUCGUCAUCGCCGGCGCCCUCGCACACUACGGCGCCGCCAUCGUGUUCCUCAAGGCCCGCGACGAGAUGGGAUGCCCGGCAAAGUGACCGGGAGCUAGCGCAUGGAGUGGAAAAGGAUUCGUUUUGUUUACAGCGGCUUUACUUACAGUUACAGCAGCAAGUGUGCAAUAUUAGUCUUGUUACCGUCCGAUGAAUGACAGUUGAUUGGAAUUUUUACAGAUUCGUUCUCAAUUUGUACAUAGAAGAAGCUUAUGAUUGAGCUAAUAGAUUCUUUGUCGGCUUGAAGAUCCUGCAAAAUUGCAAAUCCAAAUGUUUUUCAUCAAGAGGUGAUGCAGGUAGAGAUACUACUGUUGCUUGCCAUUUGCCAAUGCCAAGCUUCUCGAUCGUUGCGUCACACGUCUCGCGUACUCUGUAGUGACGACGCGAGCAAGCUACUCUUCUCUUCGAGUACACAGUUGCUUUCAGGGCAGGCGGAGUGGCCUAGACGACGAGGCCCUGUACUGUACAGACGGAGAAGUCAGCCGUAGUCUAGAGAUGGCGCUCAGCCGCUCACCGGCCGGCUGGCUGGCCGGACUCAUAAAUGGCGCGGCGGACGACCCGCCCAACAACCGAAUGGACCUCCCGUUGCGUGCAGGCCGCGGCUGUCGUGCCUGGCUGGCUGUCGGUCCAGUAGACCGGCCGGCCGUCCAUUCGUGCCAUUUAUUCGCCUCGUUCGGCCACCGGCGGGGGAGCUUUUCGCCGUCGGCAUCAUUUCGAUCGUCAGCCGGGCCGGCGCGCCCAAGUGCCCGCCGCGCCAACCCAAUCAUGGCGCGACCGCGAGGCAUUCCUGCCACGGCCGCCGAGCUGGCCGCGGUGGAGUUGACUGCGCGCGAGACGGCCCACGGCGCAGGGCCCCGCCGGUCGUCGGCCUGGCCCCACGUGCCCACAUGCCGCCGGCCGGAGAGGACAGCGGCUUCACGGCGUUGAGCCGGAGACGGUUGCGAUGGCACGGUUAAGGGGUGGAACACCCUACUAAAGUUUAAAAGUUCAUAGCACCUGUCACAUCAGAUGUUUGAUGCUAAUUAGAAGUAUUAAAUAUAGACUAAUCACAAAACUAAUUGUACAAAUUGAGUUUAAUUCACAAGACGAAUCUAUUAAGCCUAAUUAGUCCAUGAUUUGAUAAUGUGGUGCUACAGUAACUAUUUGCUAAUGAUGUAUUAAUUAGGCUUGAUAGAUUUGUCUCGCGAAUUAGCACAGGGUUCUGCAUUUAGUUUUAUAAUUAGCUCAUAUUUAAUUUUUCUAAUUAGCAUCCGAACCUCUGAUGUGAUACUACUAAAGUUUAGCCUAGCAUCCAACUUCGGUACAUCCGUAGGCCGUAGCAGAGCCGUACGAUCUCAGGUUUUAUAGGAUACGGAUUUCUGUUCUAUUAUUUCUUCACAAACAUUCAAACAAGAUCAGUUGUGUCCUCGAAAAAAAAAAGGGUUCGGUUGUUCGACUUGGAUAACGUGGGCCGCUCUAAUCAAAUGAAUGGGCUCACUGUCACUGGCCCGUGUGGAGACGGAAGAAGCCUCUCACACGAGCACACGCACGACUCACGAGAGGGGAAGAGAGAGAGAGAGAGAGAGCGGCGAUGCCGGAGCUGCCGGAGGUGGAGGCGGCGCGGCGGGCGCUGCAGGCGCACUGCGUGGGGAGGCGUAUCGCGCGCUGCGUCGUGGCGGAUGACUCCAAGGUGGUCGUCGCGGCUGCCGGCCGCGCGGUCUUCGAGCGCGCCAUGGUCGGCAAGACCAUCGUCGCCGCGCGCCGGAAGGGCAAGAACCUCUGGCUCCAGCUGGAUGCGCCGCCCUUCCCGUCCUUCCAGUUCGGUCAGUGUCUCCGCGUACUAUAUACCCUAUGGGUCGGGUGGUCUUUGGCUCUUCGCUACUACUAGCUUCGGUACCCGAUGUCUUGUUGGUUUUUUGUUUUUUUUGAAAGCGCAGGAGGGGCAAGCCCCUACUGGAUAUAUAUUAAAAAAGGUAAAGAACAGAAUUACAGGCUAGGAGUUCAAAACGAAACUACACUAACAAAGAAAGAAAGGAAGAAAAAACUGAAAAUUACAGGGAUUGAACCCAGGCCGUCAUGCUGGAUGCCAAAGAUGGUUUUGCUCUCAAAAUAACUAAGGAAAACUCAGAGAUGAACUUCCUUCGACAAGAAUCAACUGAGGGGUCAAUGUUAUUGAACAACCAAUCAUUCCUCGCUGUCCAGAUGCACCAUGACAUUAAGAUGAUAAUUUCCAUGAAGAAUGGCACUGCCAGCUUUUGUCUUGCUGUUGUUUCGAACCUGUUUUAUUGUCUUGCUAUUCAGAAAUUGUUAGGUGAAAUGCCCCCAUUUAGUUCGUGCUCCUAUGCAAUUGUACAAAAGUUGCUAUGGUUAGUUGUGAUUUAUGUUGAAUUAUAAUUCUCCUUAGCAAUCACACUAGUUCUGCUGCUUUGCAUCUGUCUAAUACUGAGGAAGUGAGAGUUUGUAAGAGUUUUGUGUGGAUUGCAGGGAUGGCAGGUGCGAUAUACAUAAAGGGCGUUCCUGUUACGAAUUAUAAGAGGCAAGUGGUCUUCUCUGGUUCAUACUUCGCGGUUAUGCGAGUUCAGUAAUAUGUUGUUAGUAAUAAUUCUUCGCAUAUGGCUACAGAUCAGUUGUCAAUUCUGAAGAGGAGUGGCCCUCCAAGUACUCUAAAUUCUUUGCUGAGGUAACAAGCCCAGACACAGUAUAUCAUCAGUCCCUUUUAGCAUGGUGCCCAUGCUCUUAUUGGUAAUAUGCUGCUUUUGCAAUUGUGCUUGUAUAGACUAGGAAAUGUGAUGUGAAUGUAGCAAUCCGUGAGUUAAUCAACAAAGAAUUCCUUUUCUUGCACACUAUUGUUCGUUUGUAGCAUGACAUUCAAUAGAAAUGCCUUCCAGCAAAAUACAUCUUCAGAUGAGCCAAUGACUAAUCGUUUACGAGACCAAUGGACAGUGAUUGUUAAUGCCCCCAUCUUGCUAAGCAGGACUUGGGGAUCAACUUAGGGCUUGGGUUGUAGGUGAUGAAUUAGUUUGAUAAAAAUGAAUAGGCUCAUGGAUAAGUAACAAAGUCCGGGAUUUCCCAGUGGCUGAUCGGAUGUAUAGUUUGGAGACAUGGCAGGCAAGCUAAAAAACAUAUUCUAUUGUUGUUUAAUCUCAACUUCACCUAUGGUGACUAUUUUUUUGGUUGUUUAGUUGAAAGACUGAAAGAAAAAUUAUAAUUAAUGAAAUCUCAAUUCAAUGUCAUCCUGUCAAAACUCAAAAGUUGACUUGGGUAGUGUCCAUUUUGAACUCUGUAACCCUUUUUGCUUGAUUUACAGCUUGAUGAUGGCUUGGAGUUUUCCUUCACUGAUAAAAGGCGCUUUGCAAGAGUUCGUUUGUUUGAAGAUGUAAGUACUGUCACAGGUUCGUUCUAUUACUUUCUAUCUUACCAUCCAAAUUUACUCACCUUGGUAAUGCUUGCAGCCAGAAACUGUACCCCCAAUUUCUGAGCUAGGUCCAGAUGCUCUCUUUGAGCCAAUGUCUGUUGACAAUUUUUUGGACUCCUUGGGUAGAAAGAAGAUUGGAAUAAAAGCUCUUUUACUUGAUCAGGUGAUCAGCAUCUACCAAUAUAAGCCUUGUCUCAGCAAAAAAGUUUACCCUGCAAUAUACACACUUUGACUUGUUGCACUUAUUGUAAAAUGAGCAGAGCUUUAUAUCAGGCAUUGGUAAUUGGAUUGCAGAUGAGGUGCUUUAUCAGGUAUUUGUACAUUCUACAACAAUUGGUAUAGCUUGCAUAAAAGGUAGCAAUUAAAUUUGAUCUGUUUCCUUUUUUCAGUCAAGGAUCCAUCCAUUGCAGAUUGCUUCAAAUCUAUCUAGAGAUGGUUGUGAAGCAUUGCACCGAAGUAUCCAAGAGGUGCGUUAAACUCAGAUUGCUUUGAGGAACUGCAUUACAUUCUGCUGAAGUAGCCUUGCCGAAUGCAUAAGUCCUGACCAAGAAUUUACUAGGUUGUGAAAUAUGCUGUUGAAGUUGAUGCUGACCUUGAGCGCUUUCCAAAGGAAUGGUUAUUUCAUCAUCGUUGGGGCAAGAAGCCUGGUACAGUCAAUGGUGAGAUUCUUUUCGUGAAGUUUCAUUCAUCAUGAUUUUCCUGAAUGAGCAAAGAUUGCUGAUUCUGUUUUUGGUGUGAUGCUAUAUAACAAAUCAAACAUGUUAAUUCCAAUUCUUCAUAUGCAUUAUCGGAUUUUGAUUCCUUCUGAGGAUUUAUCAAGUUCCUGGCCCUUGCAGGAAAGAAGAUUGAAUUCAUAACAGCUGGUGGCAGGGUAAGCGCUUGUCCUCUCUUCAGUAUUAGACCUUUUCAUCUAGCUUCUGAUCUUAUAUCUACUCUCUUUACACAGACAACAGCCUAUGUGCCACAAUUGCAAAAACUGACUGGAACCCAAUCUAGCAAAAUGAUAGCAGCUAACCUGGAGCAACUGGCUGAGAACGGUGAUGCCAAGGAUUUAGAUACUGAUGGAGAAGAUGCUGAUAAUUUGAAGCCAAAAAAGCGAGCCGCCACCUCCAGAGCUGCCAGGGGACAGCAAAACAAAGAUACCAUAGGUGCCAGUUCCAGAAAAGCAAGGGGAAGCGGUGGUGGCAGUAAGAAACCAGGUACCCAUGUUGAGGCCGGGGAACUGAAAACGGCUGUCACUGAUAGCAAUGGCGAGCAAGGUUUGGACCAAGCCAACAGUAAUGCAGUCAAUAAAUCAGAUCAGGUUACAAGAAGAUCAUCAAGGAAAGUGAAACCCCGUAAGUAAAUCAGAACAAGAGCUAGGAAUCAAUCCAUUAGUCUUCAAUGGAAAUUUGGAAACAGCAUAUUGAUGUAUAUAUGUUGCCAGCAUAUUCUACUCAUUUGAGAGAAAUCCCUUGAAACCUGUAGGAACCAUUCGCGCUUUGUCUUCUGGUUCAUUGUAUGUAUCACUGAUUCACUGUAUAUGCCUGUUGGGUAUUCUUGGGGAAUUUGCUGUAGGGCCACAUUUGCCCUGUCCUCCUGUGAGUGCCGCAGCUCUCCAGUGCUUUUUUUUUUUUGGAACUAAAGCUCUCCAGUGCUAUGAACAGAAACAUAUAUGUCUAGGUACUAUAAUGCAUUGGUGUUUAUGUGCUCCAAGAUGCUAUGGAAGAGGUAAAGGCUUUUUACUUCCCUGUGUUUGGGCGCGUGCUGUUUCACAAUGGAUUUUCUACCUGCAGUAUACGCGAUUGUUUGAUUCUUCAAUCUUGUUUCAUUGCUGAAUAUCUGCCCAAUGAAAAUUUCUGAAGAUCGGUCAUUUUCUCAAAUUUGGAUCUACCUUAAGGAUGGUUCGGAAAGGCCGACCCGAGUGUCCUGGACCGUUGAAUUGAGAUGGAAAAGUAAGAUUCCACAAGCUUUUCUUGAUGAAAGCAGUAAGAUGGUGCAUGAACAGAGUUUAUAUCUUGUGGACUGAGAAUGAGAAGCCAGUCACUCACCCACCAUAUCGUAUAUGAUGAACUGAUGGCUGACAGACUGACAGAGGGGGCCAUGCUGAGAAUGCAUGCCGACUGGCGUUCAAGACUCGACUCCAAGUUUCUUUCUUCACAUGCAUGUGCAUGUCGUCCGGCUUUCGAAAGCUAUGUGCAUCAAGGACGCGGCGUAGUACAAAGCAGCAACUGUUGUAGGCCACAUGGAUCGAAACAAACAGCAAUCAGCUGAGGCCCUCUCCAACAGUAUAAGCCAGCAGCCAGCUUUAAGUCGGAAGAGAGAGAGGUGAAAAACAGGAGCAGCAGGUAGUAUUGGAAGACAUGCCGUAAGAGAGAAAUGUACUGGGAGUUGUGCGAGGCCAUCUCUGGUUCUAGCGCUAACCCUUCACUUUUGUCACUGUUCAUCGAAUAAAAAACUCUACGAGCUGCCUUAGAGCUGUCCGUUGGAGAGGGCCUGAUGGAUGGCAGGAUGGGUGCCCUCGCUCGCUCGCUCACGGCUCACGGGUGGCGUCGCGCCAAAUGACACAUGCCCUGCGCGUCACUUUUGCGCCUAUCAUGGCGUGCCGCCGGUCGGCCGCAUUAUGCAGAGCUUGCAGCUCCGGCCGGGCCGUCGUCGUCAAACUAUUCUCUAGGGUUUCGCGGAGACUGGUAGCUAGCUAGAUCCCCACGCACGUCGAUGCGUUGUCUGCUCUCAUGUGAGUGAGAGAUCGCUCGGACCGAGGGCCCCGGCAACAACUCGACCUGUGGCUGUGCAGUGCGGUGUCUCACACGCACUACUGGCAUCGAGAGGCCAAGCAUACAAAUCCAAAAUUCCAAUUAGAUAUUCAGAUCCGUGUACACGACAGCGCGUGCAGCAAAUCAGUCACCGACACCUCACGCUUUUAUUUAUCGUCUGCCGUACGAAAGAUGUCGUACUCGUGCAUGAUCUCAGUCUCACUCGAGAGUGCUAGAAUUAAGUUCCACAUCAAGCAAGCAUAAACCACAGGCAGAAACAAAGUGCACAAAUUAUUGGAGACAUUACGCAACAAUGUCUCCUAACUUUCUUCAUCUCAUGACCUCAUGGCAAUAGAGAUCAACCAUCAUCAACACCAUGCAUCUUGCAUGCAUCAAACUGAAAACCACACCACACAAAUAAUCAAGCUAGCUGCCGGUCAUUGACUGAGCAGCUUAAGAACGAAACCACGACAGAAAUUAAACAACCAAGCAUAGCUAGAGCGAUCCUCUUCCGGAGCCUAGCUAGGAAGCAGAUGGCAUCCUCUCAUGUCCAUCUCUCUUCAAACUAGCAAAGAAAUUAAACCCACAACAAAACCCCUGCAUAUUUGCACGUAGAAACACAGAGUCACUCUAGCAUGCGUAUGUCACUUGCAUGAACUUGUCGAUCAGACGGUGCAGGUGUAGCCUGGCGGCGGCGUCUUGCCGCAGGUGAGGAGGAGCUGGAGCGCCAGGGGUAGGUAGAUGUUGAUGUUGAGGAGCUUGAGCUUGAUGGUGGUGCAGAGGCACACCGCCGCCUCCAGCUCCACCAGCCCCUCCAGCACCGGGCAGCACUUGUUCACCACGGGGUCGCCGAGCCCGACGUGCACCAGACCGCCCAGCAGGUCCACGCACGCCCCCAGCUUCAGCGAGUCCGCCGGGCAAGUCGGCGACGACGGCGUCGUCGGGGUCGAGGGAGGCGGCGGCGGGCACGGCGUCGAUGGGCUGCCCCCGCCUCCGCCGCCGGGCGGGUAGGUGACGGGCGGGCCGGUCACCGGAGGCGUCGUCGACGGCGGGCCGGUGAUAGGAGGGACGGUGACUGGGGGGCCGGUGAUCGGAGGGACUGUGACCGGUGGGCCCGUGAUCGGCGGGUACGUCACCGGCGGGCCGACGACCGGCGGCGUCGUCGGAGGGCCGGUGAUCGGCGGGUAGGUCACCGGCGGACGCGUGACCGGUGGGCCGACGACGGGCGGGCGCGUGACCGGCGGGGCGACGACCGGCGGGCGCGUGACGGGGCCCUUGGGCGGGCCGACGACCGGCGGGCGCGAGACGGGGCCCUUGGGCGGGCCGACGACCGGCGGGCGAGUGACCGGCGGGUAGGAGGGGCCCUUCUUGGGCGGGCGCGUCACCGGCGACGGGUAGGAGGGGCCCUUGGGCGGCUUGGGGUUCUUGGGCUUGGUCUUGGGCGGGUGCGACGGCUUGGGCGCCUUGGGCUUGUCGCAGUCGCAGUCCACCUCGUGGUCUGCUGCGGCGGCUGGCAGCGAGAGGAUGGGCGUCACGGCGGUGGAGAGCAGCAGCAGCAGCGUGAAGAGGAACGGCGGGAGCUUCUUACCGCUCGCCGCCAUGGCUGCUGGUGGGUUGUGGUGGUACUAGAGGGCAGGAGUGUGCACUCUAGGGUUUCGAGGUGGUGUGGUUUUAUAGGAGAGAGUGAGCUUGUUAAGUGACGCCCGUGAGUGAACACUAGGGCGUCUGGCACUCUGGCUAGGAGUGUACUAGUGUAGCUAGGGUACUGGAUGUGUACAAGUGUGGGAGUCACUGCACUGACGUACUCAAGUUACUGUGGUGUGUGGACUGCAGUAAACUAACUUGAUUUACUGGCAGUUCAUCUCUUCGUGAUGAUCACGUGGAUGUGUAACAGUUGAGUUAGGGUGCAUGUGUUAUAUUCUUUCUCUCCGUCUUCUUUUGAUAAGUUUUUAGUAUCAAACUAACAAAAUCCAUUUGGGAGGGCUCUAACUCCGGCUCCUUGGAUGGCUUCUGCUGGAGCCCUAUCGGCUCCUUGGAUGGCUUCUGCUGGAGCCCUAUCAAAGGGCACGGUGGAAAACGGCUUCAGGAGGGAAGCCCCUGAAAUCCCGAUGACUGAAGCCGUUCGGUGGGGAGGGAUAAAAAAAUAGGCUCCCCGCGGCUCCUCGCGUUGGUGGACUUAGUUGCCCUUCGGUGGGCCCCACGAGGACGCCGAGGACUUGCCCCUAGGGCGCGGCAGGGCUGGUGGAUGUCGUCAGCGCGGGGGGGGGUCUGUGGAUGGCGGCGGUGGCACGGGCGCAGAGGAGCCAAAGAAGAGGGAGAGGCGGCGACGACGCUGGACAAUGGCGAGGCUGGAGGACGGUGGCAGGGAGCUGGAGGAUGGCGGUGGCGGCACGGGAAUAGGGGCUGGAGAAAAGUGAGAGGUGGCGGUGUUGUACGGUGGCGAGGCUGGAGGACGGUGACAGGGAGUUGGAGGUGGCGGCUUGGAACAAGACUGGAGAAAAGGGAGAGGUGGCGGCGUGGGCGCAGGAGAGUUGGAGGAUGGCGGCUCGGGCGUGGAGGAGCUGGAGGCCGGCAGCGGCGGCACAGGCUGGAGGACAGCGGGGGCUGGAGGGUGACGAAUGGAUAAAGAAGAUAGAGAAGGAGAGGGAAAGAGAGGGAAGAAAUAAUGGAAAGAAAAGAGAAAGAAAAAAAAGAGAAAAGGGUACUAUAGAUAUUUUACAUCUUUUACCAUCGAGAGAAGCUGUUUUACCAAACGUUUUUCUACAAACUGCUCCAUCGAAGAAGCCGCAGCCACAGCCGUUUUAACCGGAGCCCUGCCAAAUAAGCCUUAGUGUAGAAGUUAAUCUACUUGUAUAAAGCCUAAUAUGUCGUAUAACAAGAAGGGUUAUGGUAGUUAUAGGUUGACAAAUUUUUUAGGCCAAAAGAUUUUCGAAACUCGUUAUUCAUCAAUGAAACCAAUUCAUAAUGCACGGGGUCGAGAGAGGGACAAAUAAAGGAAAGGUGCCCCUGAGCCCCCUCAAAAAGAAAAGUAGUAGAAACUGGCCUGAGAAGAAAGUUGCACCAAUCUCAAAUCAAACCCAAUGGUAUGUUUCCUAGGAAUCAAUCUGUCCUCGCUAGCUCCAAAGUCUAGCGAAAUCCCGUACGCACACACAUUGCACAUGGUGAGCAAAUCAUGCACGGGGGACGCAGCUUGGGUGCCGGUGAAGCACUGCAGUACACACCGGUACAUCACGCGUCGUGGGAGGUAGUCCGGAGAUGGAGCGGGCCGGCCGGCCGGGCGACCGACCGACCAACGCUGCCCUUCGUCGUCGUGCGCGGCGAGGCGCGACGACGACGCGUGCGUACGUACUCGGUUCAUGCCCCCGAAUCCUUCGCCGUACUCAGCCGCUCCCACGAUUGGAUUGCUGCUAGCUAGCUGCCGAUUGGAUACGCCUGCAUGCACUCCCCCCACAGUUUGCGUGUCGGCGCCACGCGCCCCGUACGAACGACAAGCUCGUGGUUGGUGGGGGUACACGCCAUGGCCAUGCCAGCAUGCCGCCACCGUACCACCACCACUCCACUGACCGGUCGCCGCAGCUUCGUCGUCGGCGGGCGCGCGCGAUCACCCGCACGACGAGAUUCCGGCCGGCGCUCGUAUCCAGCCAGACACCCUCGUCGGCGGCGGCGACCGGCCCAGUACGCGUGUGAUACGCCUCAGCUGGUCCCUCCUCUGUGCGCGCGUGAGACGGUGGGAGGCGACGGACGACGCACACGCAGCAGCUUCCCGCUCGGCGGCCAUGUAUCAUGCACAUGCACUGCACUUGCGGCCUGCGCCACCGUACCCCAGCCGCAGACGACGGAUCGAUCCGGCGUCCGUGAGGCGGGUGUGGGCCGGGCGCGCGGACUGGACGUGGCCUUGUGCGACUCGUGAACCCGGCGGCCGGCCGGGGCCAGCGCGCCACACCCUAUCCGGUCAGCUAUCCUCUUCCGGUCAUGGCCAUCGCUAGCUGGCCGGCGCUAUCUUUUUCCCUCAUCGGCUCGUCCCCUUGCGUGGCCUGGCCAUGGCCGCCCUUGUCGCCUUGUCCAUUCCGGCUCUGGUCUCUCGCGCUAGUCUAUGGGCGGCGCGUCCGAUUGGACGAGUGGUUUUCCUUGGCUAGCUAGGAUCGACGCCGGGCGGCCCUACUGCAGUGCAGGGCUUUACGAUGAUGAUUGUGUUUGAGGUGGUAGAUUGCGCGUGAGGGAUCAAGAUGCAUCUAUUUACACGCAUGCUGAAUUGCUGAUGCUGAUGAGCAAUAAUAUCAUUUUUGUGAUUGUAUAAUGCAUAUUUGCAACAAUAUCAUUCUCAUUCGAACAUACUUUCAAACAUGUGUUGUGGUAUCUAAACAUCGACAGGCAAAUAGUUGGUCAGAUGUUCAGAUGUUAUAAAACUUGAAUAUUCGAACACGUACCUAUGUCUUUUAUAUAUAUAGAAUGAAAGAAAUAAAUGGACUUCCGAACCAAACAGCAGAUAUAACACAUUUAAUUUGUACAAUAAAUCUAACGAUAUUAUACACGAUCAAAUACAUUAGUACCGAUCGAAUUGUCUACGGUAGACAAUUCGAUCGGUACUAAUGUAUUGUAGAUUAGGGAUCCUUUAAAAUAAUCACUGUUCCUAUCCAUAUGUCUUAAUUUGUCCACGUGAGAGGAUGCAUGCACGGGGUACAUGUAUAUUUGGAUGUUUGCGUGGAAGUCCAAGGUUGGAUCAUAUCGAGAUGUGUCCUGCCUAAAAAUCCUCUUGUUCCCGUCCUGCUAAUUGCAACGGUGGCGCGGCCCAUGCAUGUGCAUUCGCCCCCGAUACGCACAUGUCUUUCUCGGAGAUGUGGGGGGCUGUGUUUUCAUGUCACGAGAUGGCCGUACUAAGAUAAACCGUGCGAUUCACAAGUGACGGGGACAAACUUUAUUCAUUGCCUGGAUAAACGUGUCAUGUCGCGUUGCGCAACUUGCUCGCCAAUUGGAUGCUCGCAACAGAAUUUAAACUAGUGUAUCAUUUUUUUUUAAAAAAAAGAUAAUACGAAUCUACUCGUCUAUUCGGUUUCAGAACGGCUGCAAUUGCAGUGCCCGGAUGCGUGGCCGCACGGAGCUGAACAAGUGAACAGAGCGACACGCGUGGUGGAGUUGUCAGCAGGGAUGGGUGGGCUGGGCUGGGCUGUACCCACUGCUGAAAUUCUAAUAUCACUCCGUGGGCUGCUCGUUUUAUUUCCUUGAUGAACCCCAAGCAACAACUGUUGGAGCCCAAAAGUGGCUGGGAAAAUCUGGUCACACCUGUUUAGACCAGUCGGACCGGUUUAGGAAAAGUUCUUAAAGUGCAAAUUGGACUUCAUCAUUGCGUAGAUCUCGUCGAGUAGAUCAAGAUUCAUAUAUAGAACGUCCGAGUUGGAGUUUGGAUGAGGGAGAUACGACCUUUGCAAGAUUUACACCCGGCCAGACCGGUCAGACCGAUUGCCCAGGCCGGUCUGACCAGUCUGGUUCUGUGUAAUCCGAGUAGGAGUUGUAAUUUAGCACGAUUUGUAUUAGGGUUUCGAUUCCUGCGUGGGGAAGACCUUCCCUCCCGAAGGGAUUCGGCCGAUUGAGAACAGAACCCAAUCGACAAAAAUCAAUCUACUAUUUUGUAUCUUUUCCUUUAUUCUUUUGCUCUAGCUUUUUCAAUCUACUACUUGCUGUUCUUCCUUUAUCUCGACGACGUUUGAAGGCGCUCUGGGUGGUCUGCCGAUCAUAGAGCAACCUUGCAUGCGCCUGCCCGACAGGAUCCUUCCCGCGCGAGCGUUCGAAGGUCUACCGUCGGCCUGUCCGACAACCGAUCAGACCGAUCCUUGUAACCGGUCAGACCGACCUAUGCCGAGGUGCUGCACCGAGCUCCAGCACGCGCCGCACGGUCGUAUGCGUUCGUGUGUGUUGGCCAAAAAAUACGUCAACAACAACACAGCAAGCAAGCAAGCAGCGAGCAGGAACUCCAUAACCCUCGCUAGCCCUAAGCAGCAGCAACGAGGUUGCUUGCGUGGACACGGCAGAUACGAUGGCGACGGAGGCGAACAAGGGGGCAACAAUCCUGCAGGAUUGGGAAUGCGACAUCGCCGACCGCAGCGAGACUCGGUUGGAGCCGAUGAUGUCCUCUGCAAGGUCACAAGAACGUAUGCUCUAUUUUCCACAAGACAUGCUCCAGUUCUGUCCACGGAGUCCCGUCGUCAGCAACGGCUCGGUACAGCUGUACGGGUACAUAGCGGCUCGUGAUGAGAAGGACGGCAUGCUCAACUACGUCGUGAAUUACAGCAGGGACGAUCCCAUCGUCGUGCAGGAGGGUUCCGCCAACGGGAUGAUCGGCCCCAAGAGAGGCAUCGAAUGGUGUUCCGUUGUUCUGGUAGAGUUUGACACGAGGAUCAAGAAUGGAACGCGAGAGGGUGAUGAUCAGCAGCUGAUCGCCAGUCGGCAGAUUAAGUUUGAAGCUAAGCUUUAUGGAUGUGCCAGUCGACGGAUAAAGCUUAAGCUGGCUUCUAUCUCAUGGUCCAAAGCAAUGUCCUCCCUGUCACCCGGGAUCAGGACUAUGAUAAUCAUGUUCGGUUGAGGCGCCAGGCAUCCAUCCAGAAUAUUGACAUAACUUGUGGUGUUUUGCUAGGUGCUCUUUCCUGAGCCAUUUUGCAUAGAAGCUUUUUCCAUAUUCCUCAAGUGAAAAGGUACCAAGAAAAUAUCCGAGCAAGAGAAAACCUCAGCUACCACAUAUCAUGGAUAACAGAUUUUCGUUCAACUGUGAUUUGAUUUGACAAACACGGUCGCAGAUUGGAUCAAAGGUUAAUUAUGAAAUUGGAGACAGUUAUCAUUAUCCUACAGAAAUUCAGGGAAAGGAGUAAUGAGGCACCACGUUUGCAAGACACGCAGAUAGGCUUGGUCGCAGGACUCGCAGCUGGGCUCGUUUCCGAUUUGGGCUGGGAGCUAAUGUGACUUGACAGCUCAGCCCGCACUCCCCCCCGUCCCCACCAGGACACCAGCAGCAGGACUACACAGUUCCCAUUCCGCCUCGUUUAGUCCCACCUCGGGAAACGAGAGGCGCGCAGCACAGCUUAAAAACUCGGCUCCCACCCUGCCCCUCGCCGAGCUCAGCAGCGCGAGCUUGUAACCCGAGCGGGGGCUUUGAGGUGGUGUGGACGUUGGCGUAUGGCUGCGGGCUCGGGCCGAUUGCGCUCUUGCUGGCCCGCCCGUUCCAAGUUGGUAGUGGGUCGGCGGGGUUUGUGCGAAAGCUUGACCUCACGAUCCAUAAUGCGGCAGGCACAGCGUGAGGCUGGCUUCACAGAGCAGCGAUAACUGCCCGCUUCCAACGGUGGAAGGAUAACGGGCCGCUGCGCUCUCGGCCCAACAGGGUCUCGCAGCCUACUCCGACGAACCACCAUCUUUUUUUUUUUGUCAACUUUUAAUCCUACGGGUGCACAAAAUUACUUUUACCCACACUCCCAUUGCUCGCCUAAUUGGUGAUGAGACACUGUUUUUCUUCAUUGAAUAGUGCCACUCUUCUUUUUUGUCCCUACUGCUUUCUUCAUUGGGCCUUGUUAAGAGAUUGCAUGAUGAAAAUUUUCGGAUGUCAUACGACAUUUGCAGAUUUACUUUAGCUGUGCUCAUAUGCUGAAACCUACUCGAAGAAAAAGAACUGGAGUUACCUUCUGAUUUAAUGAGGGGUAUAUGAUGAAAAUUUUCGGAUGUCAUAACGACAUUUGAGCUGUGCUCAUAUGCUGAAGCCUACUCGAAAGAAAAGAACUGGAGUUAUCUUCUGAUUUAAUGAGGGGCAUUUUGAUAUUAAAUAUUGUAAUUCCAAUCUUAAACCCAGCGUUACAAACAUUAGCAAAAGACUGGAUACACAUAUCCUUCUCCCAAACCUAUCGCUUCGUAUCACUACCCCAAACCCAUGGUGCAUCCAAAUGCCACUAAAAGGAUAAUCAACAUUGUGACUGUGAUCAAUUCACAAUCGAAACAAUUUAGAAACAUUCUGGAUCACAUUUUAAUUGGAGUAACCGUACCAUAUCACGAGUAAUCUGCCAAUGUUCUGAUACACACCACACUGAACUUGUUGACAAUGUUUGAUCUCAGGGCAAGGGCCAAGGAAAUAAAAGAAUAAACUGUAGGGCAAACUGAUGACAAGCAUCGACAACUUAACUUUUUCGGACAGAUGUGGAGUGUCCAGAUAGCAACAGAAUCACAGAUGUUUGCAAGCCCGCAAUUUAUAGAUUUUAUAGUACAAUAUGACACAGCAAAGUUUUCAUUAAGUCCACAGACCCCACAUGGUGAUGCCAACUCACGCUUAAGCAUAACAGUAUUUACGAAUCUACCAAAUAAGAGUAGCAGUCCGCGUGACAUUGCGGCUCAACAGCAUAUAGCAUGAAUCGCAUCUGCAAAAGAGGUACACCAACAUUAGUAUACAGAAGGUAAGUUCAAUAAAUCAAAAGUAUGAACCAGAAGCAUUCGCAUUAUGGAAAUGUGCAAUCAGAGAAGAAUAAUGAGGAAUACUCAGAUUUGCACACAGAUAACCUCACAUUUGCAGAGCAUUUAUGGCUUAUCGUAAACAAACCAGAGUUAACAAAUAUUAGCUGAGAAAAUUGAAAGUCUUGAUCACAAGUAAAUGAGUAACAGCUACUCAGGUAUAAAAUUCGAGCCAAAACUGCUUCAUACAAGACAAAAUCUACUGGCAGUGUGCAAAAUGCAAAACAUGCUUCAGAAAUAUAUUUGUACACCUAGGUAUGCAAUAUAAAUGGUAAUGCAUAAUCACUGUUGAGCGCAUCAUAAUAACACUGAAGGGGUACACCAUGAACCACACUACUUCAUCGCAUACUGCAAAGGGCUCAGCUAAUAAUGUGAACAUGCUAAUAUAUUGAAUAAUUAUAUCACUGGUACUGUUAGAACUAAUUUCAUCCCAACCUUAAUUUUGUGACUUCAACUACCUUUAACUUGGUAAGACAAACCAAUCUCUUUCACACAUGCUCUUACAUUCACACAGUGAGACAGUCAUAUGGCAGUUCUCUACUAUCAGAACAACCAGCUUUUUACUUAGUCUUUUUCUACAAAAUGGAGCAGGUAGCGGGAAUCGAACCUGCAUAGUUAGCUUGGACAGAUAUAUAUUCAUUGACAAGCAUCCUGACAUGAUAAGGUAAAGCAAAAAGAUGUGGCAAUAUGGAUCAUCUGAUAAACUCUAAAUGUGCAUAUUCUAGCAUGCCCACUGGAAAACCUCAUGCAUAAAACACCAACCAAUCAAUCAAACAACUUUACUAUAACUUUAUCUCUCAGGCAUAUUUAUGCACAUCCUUCAGCGAAGGAAAAAACUGCAACAGUAUGUAGGGGUGGUAAAGGGCCCUCUAAUUUAGCCUAGAAAAUUUAAGGAUCGGGCUCAAUAAGGGCCGGGUUGAAAUAAUAUGUGAUUUUGAGCUAAAUAAAUAUAGGGUUGAGUUGGAUUGUGAAGGAGACAUGAGGGCCAUGAUCCAUUACCACCCCGUCAGUAUGCACAGCCACACAGGUAACAGCACCAUCAACAAAUGGAUAUAGACAUUACACUGGAGCACAAGAUCAGUGUGUUUCAAACACUGGAAGUUCAAGAAGCAUUACACUAUUGUUCCCAUUAAUAUUUGCCAAGCACACAUGUAGGUUUUAUCUGGUAUUAGCAUCGUAUGGAACAGCUAACUAGCCAGCACACAGUAGGUAUUCAUGUGGUCAGUUCCUAAGACAAACGGAACCUGAAUAUUACAAGGAACGACAAAUGUGCAGGGUCUUCGAAGUCAAAAAUAUUACUGUGACACAUGCGUUAAACAACAUAGCCCACACGCUCGGAAUUAACCAUAGUUUUUUCAGGUGUCACGCGAAACUUCCAAGAUGCUACCCAGAGAAACUUCUAUCUAUGACAGUAUGAGAUUAGUUAUAAUAAUGCAAGUCCUUGCCAACCACUUAACCCCAUGAUGGUGGUUUUAGGGAGUGCUAUGCUGCUUUAGGCAUCUUACAUACUAAUAAUGAUCUCUAACAUUAGCUGUAACAAACAAACAACUAUACAGUUAUUUUAAAUGCCAAACACAAAGGUACCCCACCACUGAUAAGAUAUCGUCAUCCUUUUUAGUAGUGAAAGAUUGAAGAGAAGCUACAUCAUUAUUUGCCGAGUCUAUCUGCUCUAUUGUGUAACUCAAAAACUCUUAUUGUGACACUCAAAAACUCUGAAAAGCUUGGUUCUCAACUGAUACCACCACUUGCAAUCAGGCACAAUGUUAUCCAGCAACGCGAUCAACAUAGCAGUUUGCAACAAUAUUCAUAGGCUGCCGCAGAAAAACAUACAUUUAGUACGGGGGGGCUAGGAUCAAUCUAUCAUCACCUGAAAACGCUGAAAAGCGCUCAGCCGCGGGCCUUGAGCUCGGCAAGGCGGCGAGAGAGGUCGUCCUCGUCGACCUUCUCCUUAUCCUUGGCAGCAGGGAUGGCGUGCGCAGCGGCCUGAGGCAGGCCGACGGAGACCUCGAGCCCAUAGUCGUCUGCGACCUGCUGCAUGAGGCUGUUGACCUCAGUCUCGGGCGUGGAGAGGGAGGUGGAGCCGGCCAUGGCGCCCUCCAUGAACUCGGCCUGGACCUCCAUGUUGACGAACUGGCGCUCGAAAUUGUCCAUGGUCUCGGACAUCUUCUGGAGGUUCCCGGUGGCGAGCGCGGAGUCGAGCGACUUGACGAUGGACUGCAUGGACUUGCCGAUGACCUGCAUCUUGGCCUGCGUGUCGAGGCGGGCCACGACGGCGUCGAGGCGGGAGGCGAGGCGGAGGUAGUUCAUGUGCUCGGUGCGCUUGCGGAUGGCGUUCUCGGCGUAGAUGCGGGCGCCGUCCAUGUUGCCCUUCUCGAUCGCCUUCUUCACCUUGAGCUUCUGCUCCUUCUCCUCCUUCUCGCACUUGCGCGCCUGCCGCUGCAGCGACUUGGAGGUGAACUUGAGGUCGAAGAUCUGGUUCAUCAGCUUCUCGGGGUUCCCCAUGGCCGCCGGCGAGUGGGGGUCGAUAGGGCUGGGCUGGAUCUGGGGCUAGGAUAGGGUUUGGGGGAGAUCGAGGUGGGGGAUCGGGGGAGGGUUCGCGGCGGCGAGGAGGGGAACGAAUGGGGAUUUUGUCGAGGCGAUCGGAUUGGGGGAUUGGAUACGAUUUUGAUCGGGGAAGAAGACCACGCGGUUUGGGGGCAACACGGCUAAGCAACGGCAACGCGCAGCCGUUUGGGGGGAGGGACUCCGUGCGGUGGCUGCGUGUGGGGUCGUCGUGUGGCGGCCGUGUCCUGGACGUGGAUGGUAAGUCACGGGGUUCCCUUCGGCUGCGUAUCCACCGUUCAUGUGCAUCCAACGUUCCUUCUUGGUUGACUUUGCUUCUAUUUUGUGGAAAGAAUUCUUCAAACGGUGUGCCAUUGUGAAUUUUCACAGUUUAAUAUGCAUGUUAGUGAUAUUUUCACCGUUCAUGCGCAUCCAACAAGCCACCAAGGACUGUCAGAAGUCUAGAUACCAUCAGAAUUUAUACUGCUACAUAAAAUACUCUUGCAUAGAGGCUUCGUACCAGAAAUCCAUUUCAUUCACCUUUUUAUCGUAGAGGCUUUAGAGAGGUUGGCAUUUCAUUCCACGCUAAAAUUUAAUAUGCAUAUAACUGUGCUGUGAUAAGAGAUUCCGGUCUAAUAUGACAUACUGAUAAGUGAGCACUAGUUUAUCGUGUUAAUACUGAUGUGACUUAUAAUCCAAAAUUGCAUCACAGAUAGGAACAUCCAUUCAUACAUAUAGUAAUUAUUUUGCUAGGUCCAAGAAGUAAGAUGGAAGCCUGAUCGUGUUAUGAGAGGUCAAGUAGUGGUCUUGUCUUCUCUUCUGACGUACAGCAGUAGCAGCCAAGCACUGUAUACUUGCUAUGGACAAAGCCAUGUUGCUUGCAGCACUCGUUACGCUCGCUCGACAGCAUGCACAUUGCCACACAUGUUAUGAUGGCCUGUCGCCACAACCAGCGCCUACUCCCAUGUUGGCCACCUCUAUCUGAUCGUAUACAUUCAUAAUAGAAUUUGCUAGUCAGUUCUAACUGAUGGAAGGACUACAUUAUUAUAAUUGUAAUUAUAUAAGAGAAUAUAGUAGCUAGCUAGCUGACCAAUAAUUGUGGCAUACUAGAUCAACUAUAUGUGUAACUUACGGGAUGCAAUUGUUGUGAUAAUGUUCAACAGGAGGAUCAAUAUCGUCUUCCUCCCCAUCCUAGUAAUCUUCAUCACCAUCCUCAAACAAAUAUAAUGGAUGGAGCACAAUUGAUCGCAUUAAGUGUUGAAGCUACUUAUAUAAUGCUGGUUGAUAGCGGAAACAUCGAAAUAUGCCUACGUAUAAUGCAUGUAAGCAAGCUGUUAUUGAUAUACAUCCAUGGAUUACUAAGUCAUUAAUUAAUUUCUACUAGGAUUUAUUAGGAUUUGCAUAUGGAAUGAAUUGCUUUCCAUCAUUUCUUUCCUCACAGUGUGAUUCUACUAACUAUACCCUUGGCUCGUGCUCUUGUUCUUUACCUCACACUUUUUAUGAUCAAUAGGUGAGAAAGACAUGAAGUAAUAAAACUCAUGGUGUUAUCUUUGAUAACAAGGUGCCAACAGAGUUCUAUCGGUAAUGCGAUUUUGCGGAAAGUAAGACAGUACAAUCUUUGAAUGACAAAGAGUGUCGCAUGCUCGUGAUGGCUAGGAAAUGGUGCCUAAGAUAACCGCAACAACUUAGUGACUUUUUUGGAUGGUUAAAUAAAGAUGGUCCAAUGAUGACUUGGAUGGCAAAAAAAUAAGGGGAAAAAUAAUUUGAAGCAAAGACAGAAAAAGUAUUGUAGGUUAUAGAAUAAUAUAUAAAGAUUUCUCUUAAGGGUUUUUUGUAAAUUCAUUGAUAGAAAUAAUAGAGCUCUCUCAUUUCAUUGUUUCCUAAAUGUUAUAAAUUAAUAUGUAAACCGGUAGAACCGGUUCUACAUCAACUAAAGUGACCUCUUGAGGGAAGUUGAAGGAUGUACUCGGUUAUUUUGCCAUUCGAAAACUAGUAGGCAAAAGAGUUGCCUCGUGACUAGUGGUGAUAAGAGAACGUCCACUAGGGUGGAAGAGAAAAAAAGUUAUGAUAGUUGCAAAUCGAAUCAAGAGCUCUAGUAAAUCCAUGCUUGUGCGAUAUUUUGAUUGGUAGGGUGUUGCAUGGACCGGGUAAUCUUUUAGGCUAGAUGAGAUGAAGAUCAAGGUUUUUCUAGAGGCUUUUUUUCCAUAUAGAUUUAACAUUUCCUCUUGUGGUCAAUUAUAAGGCUAGAUCACAUGAAAUGAAAAACAUAACCUCUAAACUAUGAAUUGGACAUAUCUAUGACCCUCUUUCUUUUUUAAAAAAAGAAAUCUGUCAUCUUCACACUUUCUUCUUCGCAUAUCAUAACUUCAAAUAUAAUCAACGAAGGGAGUAGGCUUGAUUUGACUCGAAAAACUUAUGUGAAGGUAAAAAGAUUUUGAACCAAAUCAUGCCAAACUAGAAAAAAGAAAAAUAAUUGGAGCUAGUUUGGGAAAAAAAGAUUUUUAGGUACUACUCCCCCCAUCCAAAUUACUAAUCGUUUUGAUUUUUCUAGGUACAUAGUUUUCUUAAACAUAUAGGAUGUAGGGAGAAUACAAUCGGAAAAUUUAUAGUAUACUUGCUUGAAUCAUUUUGCAGUAAUCCGUUUUUGGAUAACUUUAGUGUUUAUAAGUCAACGUUCACUCGAAUACAGACCCAGGAGAGCACAAUCCGCGCACGAACUGAGGUCGGGACUCGGACGGCUCCGGCUCGGCGAUUCGGCAUCGCUGGACCUUCUUGCUCACCAAGAAGCCCAACUCGGCCUCCAUCAUAAGCCCAUCUCCAUCGCUACUACCCCUGCUCCGCUCCUCUCCUCGACGGCGACGCAUCCCUCCGGACCCUCCUCCGCGACCUCGCCGCAGCUCCGGCCAUGUCGGUGAGUGCCCCGCCCUCCCACGCCCACCGCGCCUUCCUCCCUCCCCCCCCGGAUCUCGAAUUCCUGACGGGUUCGGCCCCCGCCCCUCGCAGAUCUUCGAGUACAACGGGUCCGCCGUGAUGGCGAUGGUGGGGAAGAACUGCUUCGCGAUCGCCAGCGACCGGCGGCUGGGCGUGCAGCUGCAGACCAUCGCGACCGACUUCCAGCGGGUGUUCAAGAUCCACGACAAGCUCUACAUCGGCCUCUCGGGGCUCGGCACAGACGCCCAGACGCUGUGAGUCGCGGUUGCCGAAUUUCCCCCCGCCCGCCCCACGGGAUAUUGUUUUUGGUUCGGCGGCUUAGGGUUUUGGGUUCCUGUGCAGGUAUCAGCGGCUGGUGUUUAGGCACAAGCUGUAUCAGCUGCGGGAGGAGAGGGACAUGAAGCCCGAGACCUUCGCCAGCCUCGUCUCUGCGCUCCUUUACGAGAAGAGGUGAGAAUUUUACCAGCGCAAUUUUAGUGGAAUUGCGUAGGAUAGUGGAUAGGUCUUGCUUGGUAGUUUUUGUUUUAGUUCCCUGCCAGAUCAUGAGACAAUCCAUGAAAAAAUUUACUGGAUAUGUUGGCUGUUAGUAUAUAGGUUGAUGCUGCUUGAGUGUUUGGUCAUAGGAAGGUCUAUCGGAGACAAGAAAAUUGAUUUUAAUGUUGAUAUGUACUUUUGGGAACAGAUGGAAGUGAAGCUUUGUGAUCACACAAAUUUAUGCUAGAGUUUUAAAAAAUUCAGCCGGUGGGGAAAGACCGCCCCACGGUGUUGCACUAAGAAGAAGCAAUUCGUCCGACUGAGGAAAGGUCCCAAACCUUGGCUUCACCCCUAUUAGGGCUGCACUACAGGCCGGUGCCCUGCCACUAUUUCUUAGGGCUUGCCAGCGAGGGGCCUUUUUUUUUGUGCCACCAUGGUUUGUACCCUGGCCAGCAGCUCCCGCACCUGGGUAACUAACUGUUAUGCACUUAUGCUAUGAAAGUGUUGGGUUAUGUCUAAAGUUUUAUACCACUGUAUGUUGCACGGUUAGUGGCUCUGUGCUGAAUGUGCUUUCGAUGAACUACAUCCGUGUUGUCACCAUCAGUUGUUUCAUUUAGAUCCAUAAAUAAGUACAUAUUUUUCUGUGCAGAAGAUAUUAGUUUUUUGUAAUUGGUGAGAAUAUUCAACACCAUACUAUAUUGGUGUUUUGGGAUAAAGAACUUUGACGCUAGAUGCAUAUAUAAAAUUUUGUCUAGACUUGUCACUCCACUAAGAGAGUACUUCAGAUAUACUUUGUAUGCUUGUUAUGGUCAAGCUAUGAGUUGUCUAUUUUCUAUUAGUGAAUUAGCUGAACAUAAACCAACCUUGUAGAUAAUUUUAAAGAAGCCUUAUUACAACUAGGAUGAUAUGUUGCAAAGUUUUUUCUUCUUCAAGGAGGAAGGUGAAUAUCAUUAUCUGAGGAACUAGGGUAGGUAUGCUCGUAUUUACGAAGAUUCUGAUUGAUAAGCACCGGUUUUCAAGCCUUUUAAUUCGUAGUUGGUCAUAAAUUAGUUUUUGAGUUCCAGUAUUGAUACUGACUUACAGCACUUGGCAAUAUUCAUCUAAUUUUUAUCAUGCCACAUGAAACUUUCAGAUUUGGGCCAUAUUUGUGCCAGCCAGUCAUUGCUGGACUUGGAGAAGACAACGAGCCGUUUAUUUGUACCAUGGACUGCCUUGGUGCAAAGUAGGUAUCUGUUUACGUUGUUUUAACUUUUUGAAUAAGUGCUUGGUUUAUUUUCUGCUUGGAAAAUUGCAUUUUAUGGUACUAAUGAAGUCAUUUUUUUGGCUAAUGAGUCUCAUCAUCUCAUGCCACUAGUCAUGAAAGUUAUCCUGGAAAUGCCACUGGUCUGUAGAAGUUGUUCUUAAAACUAAUUGUUGUCCUGAAAAUGGCACUAACAACCAUGCUAGAAGUUCGAACCAGUGGCAUAAGACCAAUAUCCAAACAAGUAGUGGCACCAAAGGAAUGUGAAAAUUUCUCAAUGCUAUGGAAUGAAAAAUCCCCUCUGCUUAUCAUCUGCAUCCAUUUUACUGUGUUGAUAAGCCUAUUUAAUUUCUUGUUCACCUGGGUACAGAUUUCACAAUAAUUAGGGCAAGAAAAUAUAACAUGCUAUUUAGCAAAAAGAAAAGGCUUUGCUAAGAUAUAAUUCUGAUUGUUCAAUAUUGUUCAUUUGAUUCUCCCUCUUGACGCACAUGAAUGCAACCCACACAACGUGUAUCUUGUCAAUGAAUGCAUUGUUUUGGUCACAAAAUUUUCAGACAAAAAAUCUAUUGAUAAUCUGAGUAUUGGAACUUUCUCCUCAAAUCAUAUCUGGUUUCAAAUGUCAUUUAGGACAUCGAGACUGUAUCUAAUAUGACACUUUGACUAUCGAACUAUUUCCAUGAUCAUAGACACUCCCUGGUAUAAAAGUAGUACUAUUUAAAUUACAGCAAGUUACUAUGAAAGUAAUUUCUACAACGAAUCAGUAACAUCUACCAUCUUUUUGUCAAUCUAUGUAACUUUGUAUUUAGUAAUGGACAAGUUAAAGAAGUCCAACCAACUAAAAGUCUAAAAAUCCUAAAACAAUGUUUGGAAUCGGAGGAAGUUCGCUUGAUGAUAAUUUGUUUGUCCACCAAAUUUGAUAUCUCUUGUUCAUCUCCGCCUUUAUGCCUCUGUCACUGCUGUGUUCUAGUGAACUGAUUGAAGAUGUAUCUUCCUACGCAGGGAACUAGCCAAGGAUUUUGUUGUUUCUGGGACAGCAUCAGAAUCUUUGUAUGGUGCUUGUGAAUCCAUGUACAAGCCAAACAUGGUAUGCUCUUUGAUAUGCUUUAUCAACCUGUCUUCUUGAGAAGAAGCCAUGGCAUACACCAUACAACAUACUUUCACUUUUGUUUUGGGUCUGCCAUGUUUUGUGAAGUUUCUUUUCUUGGGCUGUACUGUUGCUUCAGUUUGUUCUGUUAUUAUUUUGAGCAAAGUUGAACGACAUCUUGUUAUUUUUCAUGACAUAGGAACCUGACGAACUCUUCGAGACUGUAUCUCAAGCACUGAUGUCAUCUGUAGACCGUGACUGCCUUAGCGGGUGGGGAGGCUACGUUGUGAUCGUGUAAGUUCAGUUUAAUGAACUUUCUGUUACCAGCUUAUGCAUCAAGAAACUAGCACGACUCUAGUGAUAUCCACCAUGUCUCUAAAGAAAUUGAUAGUAAGGAGCAAGGCAUUUGGAAUUAAUUGUAUCAGGGAAAUAAUGUCUGAAUCGAUCUACUUCAUGUGCUUGAUUAUCGAUCAUCUACUAACUUACAUGUUGCGCAUCUGGGUGCAGAACACCGACUGAAGUGAGAGAACAUGUUGUGAAGGGCAGGAUGGACUAAAUCAGCACCAUAGAAUUCUUAGCUGCUUUCCGAUGCUUUGAUGCCGGAAUGUUACCUCCGGAGUGUUGUGUUUGGAUUCUGAAGUAACACUGUAUCAUGACAGUUGAUGUUGCAUUCUCUGAGAGGGAACGUUUGUUUUCUUUACCCCACUAUCUUUGUUUGGCGAGACUUGUGCCGUUCAUGCAUGGUGCAUUUGAGCUUAAUGGUGGAAUACUGAAUCGAUACUUAUAUUCUGGCUGGAGGAAUAUAUUCUUGGCAGAAAUCACCAGAGUACCAGACUGUUGACUGAACGGCUGUGUCCCCAAGAUUAACAUAGGAUUGUGCAAAUUGACUUAUAAAGUAAACAUACGCUACUGGCUGCUUCACUAACAUGCAUGCCUCGAGCAAUUUCAUCUCCACUGAAGAUGCAUACGUGAUGCGUUUCUCUUCUUUCAAUGGAAAAGGGUGAUGCGUUUGUUUAACAUAAAAGCACAUUUUAGGCACGUUUGGAGGAGCUCCUCCUGGCUCCGGCUCCUUUAGACGGGUCACUAUUCAUCCAUUGUACACAUGCUGGGGGUUCUUUUCUCUCUUUCCUCCUCCCCCUCGUAGCUGCCGGAGGAGCUGGUAGAGCCACAAAUUGUGACUCCACCGGCUUCGGCUCCCUCCCCUAACACCUCUGCCACCUACAGUGGUCGGAGCCGGAGCUGACGAAACUUGGUCAAACUGACCCUUUAUGAAAGUUGCAUACGUAAUGCAUUUCUUUUGGGUAAUAAUUAGCCAUCUGUUAUCUUAUUAUUACUCAAAUACUUCUUGAAUACUAAUGGUCUGUUUGUUUAAGCUUCCUAGCAGAUUUUCAAUGUGAAAAGUUAGAAGCUCAAACAAACAGUGAAUUUCUCAUGUAGCUUCUGGAAAGCUGGAAGCUCGGAAAAGUUAAAUUUAUACGAAAACUUGGAAAGCUCAAGAAGCUAAAUACAUUUUCUAAAAGCUAGUAUUAACUUUUCAAAAUAAAAAGGCAGCAACAGCUUUUUAGAAAAGUUCAAAAGCUGCGGCUUAAACAAACAUUUCUUAACUUAUAUUGCCUAGAGAAACAACUUAAUUCGACAUUUCUUAACUUAUAUUGCCUAGAGAAACAAUUUAAUUAGUGCCUCAGAUGGAUGUGUGAACGGUGCUUCGAGAGACAAGGACAAUAAGAUCACACGAAAAUAAUGAUAACUAUUUUUUGAAUCCAUGUGACAAUAAUCAGAGGAUUAUAUUAGUAACAAAUUACAAACGGGCGAUAACAAGCAUAGCAAUCUAAUUAUCUAACUCAAAUCGUUGGCGAUAACAAGCAUAGCAAUCUAAUUAUCUGACUCAAAUCAUGGGUCGAGAGAUCAAAUCCAAACUGCCGCACCACUCCACGACCAACAUCAUUGUCCCUGUUUGUUUGAGCUUAUUUAAGAAUCGAUUCAUGGGCUGAGAGCCUGAGAGAUCCAAAUCCAAUCAAACCAAACCGCUGCACCGACCGCUCCACCAUCAAGCCAUUGACCAUGUUUGUUUGAGCUUAUCUGAGAAUUGAUUAAUUGAUUGUUUGAAAAUUUGGAUUAGAGAAUCUGUUGUCGAGAGAAUCUGCUUGCUGAUAAGCUGGGAGUUUGACAAACCUAAUUAGUAGUUGAUUAUCUAUUUGAUUCAUGAGUAUGAGCGGGAGAUGAUUUUAACAUUAUUUUUAAAAUUUGUAAAAUAUAAAUUUUGAUAAAAAAAUAGUAAUACAUUUGAAGUUAUUUUGAACUGGCCAAGGCAAUCAGCAGUUCAGCACACACACGGCGGUGGGAACAACCGUGGAAGGGACGGGACGGGGCGGACGCUUCCUUUGCCUGGCGUUGACAGUUAGAUGCGACCGCGGGAGCGUCCGUCCGCCACCGCGUCCGCCUCAGCUCCCCCUCGCCUCCUCGGGCUGCCUCUAAUCUCCCUCCAGCACUAGUGGGAAAGUUAGGAAUCGUCGGCGCAACGCCUCGGCAGAUUCGCCCGCUCCGAUCCCACCAUCUCCACCGCCGCCGCCGUUCCAUCCGGUGCGGCGGCGAUGGCGACGCCGUCGUCGUCGGCGGCGAGGGCGCGGAGGAAGGUCCCCAGCCCCCCGAAGCACCGCCACGACGGCACCUCGCCGCUGCCGCUCGGCAUGGACUGGAGCCCUCCCCCGAAGAGAUGGGUAAGCGCCCCCACCGCGAUCCCCCUCUCGCAUCUCCUGCUCUCAACCCCGUCACGCUGCCCCGCCCCGGCGCGAUCCGGCUCCCGCUCUGAUCUCGGAGGCAGAUGCGGUUCCCGCCGGCUGCGCUGCUGGGGGGCCGGUGAUCCCGCUUCCGGGCUGGAUUUGGUGCUGCUUUGCUCGAUUUCCGCGGGAUGUAGGUGUGUUUUGUCUGCUUGGGGGUUGUCGAUCAUUCGAUGCGGCAGGCGGUUUCGAGUUAGGAUUUCGCUGCAGCUGCGUUGCGCGUACUUGUAUGUUGCUGCCUGUGUCCAGGUAUUAAAUGUGCGGGUCGGGAUCUGCAGUAGAAUUCGCCGAGUAGAGCCCCACGCUGCUUGGUUGCUGAUUCAGUAGCUUAGAGCUUUCCUUUCAUUAGGGUUUUGGAUUUCUCGUUCUCCACUUGCAUGGAGUAGACCGCUCGCCGCAUCAUUUUACUGUGUGGGAUUGGAUGAGUCAAUUUCACGUCUGCUCAAUUGACUAGGGUUUUGGAUUAUGUUUCUCUUGUAAGGAGGAGUAGAUUAUGUGUUUCAUGGUGUGCUUUUGCUGAGACUGGGAUUGGAAAAAUCAGAAUGUACUCCAUCUUCAAAAGAUUGAUUUCCUUGCUAGUCAGUAGUAGUCUUCUGCAGAGUCUGAGUGAAGGGUCUGUAGCUUAGCUUACCAGGAACAUAGGUGGCAUUUGUAAUUUAGCUGGUUCCAGCGUUAAUGCAUGAUUUAAAUUUCGGCCUAAGUUGUGUCAGUUAUUAAGGUUUCUAGUUAGUAUGAUCAGUGGCACCUUUAACACACUUUUGCCUGAUACAAUUCUGUAUGCUUGGUGAGGAAAAUUCACUAAUGCGUAAAGCUGUAAACUGUGGCAGAGUUUCCAUGUAAAAGUGUCCAUGUUCUAAAGGGUUCCAUCAAGAAACAUUUCUUCUACUAUAUUAUUGGUUUCAGCACAAUGCUCUGAAACUAUCUGUUGGUUGACGCUUCUCACAGGCUUGUUGCCAAUUGACUUCAUACAGGAGGGAAGGAACACGGUAUGGCCACAUAACCCUCAAACAGGCUGGAGUUACUGUGUUAUGAUACCUUCUUGGAUCACUCAAACACCUGAAGCUGGUGUGACCGCUGACAGCUUUUUGAAAUCUGUCGUUGUAAGUACUGUUUACCUUGUAGGUUCUUAUUUCUCUAUUUGUAUCAAUGCAUGCCGUAAAUGACUUGAAUACACUCAAUUUAGUUGCAUUCCAUCUGCCAAUUGGAAAAUGGCAUGUUUCAGGGAUUGUCCUUGUUAUACAAUAAAAUAAGCUAGAAGUGUGUCACAAAAAACUUUUAUGAACCAAUGGAAAAUUGAGAAAAGAAAAUAUUCACUAUUUAUAAGCCAAAAACUGUUUUUUCUUUUAAGGUUGUCUCCAUUUACAACUUUUAGACAUCUUAAUAUGUUAUCAACUACAUUUUGGAACUUAGGUGUUUCUAAGGUAUUGCAUUGCCUAUUCCUUUUCAUUUUCUGUGAUGUGAUUAGUUGCAAUCAACAGGAAAAUGGCACUUAUCAUUUGUAUGUUGUGGAAAUCUUGACUCUUGAUUUAUCUAAACCUUGCCAUUCUUGUUUUUAUGUAUCUCUCUUUAAUGCCCAUAAAGGACAGUUUUACAGGAUACAUGUCGGUAUACAAUCUCCAGAAGGCUUUAGCUCUAGCCACGGAAUUCUCAGAAGGUUUAGUGACUUUCUGAAGUUAUCUUCUGAUGUAAGUUGAGGCACUUGUUCUCAUGUUGUUUCAAAUAUUCCAAUUAUUGCCAUUUGUUGUUCACAUUAUCUGAGGGUACCAUUAUUACUUACCGAUAAUAACUAUUGCUAUGCAGUUGAUCUAUGGGUUAAAAGAUGUUGACCAAGGAAUAAUUUACUGAAACAAGUCUUGAAUAGUGUCUCUUUUGACAAAAAGACAUCCUCCUUUUGAAAAAGAACAAUGUUUUUUUAUCACAACUAACCUGGCAAGCUACUCAGGCUGAUAUUAAGUUUUAGAAUGUGAUCAGCAUGAAGAAUCAAUGUGUAGCUCUAAGUAACCAAUUGUGUCGAUGCACUUUACUUAAGCAAGUUUUAGAAAGUCCUGUAAGAAUCAGUGUAGUUAAAUGUAACUAGUUUUGUUGAUAAUGAAUUGAAUAUGCACCUCACAAACUUACUGAUGUUUCUACUUGUUGCGGUGCAUCACAUAGAUAUGUGCUGUUCAUUUUCAAACACUUUCUGCUACAAUGCUCUUACAAGUUGCAAGUCUGUACUAGUGCUAGUUCGAACAAUCGUCCUUGCUGACCUUAGAAAAAUGAUGGAUACAUUGUUCUGAUGUUGAUAUGUUAGGUCAUUUUCUGUCAUUUUGUUUUGAUGGAGAACUUGAUGGUUUCUUGAAUAUGAUAUUCAUUAGCUCUUGAUAUAUUUGUAAUCAUGUGAUUUCUUUUAAGUUCAGUAUUUUCUUUCUCAUACUAAAAUUCUCCCGUUCUGCAGCUUAAGAGUGCGUUUCCCAGAAAAGAUGUCCCAUUGGCUCCUCCGAAGCAUGCUUUCUUGAGAAUAAAUUCAAGCAGGUUGCUUCUAGAAGAGGUAAGAUGUAUCUUGACUCGAUAUACUACCUAAUUUUCCCUAUGUCACCUGGAUGCUAUAUGUUAAGUAGUUCACUAUUUCACUUCUUAGACUUUGUGUUCUCAAACUGUUCUGAUUGCAGAGAAGGCAUGCAUUGGAGGAGUGGAUGCAAAAGUUACUUUCUGACAUCGACUUGUCCAGAAGUGCUCCUGUUGCUGCUUUUCUUGAACUUGAAGCUGCUGCACGUUCAUGUAUGUGCUAUUUGGUUUAUAUUUUCCCUAACUGUAAAUUAUUUAUUGUCUUAAUUGCACAUUGAACAUAUUAGCAGCGAAUUUAAUUAUAAUGUUGUACUACAUUUAGAUUUCCAAGACCGGAAUGGACGUCCUUCUGAAGCAGGUUCUUCUGCAAAAAGUAGUACUGACUCUUCUCCACAUCCUGAUGGACCUGCUUCUGGUUCUCUCGCUGAGUCCAAUCAAAUAAACGAAGUGCUUACUCGUGGUAGCAGUCUGACAGGAGCAACUGGCAAUGGUGUGCUGGGAGAAGCUAUCUUAGAUCAGUCCGAUGAUCAUGUUAGUAGUGUCUCGAAUCACAGGAAAGGGAGCCUUAAUUUUUUGGAACAUGAUGGUAGAAAUGGUUCGGCAUCAUCUUACAGGGGAGUUGUUUCUGAAGAGGCUCAUGAUUCUAAUCCUGGCCAUGCUCGCAAGGACUCUGCUGAAAGUAUUGGGAGUGAUUUGAGCUCUUUAAGAGGAAGUGAAUUAUCUGUUCCAGGGGCCAAUAGCUCCCUAUGGGAUGGUCCUGUGGAUCUACCAAGUGCCAUGGACGCACAUAUUAGUCAAACAGAGCAUCUUACUGGUUUAGAUAUGCAGCUUUUGUAUGAUGUGGAUGCGCAAGUCAUCCUUCCAAAUGAUCAAAAACAGAAGUUGUCUAGACUUUUGAUCACCAUGCAACGAAGAAUAGGGACAGCAAAAACUGAUAUGGAGGAUCUCAUAGCACGACUAAAUCAAGAAGCAGCUGUCAAAGAGUAUCUUACGACAAAGGUAUGGCUUUUCAUAUUAUUCGUUGCUUUAUGAUUUGCGUGCAUCUAGCUCUACUUAGUAUUACAGGUUCAUGCUUAAAAACAAAAUGCGCUUUCAGUUUUCAUGUUGAAUAAGAUUGUAUGGCUUCAUUACUUUUGUGCAUUCUUAGUAUUCAAUUCAUUAUUUCUGUGCAUCAACCAUUCUGUGGAUUCUAGGCACUCUGUUUGGUAUUUAUGAUUUCGGAUGUAGGUUAAAGAUUUGGAGGUUGAAUUGGAAGCCACAAAGCAAAAAGGUAGAGAGACACUGCAGCAAGCUAUCCUGGCCGAAAGAGAGAGGAUUACACAGAUGCAAUGGGAUAUGGAUGAGCUUCGCAGGAAGUACUCUGAGAUGGAGUCAAACCUGAAGGUUGAACAAGUCAGUUUUCUUCGCUGUUCUUGUGGCCUGGUUAUUUUAUUAGCCAUAUGAAAGUACUGAUUGUCUCACGCUAUAAUGUGCAGAAUGAGAAAACUCGUGUAGAGUCAGAGAAAACAUCUUCUAGCGGUGAAAAUGAAACACUACUUGAAGAAUUAGAAAUGAAACAAAAAGAAGUUGAGAGUUUGAAACAGCAUCUUGGAGAAGUUGAGGCAAAGUCUAAAGCAGAUAUAAAGGUUCUUGUCAAAGAGGUCAAGUCUCUUAGAAACUCCCAAAAAGAGAUGAAGAAAGUGCUGCAUCAGUAUAUUGAGGAGAAGACUGAUUUAGAGGUAUAGUGACACCUAGUUCCUAAAUGAUAACCCUCUAACAUAGUUGUAGCAAUGUCAUUGCUUGUUUUCUAGCAAUACCUGUUUGCUCUUCUGACAGCAUAUUCAACAUUAUUAAUGGUUUGCUGGACCAAUGUGGCUAACUGCCCUUCCUUUCACUUGUGUAUCCUGCAUGCCACCUACCCUUGAAACCCUGGAACUUAACUUAAUCCUAUAGAACUGUUGCUGUUUAAGCUUGGUGACCUUUUCAAGCUGUUACACCCACAAAGCUAGUAGAUGCAAAACAUCCUGGCCUUUUGCCUUUCCACUACACAUGGAUUCAUCCUACAGUUCAUCUGAUUUGGGAAGACUAUCAUAAAACAUUAUGCAUGCUAGCUGAUAAGAUGAUCUAGCAUUAAAGAAUAUGAUUAUCUUGAUCAACGUACACAUGAGCCUUUUUUUUUAUCUCUAUGUGUUUCGUUUUUGUCAAACUUGGAUGGAUAAAAUUGUUCUAUCAAGGUAGGAAGAGUAGUAAAGGCUGUAUUAGAUAUGGCUUGAUGUACAAGUGUACAACGUGUAUAUACAUGUGUACAGAUACAUGCAUACAUGUCUAAUAGGAUGUGAUUGUUCUUAAGAUCAACACAUGCACGGACACUUUGUUUUAUUUUGUUAUCUCCAUGCGAUUCCUCUUCUCAAGCUUUGAUGGAUAAAGCUAUGAUCUAAAAGGAUUUCUCCUUGUAUGUGCCUGAUUUCUGGGAAUUCGACUUCAAUGCUGCUUCUUUAUUUACUUAAGUUCAUGAGCUGGAGAAAGGGGACGAGUCUUUUUAUGCAUGCUAACAUCUCAAAUCAAUUAAUUGUUAUGAUUUUAUUUUGGUUUUCCUUAAAUCCAAGCUUCUGUGCGUUUGCAUCUCUGUAAUUUCAUUUUUUGCAUUCAGUUUUUAAUGUCUUUAAUUGUACCUUUUUUGGGUUCCAGAGGGUUGUUAAUAGAGAGAAGCAGCGGUCAACACGCUUGAGGUUAUCCCGAGAAAAAAUUCUUCACGAGUGCAGACUGCUGCGUGAGCGUCUACAAGAAUGUAGUGCUAAAUUUCUAGCAGAAGAACAAGACAACUUUACUGUUGAUCCAUCGUCCUUGCCUGAUGCACUAGAUCUUCUGGCAACAUCAGACAAUAGAAUACGGCUACUCGUUGCAGAGGUAAAUUUUAUAAAUGUUAUGGUAGACUAAUGUCAUUUAUUUCCUGUUUUAAAUGGUAUGUUAGACUAAUGUCAUUUAUUACCUGGGCCUGCUUGGCCAAAUCCUAGUUUUAUAUUCUUAGAUAGCAACCAAAGUUAUGUUUUCUUUUUCUUCAAAAUAAGAAAAAAAGAUUUCCCCCCUAUCGAAAGUAGAAUGCGAUUCAAAAAUAUGAGAAUUGUGAUAUAUUAUCCUAAAAUAGUAACAGGGAGACACGAUUAUGUAGCUCAGUUUUUGUUGUCAUUUGGAAUAUUACUGCAAUGUUCCCUUACUUCAGCAUUUAGAAGAUCCUGAACUCUCUCCCUCCAUUUGUCCCUCUUUCUUGUGAAAUACUCGUAGCUUAGUUUCUGCAUUAUUUUUGAAGCUAAGAUUGUUUACAGUGUUUUAAAACUGGGUGUAGUAUUUUUGAAGCUAAGAUUGUUUACAGUGUUUUAAAACUGGGUGUAGCUAGGUGAAGUUGGAUAAUGUAAUGUCCCUACCAAUAUCCUAGUCCUAGCUUUAGAAUUAUUAAGAUGAAGUUCACCAAAUCUAGUUCUUCAACAAAGGUUUACACUCUGAGUAACUCAGGUUUGGAAUUAUGUAACAAUGGUCUCUUUAUAGAAGCAGCAGUAGAAGCUAGUUUCUCUUGGGUUCUGAGUUCGGAGUUUGAGCCACAUAUAAUAAUAUUUACCUGGAUCCUCGAGUCGUUUUAUUUAAGGUGUAGAAUUUUGUUCACUCCUGAAAAUAAAUUUCAUGGGGUCUGCACUCAACAUCAGUUUUUAAAUUUACUUUCUAUUCACUCCAAUGGGGUUAUUACAUGUGCGCUAAUCUAUGCUCUGCAUUGAUUCCUCCAGGCUCAACUUCUAGCACGAGAAGAUGAACAAGGCUCUUCUGAUGAUGGUGACAAUUCUGAUAGUAUAUCCUCAUUAACUAUGGGCAGCGAAGAUGCAAGUGUUACUGAUGAAGAUACAACUAAAAUGCUGUCUGAUCUGCUUAUCGAUAAUGCACAGUUAAGGAUGCGUCUCAAUGCUGUCAUCCGCAACGCUGUAAAUACUGCCGUGAAGCCAGAGAGAGAAGGUAAUGGUGAAGUUCUCCCUAAGAGGACCGUCCUCAACUGGUUGUUAGACAGAUGAGAUCAUGAGAACUUCACCGAUGUAUAUUCUUGUGAAUUAGAUCCUGAAACCUUAUGCGGCUUGACCAAAGUUAUAGUGAUGAGCAUUCCUAUAGUGCUGGAGCAGCCUCAGGAUAAAACUUUCCCUCCAUGCGGGGAGCCUGGAAGCCUGUCUUGCUGUUGUACGAUUGUUUAUUUACAUGGAAAUCACGGAGGAUUAGCAUAUUUGGCUGGAUUGUCACCUCGCAUUCGUGUUGCGAGGGGCCGAGGUCAGCAAGCUUGCUGAGCUAUCGAGAAAGCUCGCAACUGGGGCGAGGCUGAUGGAGAACAUAAAGAUUCCCCAUUUUUGCACCAUAUAUGUAAUUAAAAGCUGGUGAUGUCUGUAUCAGCUUGGGUAUCAGCUUGAUCUGUAUCAGCUUGAUUAAAAGCCCCUCCCCUUCGCUCUCACGCCCGCACUCCACGGGAAAAAUGGGACGCGUGUCGUGCAGACGCGGCUCCAUAUUUGGCUGUUUCUAAGAAUCGCAACUCAGCCCAGGCUUUAGUUGCUAAAGUUGUGAGGUGCCAAAUUACUGUUAUAGCACUGUAGCACACUGUAACGUUUCGUUUGUAUUUGUGAAUUAUUGUCCAAACAUUGACUAAUUAGGCUCAAAAGAUUUGUACAAUAAAACUGUGCAAUUAGUUUUUAAUUUCAUCUACAUUUAAUGCAUGUACUGCAAGUUUGAUGUGAUGGGGAAUCUUCUUUUUUUGCAUAGUGUCAAAGUUGGGAGUUGAGCUCGUCCAGGUCGUACCGAAAUCGCGUUCGGAUUAUUUUCAAAUAAACCCUACUAAAAUUUUAUUCUACACGAAGAAGGGAAAAUUCGAUGACGCUGUCAUUUUUGCAAAAACCCCCCCGCGAGGCACUUUUUCGAAAACCCCCUCCCGACUCCCUCUCUCCUCCUCCCCGCCGCCGCCCUCUCUCUCCCUGCUCUCUAGCUCUACGCCGCCACCUCCCCUCCCCUUCUCCCUCUCCACCUACCUCCGCUGCCCCUCCCCGCCGCUGCCACUCCCCGCUCUCCGCCGCCGCCGCCACCCCGCCCACUCCCGCGGGAUCCAGAUCAAGAUCCAGCGCGGGGGCGUGGCUCGGUACGGGAGGAGGAGGGAGCGAGGGAGGGCGCGGUAGGAGACCCCGAAGGCGGCCGCCGUGGGGUCAGGUGGGCCCCGGCGGUGAGCGAUUGGAUGUGGUGGCACUGCUGCGAGGCCACGCUGCCGACCUGGCCUUCUUCGCCGUCGAUGGCGUCGCCUCCAAGGACCUCCGCAUUGACCCCAACUCCUCGCUCUCCGUCAGCGUAUUCCUCCCCACGCCGCCGCCGCCGUCCCCCCACGCGCACCUCCUCGCCCACCUGCGCCGCGCCAGCAACCCCACCCCGGCCCCUGCCUCCAACGGCGCGCCGUACCGCGGGUAUCUCCCGCACGUAGUCCUGCUAGUUGGGUUGUAACCUAGGUUAUAACCCCACCAAUCUAUUCUCACAAGAAAAUAAAUAUAACCCACCCCAAACCAAACCUCCACCAUCACACACCACACCACCCUAAACUUUCCAUUGCAUAAGUUAUACAAACUGCUUGCUGAAUAUGGUUACAACCAAUAAGAACCCAUUAGGUACCCAAUAAAAACUCAUUAGGUAGUUUUUUUGUUUGAGUUUGUAUGCAACUCUUGACAGAGGGUCCACAUGUAAAUCUAGCCACACUAUUUUGCACAAAGUAUUGGACUGUCAAACUAAUUCAUCUGCAACAAGUUUCGGUCAAUUUCUCUAAAAUUUGAAGGUGUGAAUGCGAGGUUUUAGUUUUAGGGUCCGACUCUUUGACGCGGGGCUCACAUAUAAGUCCAGCCGCACUACUUUGCACAAAGUAGCGGACUAUCAAGCUAAUUCAUCUGCAACAAGUUUCGGUCAAUUUCUCCAAAAUUUUAAGGUGUGAACGCGAGGUUUUAGUUUUAGGGUCCGACUCUUGACGCGGGAUCCACGUAUAAGUCCAACCGCACUACUUUGCACAAAGUAGCGGACUGUCAAGCUAAUUCAACUACAACAAAUUUCGGUCAAUUUCUCUAAAAUUUAAAGGUGUAAAUACGAGAUUUUAGUUUUAGGAUCCGACUCUUAACAGGCGAGGUUCCAGGCUUUUGAAUUCUUAACGGGUCUCAACCCACGGGUUGAGAGCCUUUUGGACCCCAAAACAAUACCAGAACCCCAAACACCCUCCAAACUAUCUAUUUGUGAAAUCUAACCCAAACCAAACCAUUUAUUAGGCGAACCCAUUACAAAUCAAUUCAAAUGAGCUCAUUAUAGAAACCAAACCAAUAAAACCAAUAAACCCAACCCAAUUAAGGCUACCCGCACGCCGUCUCCUCGCCGCGCGCCCCGGCCUCGGCUCGCGCUCAUGAGGGGACCCAUCUCCUCAACCAGCCCCACUCACAUUCGACCAACGCCGCGGUAUGCUAGGUCGCGUCCGCCGCAUCAAAUUGCUGCUCCAGCCGACCGUUCGACCCCCACAGGUACGUCGUCUUCAUUAGGCAGUGUACUUAUACUGAGCUACCUCUUGGUUGGUUGAGCAGUUGUGUGAUAACUUAGCAUUGAUGUUGGCAGAUUUGCCCACUAAAACUGCACGUAGAGCUUGAGUAAUUAAGUACUGGGACAAGCCAAGAUAGAUUGCUGAUAAGAACAACUUUCGUAAAUGAUUUGAGAUAUCGUUGACUUUAUUUUGUCUUUGCAUAAUUGCCCUUUCCACAUGCAUGACAGGUGUUUGAUGUAUUUCCCCUUUAGUAAAUUGUUGCUUUUAACUGAAUAAUAGGCUUGGCAAUAUGCUGUGCUCCACUUUUACAGUUGUUUCCUGCCUCAAUAUUUUUACUCCUGUGUUCAGAACAUGCAUACAGAGAAAAAGUUUGUCCUGUGCAGUUUGGGUUUGAAAGAGUGCCAUUACUGCAAGAAUACUGGUUUGAGUGACUUUUAUGGUUUCUAGAGUUGGAAAUACAAGAACACUGGAUUACUAAAUCUUUUGGAAGAAGUAGAAAUGCAGUGCAUUCUAAAAAUAUAUAGGAUAACCAUUAGUUUUUUUGGGUAGAUAUGUCUACGGCAGCAUCAAUUGCCUGUUGCAACCUGGUAGGUUGUUUUGAUGCUGAAAAAAUAUCCAAGUAGACCAGUGUAGGAAAUAUUAUGGGCACCCUAGGCGUGGGAAAAGCAAAGUGUCGGUGAGCUCGACCAAUGCACACCUCUCCUGUUCUAUGGCGGCUCUGUCCCACCUCUGCAUCACCUCUCAUUUAGCCAUGGCUUGGAAGUUCAGAACUUUUGACCAUACUUGGAAGUUGGAACAUGUUCUUGGACCAUUCCUACAAAAGGGCUUGAAUUUAGGCCCAUGUUAACUAAAACUGAAGCAGUUAUAAAAAGAUGUCGUAUUACCAAACUGAUUAUCUGAUUAAUAUUUACAUUGCAGGUUGUAGGAAAGAAACCGGUGGAAACCAACAUUUUUAUCGAUCAAGGUGGUGAGUACCGGUGGCACUGGAGGACAAAUAUCAGCCAUGGCUUCCUACCAACCUGCUCCUAGGAGCCAAGGUAUUGCUGCUAUUGGCUCAUACAAUAUAUAAUAAUUGAACUGUUGGAUCUUAUGAUAGGACAUGUGUUCUCUUGAUUCGAAUUUGACAGUUUCUGAGAUCAAAUAGCUCAUUCUUUCAAUUGUGCCUAUUUGUAAUUUAGCCGUUCAGUGGAAGAAUGGUGAAAGCCUACAAACCGCAGCAUCAUGUCUUGCCUGCAUCUUGGCUCUAUGCUUAUAAAAGUAUCUGUCACUACUAUUGCUAUUCCUUUUCUUCAAUUGUUUUACAGACUACAGCAACUCUGUGUGCUCCUCAGGUAAUUGCAAAGCAAUUUGAGAAUCUUGCAUGCUCAUGCUAUCCUAAUGGAAUAUUUAAAUUAAAGAUGUGGAAUUGCAUGGUAAUUCUGCAACCAAGAUACAGGAGAGCACUGCAAGAAAGAGGUUCGCGUCGCUAACAAAUAGAUUCUUUGCUUGUUUUGUGUUGGCUGAUGGUGAAAACUGAAAAGCUAUGCAUGAUGAUCUGAAACUGUUGUUCAGUUUUUCUGUGACAAUCACCUCUUCAUAUAUAGUUGUGCCGCUCAUUGAGCAUUGGAUACUUUUUAUUUCUUAUUGUCAUAGGCUAUUAGGCUUGGAUGUUAUUGAGCAUAGAACUUAUAUCUGUACUUCUAGGUCCCAUCCAUCCCCUAACAAGAAAAUUGCUAAGAAGCUAUUUACUGGUGAAGAAACUGGAGAUGGCAGUGGUGGCAGUGGCAGCGGUGCAGCCACCUCUGAUCAGAACAGGUACUUAGCUGUAGGCAUAUUUUCUCUUACACAAGUCAUCCUGCUUUUAGAAAACAUUCAGGUAGCAGAUCAUUUGAAAGUUUCUAUUACAUCUCCAUGACACAUGCUAUAGAAUCGCCUGUAUUAGCAAUGCAAUUUCUGAAUUGUUUAUUUACCACUUUUGUUAUCUUGCAGUAUAGAUCACAAGAUUGGUUAUGCUAGAGUGGUGUGGCAAUUAUAAAGUGCUUUAACUAUUACACAUGUCAUCCUGUUUUUAGAAAACAUUCAAGUAGCAGAUCAUUUGGAAGCUGUUGCUGUUACAUCUCCAUGACACAUGCUAGACAUUAAAUAAUUAUCCUUUUGCAGUCCAAGCAAAGGAUGCAUGAGCAGUGAAGCUCAUGUUGAUUUUGUCUCUUACCAGUUGCGGCCGACUUUUGUGUGCCCCUUGUCUCCGGUGAGAAGAGUCUGAUGCAUGGGAUCCAGACAUGGGAUCCAGAGUCUGCAUCGACCUCUGCCUGCAAACUGUGUAGCAUGGUGAUUAGCUUUUGCUUUCAGUUAGUAUUCAAAGCUACCAGCUAGGUUGUUUGGUAGCCAUGCCUACUUGCUGCAUGUAGAUUUAUGGUGGUCGGAUGUGCUAUAAUAUUGAUGCUCCAAAUGCCAGACACCUAAUGGAUAUGAUAUAUUGGUGCUCGGAUGUAGCCAUGGUGCUCGGAUGUAGCCAUGGUGUUCGGAUGUGCUGUAAUAUUGAUGAUUGAGAUGCUGGACAGACACCUUAGGGAUAGGAUAGUCUGGUGCUCAAAUGUGCGGUAAUAUUCAUGAUUCAAAUGUUGGACAGACACCUAUGUUAGCAUGUUGAUGAUGUGCUUGGUACCGUAUUCGGUGGUUUCGUGUUGAUUAUUUAUCUUAUACCAUGCAUGUAGUUUGUCGCAUUUCAUUGCCUUAUUGUUACUUGCAUUUGAUUGUUGAAAUGGUAGGGCGCACAUCGCGCCGAAUGUGCUAGUAUGUACAAAUGUUUCUGGCUGUCAGCCGGUGAAUCUCCAGCAGGACUAUACACAGUGAAAUCACCUUAGACCAAUCUCUCACUUGGACUGUUCAAGUGUCAAUUCUAUAUCUUUGUUUCAAGGAGUGUUCUAAAAGUGUGUUAUUGUCAAUGGAGCACUCCACUGUCAUCCCCUGCAAAAUCUGAUCUGUUCCUUGUGAAGUAUCUGCAUAUUUAUUCUUAUGAAAUUAUUACGUCCAAAUGGGACCGAAAAUCCUUUAAGCAGUAUGCCCCUGCGUAUCCACAUCGGUGACCGAACAGAUCGUGGUCGCUGCCAGGAAAGGUACAAAGUCGAUUUUCCGCAUCUUAUCCAUGGCCCCUCGAUCAAAUCAUGCACGAAUUGUCAUAAGAUCACAGCGGCAGCUGCGUGUCCUGAUGAGCCAUAUGGCCGGAUCUGAUGGAAAGGGAGGAGGCACUUUGUACAAGAUCACACUGUCUCCCAGAUCAUUUUUACAGAUCACAGUUUUUUCCCCUAAACUUUGAACAGGCAGAUCACAGUUUGUUCGCUAGAACAGUUCCCUCGCGAGUUGCGACAUCAGAGAAAGAAAAAAAAGCACGCGAGUGGGACCGCCGGUAACAGGGCAAAGGUCCCCAAUCCGGCCACCGGGCCCACCUGUCGGCCAAACAACAGCGACAACGGUGCCGUGUGGACGCGGUGCGCACUCGCGUUCCCACCGCCGAAAAGAACGCGCGGAUGAUCACACGCAAACGCAGCGAGGUAAAGCCAACGGAAAUAAACAGAUUAAAGUUAAUUUAAAAAAAAAGAGGAAAGAAAAUGGACGCAAGGGAGCAGGGGGGGACAGUCCGAUACAUACCCUCGCGAGCACGAAGGCGUCACGAACCCAACCAACCCAACCCAUCAGCCCAUCAGGACCCAGACCAAUCAAGGCGUCUCCGACAUCCGACGCGGCGGCGACCAAGGGGAGGGGUUGACGCCCGCCCAGCCGUGUGGAUCGCCGGGGGGAGGAGGGAGGGAGGGGCGAAAGCGCGUGCCGGAUGUCCCGCGGCGGCGGGGAGUAGGGCGACGGCGGCGGCGGGGACGGGCGGCUGCGGCGGCGCGACGAGGCGGCGGCGCGGGAGGGCGGCGGCACCAUGUCUGCGGUAGUCUGUGGCAAGAGGUCCUCCUCCAUCUUCGCCGACGAGCUCCUCCCGCCGUCACCUCCAUCCCCACACUCCUCCCACCACCACCUCCACCACCCGGCGGCCAAGAGGUCCCGCCGCUCCCCGCCGCACCGCGGCCGACGGGAGGCGCUUCUGCUCCAGCUGAUCCCGCUCUUCCCCGACAUGGAUCCCCAGGUCCGCCUCCUCGCGCCUUCCAAGCUUCAUCCUUUCCUUUCCCCAUGCGUUUUUUUAGGUCGUAGAUGACGAGAUGCGGUUUAGGCCCCAUGAUCUAGUGUUGACCAUUUCGGUUCCGUUGCUGGAAAGUUGUGAUCCCCAGCGAUUUUAUCUUGUGCUGAUGCGUAUUUGGGUGCGGAAUCGGGAAGGUCAUGGCGGCUGGAAGCUGAAAUGAAGCUCCUUUUCUGGGAUUAAUAUCUUUUACUACUUGCAAACUUUGAUAUGAUAUAUGAAACUACGAGAUGGUAGACGGAUAAGUCUCUUUCCCGUUUCAUCGUUGAUUUAAUAGUUUACAUGCUUGCUCAGAUGCUUGUGAUACUUCGAAGAUAGAAAUAGAAUUCUAGAAUGGAUUACCGCCGCUGCAUUUGAUGGCUUUGGGACAUGAUGGCACUGAAAAUUGUUUGUUAAUGUGUUUUCAUGAACUGAUAUCCUGCGUAUGCUUUCUUCACAGUGCUAAUAGCCAAGAGAAGGUUUGUGAACAUAUGGAUUAGCUGCAUUUAAUUCGUCUCCUCACUUUUGAGAACUUUUGAGCAUUAUACGCAUCAUGUAUUGUAGCCGCUCCAAGCAUGUCAUGUCCCCAGCACACAAAUUUCUUUAAUAAUCUAUAAGGUUUUCUUACAAAGGUGCUAAUUUAACCUCCAGCUGGCUCUUGAUGGUUGGAAUUGCUUUUGUGUAGUAUGAGCUAGGUCGAAAUACAGAUAUUAACUUUCCCUGCUAAUAUUUAUAUAGAUGUUAUACAUAUGUGCAACAAAGCUGACAAUGGUUGUUUGAAACAAUUGUAGUUGCUGGAAAAAGCUCUGGAAGCAUCUGGAGAUGACUUAGAUUCUGCAAUAAAGAGUUUGAAUGAGCUGCGCUUGGAGUCCGCUGGUUUCAAAUCUGAAAAUGGCCAGCCUACUGUAAUUCAGCCAUCUGUUGAAGGUUCAUUUUCUACCAAAGGCUCUUGUUUUCCUUUGAUGCAAUCAUUUUUCAACAAUCAUACCUCUAGUUCUUGUUAUACUUGUGAUAGUUUCCAGGCAAUGACUUGAUGGAAGUUUGGGUUUUGAUACCCCCAUUUGAAUUUGUCCAUCAGUAUUAUUCGGAAUCCUAUUAUUUCACUAUUUCAUGUUUCCUUGAUUUGUUGAUUCAUAAAUUGUUUACCAUCAUAUUCUAUGCCAUCAUGCAUGUCUCAGACUCAUGCUUGGAUCAUAAUUUAUAAUACAUAGAAUUGGAUCAUACUGCUUUGUCUCUUAUCUUACUCAUAACUUCACCUUGACAUGACAUUAAGCUGUGAGCUCUUUCAUUGCGUUUAGUGGUUAACAUGAUGUUGUAUCACCUAGAAUGGUAUUAUUGCCACAGUAAAUGAUGAUUGUAUCACAACUUAUUUCCUAAUUCAUUUUUAUUGAUUUCUGAAAAGCUACCUUGGUUUUCCAGAUUGUAUUACUGACAGUAGGAACAAUUUUGGAUCCUUGACAGGUAUUCCUAAUGGUGCCGUGGAUACUGCUACAGAACAUCCACCUGCCGUUGAUAAUUAUCAGACAAGUAAUAAUGGUUCUGAAUGGGUUGAGCUAUUUGUCAGAGAGAUGACUAAUGCUUCUGACAUAGAUGAUGCACGGGCUCGUGCAUCGAGAGCUUUGGAAGCUUUGGAGAAGUCCAUUGUAGAGCGUGCAGGAGCUGAAGCUUCACAAAACCUGCAUAAGGUACCCAUGCGUUACAACUUGUAAUUACCUGAAGCAUUUGACAGAUUUGUAGAAAUCUUGAUGAGUGAGGAAGGCAUGUUCAAUAAUUCUUGCACAUUUCCUUGGCAUAUAGGAAAACAUGAUGCUCAAGGAGCAGUUGACAGUCGUUCUGCGAGAGAAUGCUGUCCUGAAACGGGCGGUCGCCAUUCAACAUGAGCGCCAAAAGGAGUUUGAUGAGAGGUCUCAUGAAGUCCAAAGCUUGAAGCAACUUGUUUUGCAGUACCAGGAACAAGUGAGGACAUUAGAGGUAAUAAUCCUAGUCCUUUCUUCAGCUACUAUGUUUCUUUUCUCUGUGACAUCAACUGAAACUUUUGGGUUUUGUUCAUGUAUUACAGAUAAACAACUAUGCCCUCACAAUGCACCUCAAGCAGGCUCAGCAGAACAACACCAUGCCUGGGCGUUUCAAUCCUGAUGUCUUCUAAGCAUAGAGGCAGCCUUCAGAUUAAUAAUCUAUGAAGAUGUCUUGUUUUACCAACUGCCCCUUGAUAUGGUAGUGUGCUACUGGUGGAUUCACCGCCCAUGGGUCCAAAAUUUUCAUGUUACAAUAUUAAUUUAAAAUUUGUUGCCUUCGUGCAAUUUGGCUAUCCAAUAUAUAGUGUUUCCCCAUGAUGCGGUGUAUGAUUUAUUUUAUCCAUGGCUAGCAUAUUCAGCAACAUGAUCAGAAAGAAUAUCGUCUCAUGGUUGUACAGAUGAAAUGCUGCUGUCAAGUUUAAAUGAAAUGCUACGCUCAACUUCAUUCGUCUCCCGAUCUCUCAAUGUCCGGAUAUCAACCCAGGCCAGUUCAGAAGAGGAUGAAUGCUCCGGGAAUUUUUAGGAUUUGACUUCGUAUUUGUAUUGAAUUAUACCGAAUUGAACUGGUAUUAAAUUGGGUCAAACGGGCCACUGCCCCUACUUCAGGUACUAAUUGCCAAUUUGUCCUCCCCAAAAACCGCUGUCACUGCCCUUGCUUUGCCGACUUGAAACCUUCACGCGCCUGUUCGUGAAACAAGGGGUAAACAUGCAAAUCAAAGUAAGGAUAAAUGCAUUAACAGCAAACAUACAAAGAAAUAGUCCAAUAGGUACAUGGAGCAAUUGACACGCAAUUUGUUAUCACGAGAGGCAAAUUAACAAUUAGACAUAUCAAAUGAGGACGACAAUGGUAAAAUUGUCCUUAAUUCUAAGGAUUUGCUUCCGAUAACCCCGCACAAAAAAAAAGCUCUAAAGCAUUUCCAGCGGACACGCACCCCAUAUCUUCAUUUGGCUAUCCACUUCAAAAGAUUACCUCUCCAUGUUACCCUGCGAUCCAGGCCUCCAGUAGACUAGCCAAAUCCCACCCUCCAAAUCCUAUUGACAUAUAUCUUAUCGGUAUUCAAAUUAUUUGUAAAGGGUAUUAUUUAUAACGGACUUUAAUUUUGCAAUGGCUCUAAUUUGAACAGUUUAAUUUACAAUGGUUACAAUCAUCCGGAUAAAAUUUACACACUUGACUACGAUCUACGAGUAAAUAGUCACCGUCAACGGAUAAAAUGAAGAAAAAGGAAAAAAGAAAAAGGGAAGAAAGGAUUUUACAUGGGCUGCCGUGUUUCGCCUCUCUAGCCCAGCCCACGUUUGCUUACCCUAACGUCUCGCCGUCUCCUAGCAUUCUCAGCACGCAGCCACGGCUUACCUCCCUGCUUCGUCUCUCCAUAGACUCCAUGCCACAACCAGCGACGCUGCCACCUCAAAUUGCUAGCUGCUCUUUCGACACCCGAUCCUUUGCAUGCUGAUAUCAUUCUCCCGAGCGUAUUUGAUUAAUCUAAUAAAAAUAGGAGAUGCUCUAUAUGCAUCUUCUUGUGCUAUUUAAAUACUACCUCUAAGCAAAACUUGUACAUUGACUAUAUGUUCAAGAUAAGCCAAGGUAGUUGAGAAUAAUCAAUACAAGUUGAUGCCGUUGAAGUACGUAGUUCCUACACGCAACAUUACAUAGCUCAGAUAAAGUAGGACUCAAAAAAACCCGGUUAGUUAUCCUUCUCUCGUUAUCUUCGUGAAGUUGAAUGUUUUCUAGUGCAUACAUUGGUCGUCGCGCAUAACAAACCCGGGUUUUAUGCCAAGGAAAUGGGUGGCAUCCAUCAUGUAGUAUUGAUUCGACAUGACCGUCCUUCAUGGAAAUUAAAUAUCCUUCCAUUAGCUCUGAAUCUUUUAGUAAGGUGGUUUUUCAUCCGAAUAUUUUUUUCUCUUGAAUUUCGAGCUACUCCACGCAUAUUCCUUAUCUUGGAUGUACUCACAUUUUGGGUUGGAAAUUUCAGUUAUCUAGUACCACAUCAAGAACUCAUGUUUAUGGGUCGAGUUGGACCCGAUCGAAAGGUAAAAGGACAUGUUUCAUUUGGUAUUGCAACGAGUUCUGUAUUUGUCAGGAUUCUCUUAGAUCAUAGUUGCUCUAGUUAAAUGAGCAAAAUUGAGGUGAGUUGAGAAUAUUCAUGUACUACCAUUUUGUUCUAAACUAUGAUAUCAAAUUGCUGUCAUUGUUCACCGUCAAGCUCCCUACUGAGAAAAGAUAAUAAAAAAAUGCUUUUAUAUGAAUGUAGUUUGAGGAUGUGGGAUACGUGGCUAGCUAAUAAUUCUCUAUCCUUGCACAUUCCUUGUAAGCAUCUUGCAGGGAUCGCAUAAUAAACAAUGUGAUUCGACGUUGUUCUGUCAUCUACUCACCUCCAUGGACUUGACGACACAUUACUUGUAAUUAAAUCUGAACAAAUCUCCAUAUUAUAAUUAUUAAAUAAGGAAGCAUGAGCUCCUCCACCAAGCUACAAUAAUAUUAAGCACUGACUUGCCUCAAAAGGUGUCGUUUGCCUGUAUCGUACGCGACAGAGUGAACAAAAGGGGCCGGGGUUAGAGUGGAUUUUCCAGAUCCUACAAUUUUCCUGUGAAAUCACACCCAAAUAAAAGUUUCCUGUACUUUUCCUAUGCAUCAAUUCUAUAUAUGUUCUGAAGGCUGCUAGGUACCAAAUCAUAUACUCCCUCCGUUCCAAAUUAUAAGCAUUCCAACUUUCUUGGAGAGUCAAAGCAUCUCAAGUUUGACCAAAUUUAUACAAUAAAGUGCUAACAUUCAUGAUAUCAAAUAGGUACCAUUAGUUUCUUCAUUAAAUAUAUUUUCAUAGUAUAUCUAUUCGGUGCCAUAAAUUUUUGUAAUUUUCUCUAUAAUUUUGGUCAAACAUGAAAAUAUUUGCCUCUCCAAGAAAGUUGGAAUGACUUAUAAUUUGGAACGGAGGGAGUAUAUAGGAUUGAGAAUAAUCCUUUGAUUUGCCGAACAAAAUCCUUCGUUCCAAAGGAGCCCUGACCUUAAGGAACAAGCAGAGAUGCAACCGUAAUUGUACGUACUGUUUCUAUACUCUUCGUGAUCAUAGUAAGCCCAGCGCUCUGCCUCUCUCCACCCAACAUGUUCGACGAGAUUUUUUUCACGACACUGACAUGGCUAAUGCCUUGGCCUGCUGUAUGCAUAGGAUCUCAUCAGCGCCGGGAGCGAGACGACGGUAACGACGCUGACGUGGGCCAUGUUGGAGCUCAUGCCGCACCCUGCGGCGCUGCGGAAGGCGAGGACGCGCCGCCGGGUCUGCACUUCCUGCAGCUGGUUCUGAAGGAGGCACUUCGGCUGCAUCCGCCGGGGGCGCCGCUGCUCGUCCCGCGGGAGUGCCAGGAGCACACGCGUGGCGUCCUCAGCAGCUUCGACGUGCCCAAGGGCGCCAUGGUGCUCGCCAACGCGUGGGUGAUCGGCCGCGACGCCGUGAGGUGGCCUGGGGCAUCGACGCCGCCGAGGAUUUGCACCGGCCUUGCGCUCGCCCUCGCAGCCAUGGAGCUCGGUCUCGCCAGCCUCCUGUUCCAUUUCGACUGGGAGCUCCCAGGAUGCGCUGCUCCGGAUGAGCUGGACAUGGCCGAGGCGCUCGGGAUCAACACGAGGAGGAAGAGUGACUUGUGGCUGCACACAAAGUGACGGCGAUAUAUCCAAGUGUGGAUAUAGAGGCCGGAUGUUAUCCAUUAUCAAAAAAAGUGAUGACUACUUGGACAGGGGAUUCCAGAUCUUUUACGCCUGUCGCGACCGCCACAAUAGAAUGCCAAUUAUUAGAAUUAAAGUUACAUGAUCCACGUUAGUGAAUAAAUAUUCUUACAUAAACAUCCAAAUUGUAGGCCGUGAACAACAACACAAAUAGCCUUGAAUUUCAGUUUUUGAAGUACGAUGUAGCUUAGAGUGGCACACGGAGGGUUGGAUGUAGGAAAAGGUCCCUCUUCCGGCGAACGGAGAUCCCCACCUCCUCUUCCAUGUCCAACUCACUCGGUAUGACUCCAGAUGGUAGCUGCCAAUCGAAGUGGAAGAGAAGCACCGCGAGAACAAGCUCCAUGUUUGCCAGUGCAAACGCUAAGCCUGGGCAUAUCCUCCGGCCAGCUCCAAAGGGAGUGUAGCAGAAGUCAGUGCCCAUGAAAUCAGUUGUGCAUUCUUCGAAUCGAUGGGGCUUGAAAACCUCGGGUUCGUCCCAGUAUUUCGGGUCCCUACAGAUGGCCCACGCAUUCACAAGGACAAUCGUACCCUUUAGCACAUCAUACCCAAGGAUCUCACAUGACUCCUGACACUCUCUAGGGAGGAGGAGAGGUCCUGGUGUAUGCAACCUUAAAGUUUCCUUGAUGAUGAGCUUUAUAUAUGGUAAAUUUACCAAGUCAUCCUCUGUGACCGUUGACUUAUCUUGCAAUGCACAACGCAAUUCAGUUUGUGCUCUCUUCAUCACACUUGGGUUCCUCAUGAGCUCUGCCAUAGCCCAUAUAAUAGUUGUAGAUGUUGAUUCACUUCCAGCAAGAAACAAUUCCUGCAUGAUAUAAGGAUUACCCUUUUAAAGUAAUUAUCCAAAUAGCCCACACUACAGAGCAUCUGGACCCUGUACAUAUUGUAAUCUCAUUAUACUCCCUCCGUUCCAAAUUGUAGGUCGUUUUAGCUUUUAGCUAGGUUCAUAGAUAUUAUUAUACAUCUAGACAUAUACUAUAUCUAGAUGUAUAGUAAAAACUAUGCACUGCACCUAAAAAAGUCAAAACGACCUACAAUUUGGAAUGGAGGGAGUACAACUUUAGCUUAUAAGAUUAGAGUUAAUACGUAUGCACAAUUCUACUCCAAGACGUAUUAACUCUAAUCUUAUAUAUAACUCUAAUAUAUAAUUAAGGAUGUAGUUGUAUGUAGUGCCGCUUGUAACAACUCCUGUUAAUAUGCACUACUGCACCACCAAAGUAAGUACUACAAGCCGUUCUCCUUUUCUAAAGUUUUAUUUUUGUCUUUAUUCCUGCAAACCACGGAGAUUCGGCAGUUAAUUUUUGAAACAAAGGAUCACUAAGACCCCCUGUUUUACUUGUUUUUAUUUACAGAAUUUUCUAUGUAUCUAGAACCCCGUAAAAUUCCAAGUGUAGUGUUUAAUAUGUUUUUCUAUGUUUGAGUCCCACAGUUCUUUUUUGUUCCCUAAUUUUUUUAAGGACGGUUGAUUCGAUCUACCUUUUUUGGAUUUUAUAACUAUUUCUUGGUUGACUUGCCCAAAUAGUUGCUCUGUUAAACUUCCAUAUGAUUUUCUGUACUGUAAUAUUUUUUAAUGAAAUUUCUACUUUUUAGCUAGCUAAAACUUUUGCUGUUCUUUGGCCUUGUACACACGCCUAUUAAGAAAACACAACUCAUUAGAGUAGCUGUUUUUCUGCAAUAAAAAUAAAUAGUCCCCUCUUGCUCGUACCAUGGAAAUGGAGUUGCUUCAAUGAAAACGAUGAUUAAUUAAAGAAAGAUAGAUACAGUACACGCUAAUAUAAAUAUAAAUUAAAGAGUCCCUAAAAAAGAGAGUACUUACAGCGAGGAUGGCUUUGAUAUCUCCCACGUCGAGCGGGCAACCGAAGCCACCUUCCUCCUGGGUCCUCAAAAGGACACCAAGCAGGUCCUCGUCUUCCGCGACGUCAGUGGCGCUCGCCCCCGACCUGCGCUCCCUGUGUUGCUCAAUGGCGUAGUCCACCAGCUCAAACGUCUUCCGCGUGAACGCCCGAGCCUUGCGCACCGUGCCAUCAAUGGCGCACACGAGCCUCGACGACGGGAACAGGUCACAUGCAUUGAACCCGGAACCGAUCUUUACCGCCUGGGCGACACACUUCAGGAGUUCCUCCCGGCGCCCGAACCGCUCGCCUAUCAUGGCGCGCAGCGCCGAGUCGGCGACGAGGUUGGCUACCCGCGCGGUGACGUUCACCGGCUCGCCGGCCGGGCACGCCGCGGCGAUGCCGCCGACGAAGCGGGCGGCCUCGUCCUCGCGGAUGGGGCGGAAGGACCGCACGCGCUUGGCGCUGAGGAGCUCCAGCGUGAUGAACUUGCGGAGCUGCCGCCACCGCUCGCCGUAGGGCGAGAACGCGACGCCCAGCCCGCCGGCGACCGUGGCCCUCAGCGUCGUGCUCAGAGGGCGCGUCGCGAAGGUGACGUCGUGCGUCUUCAUGACCUCACGGGCGGCGUCGGGGGACGAGGCGACCACCGCGGGCAGCUCGCCGAGACGGAGGUACAUGACGGGCGCGUCGUGCCGCCGCGCGAGGUCGGCCAGUGCGCGGUGGAUUAGCGGGGUCUUGACGAGGUGGUGGAGGCUGCCGAUGACCGGCAGCCGCCAUGGCCCCGGUGGCAGCCUUGGCUGAUCCUUGCGCCGAAAUUGGAGGGACAGAAGUAAGAAGGGGAUAAGAAGCAGCAGCAGAACAUGCGCCAGGAAGUACAAGCUGCCUGAGAGAUUCUCCAUGAUGUGCUCACAAUUAACAGGAGCUUGCGGUUUGUGACAAGCUAGUAGAUGUCGGCAGUUUGUGUGAAUGUGCAGCAAGGAAAGCAGGCUGACAAUUUAUAGAUGCACGAACUGAAGCAGCCGGCUUCUCCUCGAUGGUAGGUUUUGUUGAAAUUUGGUCUAGAUUUGAGCAAGAAGUAAGGGAAGGAAACUACUGGAGCAGGGUCUGAUAGGUUUCCACUUUUAUAGCGAAGGGAGGUAUUUGUGGGAUUGUUUUGGCUACGAGCCAUAAUGAAAAUUUAACUUGGUCCGAAUCCUAUAACCUUGCUGCUUCCUUCGAUUUUCGAAAUUAUAUCAAUAUAACUAUCUUUCUUGAGUCAAAUUCUUUUAACUUAAACCAAGCAACUUUCGUUUUUAGGAAGUGCUCUCUUGCGUAGCAAUUCCAUGAAAAAUGUAAAACCACGUGUAUACGUGACUACAAAACUUAUCUCAACCGUUGAUUUCUAUGCAUCCAACUAUUGAUUUACUACCUACCACAUGUACUUCUCACUUACCCAUGAUCCAUCUCACCACCGAUUCAAAAAUGGAUGGCUCAAAUAACUCGUGUGGUCACAUGCACAUGUGAAAAAUCCAUGUUUGCAAUUCCAUCGGGUGUGGCAUGAAAUUUCAAAGCUUAAAGUACAUUUUUUUAAUAAAUUUGUACUACUUAUUUUAUUGCUUCUCUCAUUUUCGUCAACACGAAUGGUCCUAGACUAGAUUUGCAUCAAGUGCAUCAUGUAAGAAGUUUAAGUGGUACCAUUGAGGUUAGGUAAUGUAGCUAAUCAAGUGCAUAAAAAGAAUCCAAAAAAGUAUAAAUAGAUAGAGCACACAAGUAUAUAUCGUCUACAUGUAUAAUUUAAACUUAAAUAAAACUUAGGCAAGGUGAAAUCAAUACGUGAAUGGGUUUCUAGUUGUAACCUCAGCUACAAUUUAUUGUAUUAUUUCUACUUAAAUAAUUUUUUUAAUUCAACCUCAAAUCUUGUUUGCAUGUAGACUUGUAUGCUAUAUCCAUUCAUGAUUUCUUUUAGAACAUUUAGGAAUGCUAUCUAAGCAAUUGAACUUCUCCAAUUGUACCAUAUUGUACUGUACAAUGAGCGGUGCUACUAUGUCCAUACAUUUUAGACAUUCUCAACAAACAAUACCUAAGCAAUGAUUAGCCUGCGUUGGAGCAUAUUUCUGGCUUUUAGAGAUGUUAGUAAAUAGUAUAUUUGAAAAUUUAAAAAUGUUUCCACAUUUCUAGGUGUUAUAGUACUUGAGCUAAAUGACCUUGGGUUAACCGAAUUGUUUAAGGCUUCCACAAUGCUACUCCUAAAAUAAUUGUCGAUCAUCCAUUUGGUUAUAUCUCAAUGGCUAGGAUUGAAAAAGUGUUAUUAUCUCCUAGAGAAGUUCUUUGCCUUUCACUAAUGGCCAAUACCCAUUUGGAUAGCUUUGGCUUCGCUUCUUCGCCAUACUAGUGAUGACCUGCUACAUAACCUAAAUCCAACCUCCGUUGCACAUGAUAUAUAGGCUAUCGACUAACUUGCUUGUGCACAAAUGCUAAAAUGUGCAGGAUAUGCCAGAAUAGAAGACCGUGCCAAUCACUUAUCCACGAGAUCAAAGAUCGAGUUAGGUAUAGCCUUGAGGCCAUAAGUCACAAUCUACUGAGAAGGCGUCCGAAUGACCUUGGUUGUCUCUUCUUUGUCCCCCUUCUUUGUAUAAAUGCUAAUGAGCGCUUGAACCAUGCAUGAAGUAGCAACUAUGAUGAUCACGAAUCGGACAACCUAAUUUCUACAACUGAAACUCCAAAUGUCACUUUAGUUACUAACAACUUUUCAUUAAUAUGCAUGAGUACUCCUCUACUAUACAGAGCCACUAAUCAACAAGAACCACUCGAGGACAUUAUGUGCGUAUCUUUUGAGAACCCAUAUGAUCCUCUACAAAGAGCAAUGUCUCUACACAUGAUAGGUGCAGCAACCCUUCUGUGUUAUCAUGUAGACAUAUACAUAUCUACAUACAAUGGGUGCUACAAUAAUCCUUUGUAUCAACCAGGCAUGUUUACUGUACAGAAAAGAGAGAGGACGGUAUUUAAACCUGACAAUUCCAAAUUUAUAUGCCAGCCACAACUGUCACAUUAGAAUGCCAAUUAUUAAAUUUGUGUGUUAAUAUACAUUACAUGAUCCACUUCAGCGAAUAAAUAUUCUUACAUAGACACCCAAAUUUUACAAUGGUGAUCGAAUAACAACAUAAAUAGACUGAUAUUUCAGUUUUAGAAGUAGGAUGUAGUUUAGAGUGGUACACGGACCAUUGGAUUUAAGUACAGGUCCCUCUUUCGGCGAAUAGCGACUCCCAUCUCCUAGCUCUGCCAUGUCCAGCUCACUCGGUAUGACUCCAGGUGGCAGAUGCCAAUCGAAGUGGAAUAGAAGCAUAGCGAGAAUAAGCUCCACGUUUGCCAGCGCGAAUGCCAAGCCCGGGCAUAUCCUCCGUCCAGCUCCAAAGGGAGUGUAGCGGAAGUCGGUGCCCAUGAAAUCCGUUGUGCCCUCUUCGAAUCGAUAGGGCUUGAAAACCUCGGGUUCGUCCCAGUAUUUCGGGUCCCUACGAUGGCCUACGCAUUCACAAGGACAAUCGUACCCUUUAGCACAUGACAUCAUAUCCAAGGAUCUCACACGCCUCCUGACACUCUCUAGGGAGUAGGAGAGCUCCUGGUGUGUGCAACCUUAAAGUUUCCUUGAUGAUGAGCUUUUCUCCUAACGUGAUAGGUGUCCAGUCAAUUUUGUACGUGACAUCCCAGAUUUUGCAGCAACUGAUUCUAGGUCUCCUGACGUGAUAGGUGUCCAGUCAAUUUUGUACAUGACAUCCCAGAUUUUGCAGCAACUGAAAAUCUAGGUCUCCUGACAUGAUAGGUAGUGUUCCAGUCAAUUUUGUACGUGACAAUAUUUAAUAAAAACAGGACGCAUGUGACAAAUUCUUACAUGACAAUUUUCGUUUUAGAAGUAAUGUACCUGAUAGUUGCACGGAAAAUGAAUGAUGCACGUGCCAAUUUCUUUUUUUUGAAACGACGUGCCAAUUUCUUUGUUUGAGAAGUAUGUGAUAGUUGCAUUACAUGUAGCAUAUUUUAUAACACAUGAUAUAUCACUACAAGAGAAACCAUUUUCAUCCACCCCAAAUAUACCGACCAAAGUCGGGUGGAUGGCAGGUAUCGAAAGUCUUAGGUGGUAAUACUAAAGGCCUUCGAUGAUUUAGUGCGAGAUGCUAAUACCAACGGUACUAAAGGUAGACAUUAGUAGUACCAAUCGGAACUAAAAAAUUAUCCACAUGUGAAUUCAAAAGGAAAACAUCCCUUCUCAAAUAUAUCGGCCAAAGUCUGAUGCGAUACUAAUGCUAGAUUUGGGGUGGACUGAAAAUGCUUUCUCCAGUAGCGUUGGCUGUGAAUAUUUAAAAAGAAUAUCCGAUCCAAAACGAAGGGAAUAACUCAAGAUGAUGCUCUCCUGUCACCAGUGAUGGUUUUUAUGCACCUCCAACAGCAUUAAUGGAGUUGUUUGAUAUGCUAUCUUUUCUCACAUGAGUAGUGAAUGUUUGCGUUGGAAGUGAACUGUGCUGUGACAGAUUGUCCGCAAGCUGUGUGGCAAAAUUUACUCCGCAGCACAAACAAAGCCGUCAGCAGCACACCGUAGGAACAGGCGGGGACGCGGAGCCAAAUCACCGCACGCGGAUUGGGACGAGACCACGCAUCGCGCCGCCUCGAGCCACCGCGCUCUAUGCCGAGGCAAGGCAACCAAGAAUCCUACCAUCAUGGGGAGGAAGAUCAAGCAUUUCCUGGUCUCCCUCCUCUCGUGCUGCAUUGCUGCUGCUGCUGCGGCGGGAAUCGGAUCCUCAUCCGACGCCGACGUCAUCGCCGACCUCGUUCGAUCCCUCGCGAAGCUGCCCUCCACCUGGACCGCCGGCGGCGACGCUUGCUCCUUCAAGGGCGUCACCUGCUCCGCUGCCGGCCGCGUCACCGCCAUCGACCUUGCGGGGCAAGGCCUGGCGGGGACGCUGCCGUCCUCCAUCUCCAACCUCACCGCGCCCGAGUCGCUCCAGCUCCAGGGCAACGCCCUCUCCGGCGCCGUCCCGCCGCUCCGAUCCCCCGCCCUCACCCGCCUCUCCCUCGACGGCAACGCCUUCACCUCCCUCCCCGGGGACUUCCUCCGCGCGACUCCCGCGCUGCUGAGCCUUAGCAUCGACGGUCUCCCCCUGCCGUCGUGGCCGUUCCCCGCCGCCAUCUUCGGUUGCCCUUCCCUCCACACCUUCUCCGCCUCCAACACCAACCUCACCUGCGCCUUCCCGGCGGCGGCCCUGGUCUCGAACCUCACGUCGAUCAGGACGCUGCGCCUGUCCCACAACAAUCUCACCGGCGUCAUACCGGCGUCUCUGGGCAAGAUGGCGAGCCUGACGAACAUGUCCCUAUCCUACAAGUAUAACUACAACCACUUCCAGGGACCAGGGCCCGGUGCCGGUGUUCGCGUCCGCCGUGGCCGUCGACGACGUGGUCGCCGGCAACGGGUUCUGCUUGGAAAAACCCGGGCCAUGCGACGCGCAGGUGAGCACUCUGCUCCAGGUGGCCGAGGGGUUUGGUUACCCGCUUCAUCUCGCAAGGUCAUGGACGGGGAACGACCCCUGCAGUGGCUGGGUGGGCGUGAUAUGCGACAUGUCAGAUGUAGAGAUUCUCGGCCUGACGAGCUACAACUUGUCAGGGACAAUAUCACCGGCCAUUGCCAACUUGAAAGGGCUUAGGAAGCUUGACCUGGCCAACAUCAAUCUCACCGGGGAGAUUCCGGAUGCGCUCGCGGCAUUGCCGAACCUUAGCCUUGCUGAUGUCAGAAACAAUAGGCUCACCGGCCAACUGCCCAAGUUUAGGGAGUCAGUUGAUGUGUCAGCAGAUGGGAACAGCCCGAGUUUGUGGAAUCAUCAUGGUUCAGGACAAGGUAGUCAGUCUCAAUGGAGGCUCUUCAUCAUCUUCAGACUCCACGGAUGCCUCAUCAAAGUCUAGAGCAGGAACUAUUGUUAGCAUUAUCGCAGUGUUGUGUUUAUUUUUUGGAAGGGAAAUUAGCGUGUAAGAUCUCUUGUUUGUCAUCAUAAGCUCCAAUUUUAAUAACGCACAUAUAUGCUUCUCUGUCGAUUUUAAGCUGAGUGUUUGUGUUUCUAAUGGAGGCAGCACUCAAAAUAUUUUUUAUGCAUGCAAACACCUUUUAUUAAUUAAAAAAACAGGCAAAUCAGUUUGACGUUCGAAUUUCUGUCCUACUGUCCACUAUUAACAUGGCUGAUAUAUAAUAUUUGACUUGAUUUGGAGACUCUAUAUAUAGCUGCAUCCAAGAUACAGAUACCUACAGAACCCUCUAAACUUAACAUUCAUCAUCAGAAUACCAUCAUCACUGUCCGCGGGCACCAACUCAUCAACAUUCAGAAGUAGGGAUUAACUUCUUACUUGUAGCUAGAUGCAUCUAAGCAUCAACAUCAAUGUCUUCAGCCAGGUUGCACAAGAGGAGCAACGGUUGCAUAGUCCUCAGUGUAUCGUAAAUGCAUCACGGAGCAAAGCAUGUUUACUAUAGUAGGGCAUACAAGAGACACCCAGGAUACUCCAGAGCUAGGGCUACAACAAUGAACAACCCAGGAUACUCCAGAGAAAAGAGGGAAGGUUUGUACUGUUGGCUGUUGCAGAGCCUAAUCAUCAGUUCAGUGAGUCGGUAUAGUAGUAAGCAAAUUAGCAACCACAAGAGAGCAAAGCGAGGUAGCAGUCAGGUAGGCUCCACCACCACCUGAUUUCAUGCUUGAUUUUGUGAAUCUUUUACUCAUUAAGUUUUGGCACAAUAUUUGCUGCAUGCUUGCAUAAAAAAAGUUAUGACAACUUUAUCAAACGAUGUUUAAAAUGACGUCCAAACAAUACCGUUACGUACAAAUACACCUUUCUGAAAUUAUGGACUACAAAACUACAUGACACCAUUAGAGGCAAAAUGGGCUUUUUAAAUGACACUUAACACCGUUAGUCCUUAAAAUAGACAGAAUUGUCAAAUUGGGAAUGAAAUUCAGACCUAGUGUCAAAUAAAAAAUUUAAACUUAAGGGUUAAGAAAGGAAUGAGUAACUUUACCGGUGUCAAAUAAGAAAUUUUAUCUUCUUUACAGUAGUGUUGCAGCACAGGUACAUUAUUUACCUAUACCAUCAGAUUUUUACAUUUUCUCGUGCUUUUUUAUUUACUAGGAUCGUGCCCGUGCGUUGCUACGGGCAUAAAAGAUUUCUGGCGCAAAUACAUAAAGCAUGGGAAACAUGAUUUAUUUUAGAUACGUAAGAAUCAAUUUUAUCUGGUUUAUAACCAACAUGGUGUGAGAUGGUUGAAGUAAUGAAAUGGUCGUGAACAACAUUCUAUAACCAACAGCCUUGACGAAAUGAAAGUGAUUGCUCGCUUGUGUCAACAUACUUGUAAUAGAAAAUAAUAUAAAUAACAUAUCUGCUCUUAGUUCAUACAAAUAAGUGCAAGGUCUACAGGGUCUCGAUGUCUUGGUGAUACAUAGUUGAAUAAAACGAACGUUCACAAGCAUGUUUACGGAGAUACAGAUACAAACAACCAUUCUACUAUACACAUCUACAAAAGAAACAGACCUGUACCCAAGCAUCUACUUCCUCCGUUUCAAAUUGUAGGUCGUUUUGGUUUUUCUAGGUUCAUAGAUAUUAUUAUGCAUAUCUAUAAACCUAGAAAAGCCAAAACGACCUACAAUUUAGAACGGAGAGAGUAGCAUAUAGUGUACUUGAAAAAACAAAUGGCACUUGUCCUUAUAAGUAAUACACAUCACCUGACUAUGAGGGAUACAGUACAGUAAUAGAAGUAUUCAACAGAGCAUUCAACAUUGAACUCAAAAAUUUAGAAAUGUUGUCAGUGCGAAUCCUUCAAUCAAUCUAAUAAAGAUGAGUUGUGCACCCAAGAAGUACACUGAAAGCAAGUUCCAGAUGCCUUGUAAAUGCAUACACUUUUCACUUUGGAAUAUAGAAUAAAUGAAGGCAGAAUAAUUUAAUAGAGAAAUCAGCAUUGCUAAACAAUGCAGUAAGCGAUUAGCUCAUUGCUGAGAGAACCUGCUCCUAUUUUGGAUACAGACAUUGGAAUAGUACUACAAAUGCUUUAUAUCUCAUUAAAACAAAUAGAAUUUUUCUCUAGUAUUUGUAAAAACAUGGAAAUUGCAUACUUCAAGAAAUGCAAGAAACAUUUACAAAGGUACAUACAUUCUUCUCUGGAAGUGCACAUCUAGUCUUCUGUCUAUCUCUUUUCUUGAUUCCGCAUAUUUCUGAAGUCAAGCGAAUGCAGAAACUGUUCUCUGAAUUUCAUUUUGAUGGCCCACCUCCAAUGCAGCCAGCUUACUUCUGACUUCUUCCUGAAGAACAAACAUCAUAGAUGAUGAAGAGGUUUUAAAAAGAUAAACAAUGGGGUUCCAAAAAUAGUCAAUGCUGUUCUAUCAACCAAGAAAAAUAAUGUCAUCAGUGAACCUAGUGCCCUAACAUGGUGAAAGGAAACAAUUUUCAUCACAUGUAUAAGUGCUAUUGCUACUAAAGUAUGAUGAUAAGUAAAUUACAAUAUGAAAUGUCUUCUGUUUCAAAACAAUUUUCAGAUCAAUUCACCAAGUCUUACAUCCACUUGAUGCCUGCUCAUCUUUGCACAUCUGGAACAUGCUCCUGUCCUCGUCACACAUCUAAACACGCAUAUACAGUUCAGCAUGGCGUCCUGCUCCACUGUCCCAGUUGCCCGUGGCCAUCCAGCACGCCGAAGAGUAACAUGACGGAUGCCCAUUUGUGAGUCUCUUCAGCUUGAGGAGAAUUCCAAUGACUGUUGCAUAGGUCAGGCUCAUUGAUUCAAGCCAACGGUACAAAAAUGAGAAAAAGGGAAGGAAAAUUCAAGGUUAAAACGUAGAGCUACUAAACAAUUAUAUACACUAAACUGAAGUUUAUUUUUCUCAGAGACAUUGUGGUUCACCUGGUAAAAGACUUGGGAACUGCAAUAAUGUAUUAUAGAUGUCUUUUUGUAUUAUAGAUAUAUUUUCAUUAUUAGUCGAUCACACAAGUAACAGAUACAUUUUUUCUUCAAGAAGGAAAUUAAGUUCUAUUUUCCAAAGUCAUACCAGCAAUGCCUCAAAUAAAAUCUGAUGCAGCAAAACAAAGCAGAAAAAAUAACGGUUACGUACGGGUUAACCGGAGCCGCUUAUUUAUUUCUGUCAUUAGUUGGGAAAUUGGCAAGCUAGCCAUUCCCUUGGUGUAUGUUUUUUUUAAAACACAAUAUAAUGUUAGUGGAAAGACCAACCUCAUAUGGAAUACCUUUUGCUAUAUGGUUGUGGCCUCUCGCAGCACCGCCAAGAUCCAAUCCCCUCUGUCGGAAACCCAAUCCAAUAUUCACGGAGCCAUCACCCCGGAACUAGUCACAGCCAUCACCAUCCAGCAAGCAGCCCGAAUCACCGAGAGACGCGGAGACCAACGCAACCAGGAAGGCAGGGCCUCCCGCGAGAUCCAAGAAGCGAGACCCACCCACCGAACGGCGCCCCGCCACGCCGGCGCGGCGAGGUGAGCGAGCUGCUGCGCGCGAAGGGGGGAGGGUGGGAAACAGCGGGCGGAUUUGAAGGCCGUGCAGGGGCAGGGUGGUGGCAGCGCGGAGGGCAAAGAGAGGAGGAAAUUGGGGGAGGCCGGGAGGGGGAGGCCGAGGGGCAAUGGUGGAAGACGGGGGUGGAAGGGAUGAGAGGGGAGGGGCAUUUAGGUCAAAGCCGUUGGGUGAUUUCCCGAUUUGCCAUCGGUCGAGUUGAGUUUCUUGAACCAAUUUGUGUCGGGUAACUGCAUACCAAAAGGAAGAAAAUUGACGACUUAAAAAAAUGUUUAGCUUCCUAAAAAAUAAGUCAUUUUUUCCCUAAGGAAAGCAAUUACAUUUUUACAGCUACAGAAAGCAAUUGCAUUUUUUACGGGUAGAGAAAGCAAUUCCAUUGUACCGGUAAAAUGUAGAUAUCAUCAGCUUUCUUUCUUUUUUCUUUUUGACAACGUGGUGCACUGACAAUCAUUUUGAGAUUUUCGAUUCGAACAUGAAUGGAAAAUCUAGUUUGAGAAUGAGAACUCAGAACGUUUUCGUUUUAGUUUUAGUUUAUUCAUGGAUAAUUUGAAGUGCCUCAACUAAAAUGAUAUGUAAUCUGCUUGUUUUUAUCAGUAAUACACAUAGUGUUGACAAGAAAUAGCAUCACCUCAUGCAUAUCUAAAGAUGACAAAGAAGACGUUUUUCUACCUCACGUCAUGAAAAAUAUAUUUUCGGUGACAGAAGAACUUGUGAAAUAACUUGUGAUUAUAUCCUGUAUUAGCACUCCACCGAAGGUCCAAAGCCACUGUAAUCCUGAGUGCUCGACGCCCAUCAAUCCCGAUCGCUCGAGCUUCUCCUCCCGGCCUUCUACACCUCAAGCACACCGCAAGAGAACAGCUCACGUGUGAGUGUCGUUCCACCAACCCGCUCACCGAACCCGAGCACCGCCAACCGCUCGACAAACCCGAGCAAUGGUCUGUGCGGAUGGGGAGGGAUGGCGGGUGGAUGGGGAGGGAGGGAUGGUGCCAAGGCGGGUCGUCGCUGCCGCAUCAUGCAGACGUGUCUGCCCCCUUCGGGACAUUAGGCCACCGCCUCCGCUGCCGGGGUCGGCAGCUCGCAGGACUGGGCCUGCGGGUGGGUAACGCAUGGACGGGGUGAGAAAAGUUCGGUUGUUUUGGCAGAAACGACACUCCCUAACGUCGAUAGAAUUCUAUGGUUCUGCACCCGAUCCUCUUCCCCUCCACCCCCGAAAUGUAGGUCCAACGUGAGAGUUACGAUGUGUCUAAAUUAGGUGAGGAAAGAUUUUCAAUUGUUUUCGUUAUUUUUAUUAUAGAUUUUGUGUACGUACAUGACACAGUUGGAUCAAUGAUCUGUCCAACACAACAUGUUCAACAUAUACAUACUUAUUCUCCACAACAUAUUUCCAGAUCAUCCCAACUAUACGUUUCGUGGCACACAACAAUACGCUCACAACCUGUCACACACACGGCAUGUCCAACAUAUAUAGACAUGACAGGAUCAAAUCAUCUCUGUGGUUACAUAACACACAUUAGCACACCACACAUUACAAGCUAGAGUGCUGCUUCAGGGCUUUGGGUGCGGUCCGACGCAUGCAGGAUCACCACACGCAGGCGAGUUCUCAAAUCAAGGGCUCCCUCGCAGGCAGUGGCACACGCACGCUCGCGUGCAUGUACAGGUCCCUCUUGGGACGCACGGUGAUGCCCAUCUCCUCCGUUAGGUCCACAUCGCCUGGCAUGACUCCAGCCGGAAACUUCCAGUCGAAGUGGAAGAUAAGCGUGGCGAGAUUGAGCUCUAUGUUUGCCAAGGCGAACGUCGCGCCCGGGCAAAUCCUUCUACCAGCUCCGAAUGGUAUGUAUCGGAAGUCGGUGCCACUGUAGUCGAAUGCGACCCCUUCAAAUCGCUCUGGCUUGAAGGCUUCGGGUUCGUCCCAAUAUUUCGGGUCCCUGCCAAUGGCCCAUGCGUUCACAAAGACAUACGUGCCUUUCGGAACAUCGUACCCAAGAAUCUGGCAUGGCUCCUGGCACUCUCUUGGGAUGAGCAGGGGUGCUGCUGGGUGCAACCUUAGAGUUUCCUUGAUGACGAGUUUUAGAUAAUGGAAGUUAACCAAGUCAUCUUCGCUUACCCUCGACUUGUCUUGCACUGCGUGCCAAACCUCCUCCUGUACUUUCUGCAUUACACUAGGGUUCCUCAUGAGCUCUGCUAUAGCCCAACUGAUAGUCGUUGAUGUUGUUUCACUUCCACCUGCAAACAAGUCCUGCACGGUAUGCAUGCAUGGUGUUAAAUUUUAGUUUCUAGUGGAACAAACAAAUUACCUUUUCGAAAGAAUAAGAAAAAUGCUCUUAUGUAAAUCGGAGAAUAGAGCGGUAGUUACAAGGAUGACGGCUUUGAUAGUCCCAAUGGAGAGAGAGCUGUAGUCGAGGCUAUCUUCCUUCUGGAUUCUCAAAAGAACAUCAAUCAUGUCCUCGGCGGCGGCGGCGGCGGCGCCCCCUGCCGCUUUCCGCUCCCCAUGUUGGUCGAUGGCGUAGUCUAUCAGCUGGUAGAUUUUGCGGUGGAACGCCCUGGACUUGCGCACCGUGCCACUGAUGCCGCACAUGAGCCUCGAGGACGGGAACAUGUCGCGUACGUUGAACCCGGCAGCGAUCUUCACCAUCUGGGAGAGGGACUCCCGGAACUCGUCACGGUACUUGAACCGCUCUCCCAUCAUGGCGCGAAACGACGAGUCCGUGAUGAGCGUGGCUAACCGCUGGGUGAUGUUCACGGGCUCGCCGCCGGGCGGGCACGCGGCGGCGAUGUCGGCGACGAGCUGGGCGGUCUCGUCCUCGCGUAUGGGGCGGAAGGACCGCACCCUCUUGGCGCUGAGGAGCUCCACGGCGCAGACCUUGCGGAGCUGCCGCCACCGCUCGCCGUACGGCGUCAUCACGAGGCCCAGCCCGUGGGCGGCCGUGGCCCUCGCCGUCGCGUUCAGCGGUCGCGACGCGAAGGUGACGUCGUGCGUCUUCAUGACCUCCCGGGCGGCGUCCGGGGACGACACGACCACCGCGUCCAGCUCGCCGAGCCGGAGGUACAUGACUGGGGCGUCGCACCGGCGCGCGAGGUCGGCCAGGACGCGGUGCUUGAGCGGGUUCAUGAUGAGGUGGUGGAGGCUGCCGAUGACGGGGAGCCGCCAUGGACCGGGAGGGAGUCUCAGAGGUGGUGCUUCGUUGCGAAGCCUCUGCUGCAGCCGUGGCCUGAGGAAGAUCAGCAGGACAAGCGGGAGGAGAGCCAACAAGAGGUAGCAGGAGAUCAGCAUGGUUUUCACGUAUGGUUUCGUUUCUUUUGGCUGCGAAGAACUUCUAGCUAGAGUAAGCCAGUUUGUGUUUGCAUGUGCAACGAGAAUUUAGGUGCCCAGGCUAUUUAUAGAUGGCCAGGCUACAUGCACUACUGGAGAAGCUGAUGGACCUGUUCUCUGGCGGCUAUCAAGAGCAUGAACUGGAAGGAUUCAAAUAAUGAGCUCGCAAAUCGUAUGUGAGGACAUGCGUAACAUGGAUAUUGACUAGUACACCGAUUAUAUUCUCUCGUAGAUAUUUAAAUUGGUGUCAAAGGUUGAGUAUAUACAAUUAGUCAGAAGCAUACAAUUAGUCAGAGCUUUUCUCUUCGUACGCCAAAGGAAAUGUGUUCAGUCAGAAGUUCUGACUCGGAACUAGCGAUUGUUAAUGAUAGUGCCAUGGUCAGCUUGGCCCUGUUCCAAGCCGGGACAUUGGAUCCAGUACGUCUCAGUGCUGGAAUGGGCAAUCAGAAUCAUAGUUAAGGAGAUGAGGAGAUACAUUGAAGGGGAGUUUUACUUAAUUUAUGACUAGUACUAGUACCAAGCCACGCAGAUUGUGCGUAUCAGUAUGAUGGGCUAGUUCCCCUAUAUGUGCCGGCUUUAAACACACUACUGAAAAACUCAGCAUUCGUCCUGAGGUUCGGUACCGGUUGGUUUUUGACUCGGUACUAAUGCUCAUUAGUACCGGUUCUAACGGCUAGUUCCCUAGAAGCCCCCCUGUGACCUCCUUUAAUACCGGUUGGGAGCUCCAACCGGUACUAAAGUUCACUCAUUAGUACCGGGUGGAGCCUCCACCCGGUAUUAAUGUGCCUGAGGGUCUUUAGUACUGGGUGGAGGCUCCACCCAUACUAAUGGGUACCUUUAGGUCCUGUUUGGCAUGGCUCCAACUCUGGGUGGAUCUGCUCCACUCCAGAACUCCAGGUGGAGCUAACUCUGGGUGGAGUUGGAGCUGUCUGAUGGAGAUGUUUGGCUGGAAGGGUGUCCCCAACUCCAGAAAAGAAGAGUUUGAAGGUGAAUUGUCAUUCUUGCCCCCAACUCAUGGUCCCACCUGUCAUCCUCUUAUCCCCCUCUUUUCUUCCUCAGGAACAACAGCACCUCAGCUGUGACGCGCUCCAAGAUGUCGAGCGCCAACCGUCGGUUCGUCCGCACGUCCACAACGUCCCCAAAGUCCUGCCGGGCGAGCAAAUUCAUCUGCAACAUUGUAUUGAGAAAAAGGUCACAUAAUCAAUUAACAAAGAAGCACUGCGCAUUUCAUCAUUUCAAUAGAAUACAGUCUAUAGAGUCAAAUACAGAUGACUACGAAUCGAGAAAUCUGGACUAGCACAAGGUGAAAAAUUCUGUAAAAAGACCAUUUAGUGCAUACAUUUAGAACAUUUCAGACUAGAUUUCAACAUGAUUUUGUUCUCAUCUCACAACACAAACACAGGAAUUAAAUGAGAAAAGGGAAAAAUUUCCUCACCUUGGAGCUCAGCACUGAUAGAGGAGGGGAUUGACAGUGUCACCUCGCUCCCCUUGGCGCUUGCUUAAUAGUGGUAGGACAGAUGGCGGCAGGUCACUGGUCAGUCUUGGGCGGAGGAGGAUCCUGGCGGCGGCAGGUCGCUGGUCAAUCUUGGGCGGAGGAGGAUCCUGGCGGUGGCAGAUCUCCUCCCAUGGAGUUGCUGGGGUGGCGGUGGACUAGCGCAGAGGGGACACGAGAUGGCGGUGCCCAGCGGGCGACGUGGAUGUCGGGGCGCCCAAGGUCGGAUCAGGGCCGACGAGGCGAGCGGUGCAUCGAGGUGGGUGGAUGCAGGGAAGCCAAGCGGGGAACGAGCUGCUGGGGGUAGGGCGGCACGCGGUCAGGUGUGGCACGGGCUGCUCCAAGUCUCUGGAGGGCGGCCGGAGAUGGGAAGGGCAAUGGCGGCGUGGGAACGGAGGAAGAGAUGGAGACGGCGGCAUGAGCGGUGGAGGAAAAGAAUGAGGGCGGCUGCGGGGGAUUGGCGGCGGCAUCCCGCGGGCGAACGGAAGGAGGCGCGGGGAGGGGAGUCACGACGUGGGGAGGGGUCUCGGGAGAAAGAAAGAAGUGAAUGGUUUUUUGUGUAAUCAGUGGCAUUGGUGGGUAAUUAUCCACCAACUCCACGAGGAGGUUCAUAUUGGGUGAUUGUGGAGCUGCAAAAGAAGUGCUCCAAAACUCCACCCCCAUCUGCACUAUAGCUCCAUGGAGUUGGCAGCUCCAUGGUGUUUUGGAGCUGGGGUGUUUGGCUGGAGUUGCUGGAGUUCAGCUCCAGAGCCAUGCCAAACACGCCCUUAGUACCGGUUGGAGUUUCCAACCGGUACUAACUUCCCUCCUAUAAAUCAUGCGUCUUCUUCCUCCUGCCUGAGCCAUUUCCUCAGCUCGGGCUUCAUCCAUUCAUGGCAAAAUAGGGGAGGUGCUGCCGGAUUUUUGAUCAUUUCGUGGGGAUUCACUCAUUCAAGUGUUCUAAAGGUUAGAAACUUCAUUCUCCCUUGAUACAUGGUUAGUAUACUAAGUUUUAUGCUUUAGAGCUUGAGUAAUUUGUGAUUUUUAGACUAAGGUAUAAUGGAGAAAUUUUUUAUUUAUAUGCGUGUGUUAUUUAGAACUCAUAUUUAUGAUUUUUAGAAUAAGCUACAAUUUUUUGGAUGCUAUGUUUCGUAUUAGUCAAAGAAAUUGAUAUGAGGUUAGAGGAAUAAUUUCAUAGUUUAGUCCUUUGCAAAUAUGAACUAAAUAAAUUAUGGGAAAAAAUAUAAUUUGUUCAUAUUUUAGUCAUUUGCAAAUAUGAGCGAGAUAAAUUGUGGUACAUAGAGAUAAUUAAAUGAAAUAGAGGUAUGUAAUUAGUCAUUUUUAGAAUAAGCUACGAUGGAGAAAUUUUUCAUUUAUAUGUUAUGUUUGAGCUAAAUAAAUUGUGGGAAAAAAUACAAUUUAUUCAUAGUUUAGUCAUUUGCAAAUAUGAGCUAAAUAAAUUAUGAUACAUAGAGAUGGCUACUGCUGCUGGAGGUAGUGGCGAUGGUGGGGGCGAUCGUCAUUCCUCUCAUGGCAAGGAAAAAUCAUAGUUGGCCCUCAUGAUAAGCCGAAGAAAAUGAGCACAUGGGAGAGAGCAAUGCUUCGUUAUUUGGAAAGAUGUCAUGAAGAUGCUGUUGCAGCGGGUCAGGAACCUCCUGCCGUACGACUUGAAGAAUAUAUAUAAUUUCUUGGACAACAAGAAGUACAUAUUUCUGUUGUACAACUUCAAGUGAGCGUGUUUCCCAUCUCUUUUAUUUUUCGAACUAGCAGUUAAAAAUAAGACUAAAUAGCUUUUCACUAUGCAUAUAUAUACAGCUUCCAUUAGAUACUUCUUGUUAUCCUGGUUGAUCGAAGCAUGGUCUAUAUCCUGGACUCUCUGAGGAGAUCAAGAAAUCAAUACACUGACCUCAUAAACAUGCUUAACAGAGCAUGGGCUCGCUUUUGUCAACAUCACUCAGGUGAAUUCAAGGAGCAACUUCAUAUCCACUCUGAAUUCCCGGUAUGUAUUGAAUUUGCACAUCUUGUGUCACUUCUUUGAACACAACAAAUACUUCAUAACUUAUUUUGCCAUAUAUAUAGUGUUUGAGACAGAAUCUGGGGAAUAAUUUAUGCGGAUACUACGUAUGUGAGUUCAUCCAUGGCUUGGUACAUUCCAAGCGUAUAACUAACCAUGAAUUCAGAGUACGUAUACAAAUUUCUUAACAAUAAAUUAGUUCUAAUUGUGUAGACCCAUUGAUCUAAUAUAAUAACCUUUGCUAAUGACAUAGAUUAUGCACAUGAAGGAAGAACUCCUCGAGACGGAAAAAAUCAGGGCAAUUCAAGAAUAACUCAGUGGAUUUCUUCUGGAAAAGAUAGUAAAUUCAGCGGGAGAGUUCCCUAACGAUGGAUCAAAUCUGCAUCACCGUCCGGACUCGGGUUCAGAAUAGUUGAUCCAAAAUGUUGAACUUGGAAAGUUGAUGCAAUGUAAUAUUAUUCAUAUAUAUGUAUGCACAAUAUGUCUUUGUAUAAUAUUAUCUCAAAUGUAAUAUUAUAAAUAAAAUACAACUUUAUAUAUAUUAGCGUAUUAGAGUAGUAUACGUAAAGGAAAUAAAUACAAGAUACUAAUAUAGAAUAAAGAAAUAGAAAAGAAAAAAGAAUUUAGUACCGGUUGGGGAGACCAACCGGUACUAAAUUGGCCUUGGCCACGCGCGACGUGGCAGCCAAUUUAGUACCGGUUGGUGUCCCCAACCGGUACUAAAGGACCUCCUUUAGUACCGGUUAUUUGAACCGAUACUAAAGGACCCCUUUAGUACCAACUUAGCAAUACUGGUUGCAAAACCGGUACUAAGGGGGGUUUGGACCCGGUACUGAAGGUGCUUUCUCCAGCAGUGACAUGUGUUGAUAGCCGGAGCCGGUCGAGGACUCUCGCCCAAACCCUAACCCCCAUUAUUCUCUCCUUAGCUUCCUUUCACCACCGUUCAUCUCUCUCUUCGGAUCCUAAUUAACUCUUGCCACCACUCUCUCCCUCUUCUCAAACUUACACACACGCAUGCACUUUGCAUAGUUGCAUUGCAUUCAACUUUGGUAAAAAAAUUAAAUAUGUUGUCGGAAAAAACCACUAGGAAAUACCGCACUUUUUUUAGUGGCACCACGAGUGACGACGCUAUGUUUGGUGGAAAUCCAACGAGGUGACUUGAUUGAGAGCUGUGACCCACGAAAGUUUGUAUAAAGCCACCCCUCUACAAUUGGAAAUAAAUAAAAAUAAAUGAAUACAUAACUAAAUAAUAAGCCUAGGUGGCAGGUUCCGCAUAAUCGGUUGUUCAUGACCUUAUAAUUCAUGGACCAAAGUCGCAAAUCGCUUGUUCUCAUUCAAGCAUGAGUUCGUUCAAAGUCGGCAAGGGGAAUCAGAGAAAGGGCGGUUUAGUCAACAAUCAUGACCAUGGGAACAUUUGUUCGCUUUCUAGGUACCCCGGAUCUACUAGUCAUCGCCUUUGAGCUGGGAAUGUUUCAAACUGAGAUAAUAAGCAUGCAUUUUGUGACCUUAUUUUACUCCAUUUUCUAGGUAUAACAGCAGCACUGGAUCACGUUCUUGUUGUUCACUACUUAGAGCUUUAUUGAUUAGCUGUUGUGUAUUGUCCCGUUUCCUCUCUUCUUGUUGCGUCAAGGGUAAUUAUGCCAUUUUUCUUAUUAUGCUGUAUUUUAUUCACAGAACUAUAAGUCUUCCCUUCAUUUCUAGUAGAACAAUAAUCCAUAUACCAGUGUUUCUGUUUUCUUCUUUAGGAUAACAAGUGAGAUUGCUUGUUGGAAUGUUACUGACGCAACUCCCCUAUUAUUUUUUUUAAGUAUAUCCCAUAACCAAUAAUAGAAUCAACUAUUACUUUUUACAACAUUCUAUCAAGUACUAGCCUCCCAAUCACUAAGUAUGACUAAUUAAAUUACUCCUAAUAAGCCUCUCCAAUAUAAUGACGUCGCGACUGAUUCCCUCAGUGCCGAACCCAUCUCCAUCCUCAGCCCUCCACUGAAUACUGAUACAACAGAUUCUGCAAGGUUCCCUUUCCUUCAUUUUGGUUUAAGAUGAUCUUAUAUUCUUCAUGUACAAUAUUAACGAGCAGGUUGUACCACUGGCAAGAUGAAAAUGUCUUUCUGAUUGAUGCUACCUCUGUCUGUGAUGACCGUAGAUUAUAUAUAGAUGUGAGUUUCCCCCCACUAUGAUAUGGCUGCAUAUCAUAUCACAGACGCAACAGAUGCGACUCGUGGCCAUUUGUGUGAUGUUAGUUUAUACCCUCUGUCAUGACUGAUUCUGUGGUUUUAUCUGUAAAAAUGACUGAUUCUGUGGUAGUGAUCAUGGUCAUGUCAAAUGAGAAAAUUUCAAAACUACACUUGUGUAUAUUUUUUUUUGUGAUUGUGUCUUGUUCAAACCAUGAACAAAAUAAUAGUGCAUAAAACUGUGGUACAUUGCGGAUGCCUCAAUAUUUCCUUGCAAAUCAAUCCAGUAAAGUUUUAUUAAACAUUACGUAAAUCCAAUGGAUACGUUAGUGGAGCUUGAGACAAAUCCCAGGAUUGCUGCAGGGAGAGAUGCAUGAUCACAUUCAUCUGUUUUGACUUUUACGUGAUCUAAUCCUACAAGCUUGCCUUUCAUUGUUCUUUUUUGUUGUUGUUUCAUGAGCUAUUAUUCAAUGCUAAUGUGACAUCUAAAAUAAUCAUGUCCUAUGCAACUGUGAUUGGAAAAAAUCCAGCCUCCGAUCCAUGACCGGAAAACCCAUCACUAGUGACCAGAACAUUGCGUGUUGGUCUGUUACGUUGGAUGUGAGUCGGACACCCAGUCUGAUGUUAAUGUUUUAAGGCACACACACAACUCAUGCUUCAAACAUCUUAAUCUUGACCGACAAUUUGCUUAGGAAUUUAUAGUUUAUAACAGACAAAUUUAGUAUCACUUGGUUCAUAAUUCUAUAGUACUUUCAUAUAGUUUUAGUUUCAUGGUCAUGAUCACAAUAAUGUUAGUUUCAUCAUUCAUAUAAUGUUAAGUAUAAAUUAAAAAUUAUAUUUGUGUUUGCACUCUAGUGUUACCUUUCUAUUUGUGCAUGUUAGAAAAAUGGAUGUAUGUUCCGUGCUUCCAACUAGUUAAAACAUUUGAGUCGGUGGUGAUGACGGUAGUGAUAGGUUAUAAUCUUCUGUGGCCUUGUCUUUGUGUGUAGAUGGAUGUGGUAGGAUGAUGUAUAUUACCAUAUGCUGGUUUGAAAUAGCCACAUUUAUUAAAGCCAAUUACAUUUUUAUGAUUAACGAAUCAACUUGUAGUGUGUAACGUAACACUCUCUCUUAUUUAAGAUCAGUUGCAACGCAUGGAUCCAUCGACACUAUGGCCAGUAAAGGUUAACAUCUGUGUUGAGCAAAGCAUGGUGGUAUACUUUAAAAAAUAGCACUACAAAAAAUUCCUAUCAAUUACAUGUUACAGCACGAAGCAAUACUAAUUUAUUCAGAGCAACUCCAAGAGUACCUCAAAAAGUUCUUCCCUAAAACUAUAUAUUGGGGCUCUUCCAAAAUUUUUUUCCUGAAAACAUAUCAACCCACAGCAGAUCACUAAUAACUAAUCCUCAAUAUUUCAAAACAUUGCCACGUCAUCAUAAUUGGGCCCAUUAUCUUCUCCACCGUGUGGUUCAGCCAUUGUUGCUCCGCCGCAGCUCUCCACUUGAUAUCUUUCUCUCUUCUCUGAGCUGCUCCCUUCUCUCCGCUCGAUCUCUCCCUCUGUUUUCCAAUCGACAAAGCAUGGCAACUGAAGCUUCUCCACUCUUCUUCCACCGAUCAAAUCCAAGCAAGCAAUCUCCUUUUCCUCACCAAUCGGCGGAGUAACAGCUCAAUAUCCACACCAUGGCCGCAGGCCCUGAACUGCUCCUUUCUUGCUUCUUCCGAACAGCACAGCACCACGCCACCACCCGAGCUCCUUCAAGCCAAGAACCAGGUGCAGCUCCUCUCCUAGGCCCCGCGCGUUGCCUCGUAGUGGUGCCUCUCGAGCACACGCAACGGCGUGCCACUGCCUUCCCCAUCCUUGCCGCGCGCGUGGAGCUGGCCUGGCACGCCGCGACCGGUGCGGCCGCAAAUGGCGUCCCCGACACCGGACAUCCACGCUGGCGGCAGCGGCGCGUCGGUUCGGCCGGCGGUGGUAGAUUCGAUGAAGUGUGCGUCGGAAAUUUUGAGGACGAGCAGUUCGGGGGAUUGGGGAAGGACUGGACUCGCGCAUAUAUGCGGGGCGACUGAGGUGUUUUUGGCGUCCGCACAUUUUUACGGGAAGGAUUGGGGAGUUGUUGGAGGUAAAUUUUUUUAUUUUUCCCCUGAAUAAGGUUUUGGGGCAAUUUUAAGGGAGCUUUUGGAGUUGCUCUUAGAGGGAAGAAUGUGAAACACAGAUAAAGCCUUUGGAGUUGCUCUCCGAGGGAAGAAUGUGAAACACAGAUAAAGCCUUGAUGGUUAUUAAUUGUUAAUACCACCACAACUAUGACUUGGAACUAUUGACCAAAUCAAAUGAGAUAUGUACAAUAAUGAUUUGAUGACGUCUGUCAAUCACAGAUAGAUUUUGAUGUACAUUAGUCAAAUGGCCGUGCAUUGCAUCAUACCCUAAAUCUAGAUGACACCGCAAGUAUAAAUUCUAUGGAAUUAAUCCAACUCAAGAAUAUAAAAUAUGUACCUUUUGAGUAUUUCAUGUAGACUUGUCAUGUAUUGAAAUCAAUUUCCAAAAAUGUGUCAUGCAAAUUUGACACUGGGCCACCAGCCAGCCCUACCACCUUCCUCAUAUAUAACCGGGACUUUCAUGCCACCUGCCAGUCACCACCUCUUUUCUAAAGUUCUCCGAUUAGCUGCCACCAUUGAUGCCAAUCUCAAUUGGAAGGCCAAAAAAUGGGCUGCAACAUGCCAACAAUAGCUAAUAUAGCUCAAAGUAAUAUUUUUCAACCAAACACAUGUUGAAGAUACAUGGAGGUGCAACGCGAGGAAAGCUAUGAAUUGGAUGAAGAAUCAUACAAAGUAAUCAGUUAUUGGAUCGGAGUCUAUCGCAACAAGAUAAUAUAGAGUAUCUAUGUGUAGACAUUAUGUCAGAAAAUGAACAAAUGCAAGAGAUAGCAUAUCAAAUUAAGAUAAACAAUUUUGACAUGAUCAGCUAUAAAUCCACUAACUUCGAUACUUCUUAUAUUUCUUUCAAAUACUUAUGCCUCUUCAAAUUAUUAGUCCAUUCAUGAGCAUGGCUUAAUGGACUAGGGUGAGAUAAUCAUACCUUCUUGAGAAACAAAAUACAGACGUGGAUGCUCAUACACAAGCACUCACACCUUGAAUAUGGACACAUGUGACAAACAAUAACUUUGCAACCUUUCAUAUUAUUGUAUAUUAUUUAUGUACUUUCCUCCAUUGAGUCAAAUAUAAACCUGGACUGUGCAUACUUAAGCUGGAACAAUAAGAAAGCACCUAAGAGAGCCAUCUCUAUUGUUUUGUAUUGCCAAGAUAAUGGUCCAUGAUGCAAAUAUCUUUCUCUUUUAUUUGCAAAUCUAUUAAGAAAACCACAAUAAUUAAAAAUCUAAGAGUUUUCUCUAUCUUUCUCUAUUCUUUGUAUGAAUAAAAACAUUUAAAAUUAUCUCCUUUAGAACAACGAAAAAUUCUUAUUCAUGUGUUUAAUAAAUAUAUGGUGGCUUUAUAUGGUAACAACUUCAAUACCCAAUCAACAUUAUUUACAAAAGGUGGGGAACAAAAUUUUCCAACCUAGUUUAGACAUUUCUGAAGAACAUCAACAAUUUAUUACCUGAUUUAACAACGUUUCAAAUGUCAAUGGCUUAUGAUAAAGUGCAUAAUUGUUGGAAUAUGUAGCCCUGGUUCAGUUUCACAUUUAAGAGGGGGUUUACGUACCUACCGGAACUAAAGACCGUUUCUGUACUGGUGACUGUCUUUGCCCAUGCAUACGUAAGGGCUAGCUUCGUCAAAACACAUAUGACAAUCCAAUUGGAUUUCAAUAGGAACACAUUCAUUCCUGUUGGAAAAUUAGGCAAUUGUAUGAUUAAAUUCCGAACUAUAUUUCUUAUAUUUCUUAUAGCAAGAAUAAAACCUAGCAUGCAAAUCUCUAACAUACUAGGUAACAGCAAGCACAACAUCAUGUUCUCAUAAAACAUGCUGAAGUAAGAUCAGAUCACGGCGUACAUACUUUGCGGGUGCAGCUGUGAUGGGAAGCGGUGCCGACGGAACGACGACGGUAUUGCGGAUGGAGUGCAGUAGACAACGCUGAAGACGACGAGCCGCCGCAACGCCGGACUUGGACGGAAGACGAGCCGUGGUGAAGACCUUGAGCAGUCACGCUGAACGCUUCCCAAAAACCUUAUUCGCCCUCUCCCGGUGCAGGAUCACAAGAGCGAGAGGUUCCGGAGACCUACUCUCCCGUUCGUCGGUGCACGCCGACACUCGGGAUGGAGUAGAUUACGGUGGCGGCGCAACAGCGAGAAGAGACAAAAACCUAACUAGUACAGACCACCUUAGGGAUACCCUAACCUGGGGGCCUUCCCGUAUAGUAGUCUAUAUUGCGCCUUUUCCAUGAGGGAGGUGGUCCAUAUAUAUAGGGAGGAAAAGUCUCAACACCCUCAUCUAUUAGUAAUAUGGGACUAAUAGAUGGUGUACCCCCUCUUUACGCUAAUGGACCUUUGAGAUUUAUUCAGAAUUAUCAUUUAUAUGGGCCAAGCCCAUAUAUCUAACAAUCCCCCACCAGAUCUCAAAUACCCAUUUAGGUGUUUUGCACAUUUCUCACUAUUGUUUGAUAUACCAGUAUUUCAGCAAGGACUGUUAAGUUGAACUCUCGCCUAGAGCUUCAAGCUACAUUCAUCCACAACUUGAACAAUGGACUAAUCCUUGAAUUGCAAGUUUUGUGCGGACAAGUUUCACUCAAAAUCGGAACUAGUACCUGGCUGCCAGUAGCCUACCCCGCGGGUGGAGCAUAUACGUCAUACUCCCUAGUCUCUUCAUGAGCUUACUAGAGAUCACCCAAAUCUCAUAAACUGCGACGUUUUACAGUCGAGCUCAUAUAGGUGUGUUCUUUCAAGAAUGCUCUGUAGGACAGCAUCUUCGCUUAACCAAGCCAACAGAAACACAUUAAGGCAUAUUGCCAUCCUGCCUUACAGCACACAUGCCUUGCAGCAUAUCUGCCUCAACAUUUGAGAGUAUUGCAUCUUCACAUAGAGAGGGUUUAAAAAAUUACUCUCCUCAGUCAACCGAUAGCUUGUUCUUCCCAGAUCCUAAUUCACGGGAUCUCUGAUCACAUAGGUUGGGUUACUACUACAGCAACUCAAACGGGUCUCAUACCCAUCUCCCUCGAUGCACCUUCUAUCACAUUCCGUGAUAGCCCUUUUGUAAAGGGAUCUGCCAGGUUUCCAUCUGUUUGAAUAUAAGUCACACUUAUUACUCCGGAGUUUCUCAGUUUCCUAACAGACUUCAACCAUCUCUUGAUAUGUCUUGAUGACUUCGCAUUAUCCUUAGCACUGUUCACUUUGACUAUCACCGUUUGAUUGUCACAGUUGAUAAGGAUUGCCGGCACUGGUUUAUCAACAACAGACAAGUCCAUCAAGAGUUCAUGCAGCCACUUUGCCUCAACAGUGGUUGUUUCCAAAGCAGUAAGCUCCACUUCCAUGGUUGACUUCGUCAAAAUGGUCUGUUUACAAGACCUCCAUGAUAUCACACCACCUCCAAGGGUAAACACAUACCCACUCGUGGCAUAUAGUUCAUCAGCGUUUGAUAACCAGUUCGAAGCACUAUAUCCCUCAAGCGCAGCAGGGUGUCCAGAAUAGUGAAUCCCAUAGCUCAUUGUACCCACCAAGUAGUGCAUAACCCUUUCAAGUGCAUGCCAAUGAUCAAUGCCUGGGUUUGACAUGAACCUGCUCAAUUUGCUCACAGCAAAGGAUAUAUCGGGUCUUGUUGCACUAGCUAAGUACAUGAGUGAACCGAUUAUCUGAGAGUAUCUCAGUUGGUCUUUCGCCAUUUUCUUGUUCUUUUUGAGUAUCAUGCUGGGAUCAUAAGGUGUUGGAGAAGACUUACUACCUAUGUAACCAAAACGGUUCAAGACCUUCUCAACAUAAUGAGAUUGUGAAAGAGUAAUCCCAUUCUCAUCCUUAAUCAGCUUGAUGUUCAGAAUAACAUCAGCUUCUCCCAGAUCUUUCAUAUCAAAAUUCAGUGAUAGAAAAGACUUGACCUCAUUGAUCACAUCAAUGUUUGUGCCAAAGAUCAGUAUGUCAUCCACAUACAAGCACAAUAUAACUCCUUCACCCCCACCAUGGCAAUAGUACACGCAUCUAUCAGCCACAUUAAUGACAAAGCCCGCAGAAGUUAAAGUUCUGUCAAACUUAUCAUGCCAUUGUUUAGGUGCUUGUUUCAGGCCAUACAACGAAUUCAACAACUUACACACCUUGUUUUCUUGACCCUUCACCGCAAACCCCUCAGGCUGAUCCAUAUAGAUCUCCUCUUCCAACUCUCCAUUUAGGAAAGCUAUCUUUACAUCCAUCUGGUGGAUGAUAAGACUAUACGAGGCAGCCAGAGAGAGUAGUGCUCGAAUAGAGGUCAGUCUAGCAACAGGUGAAUAUGUAUCAAAGAAGUCUUCACCUUCCUUUUGUGUGUAACCUUUGGCCACAAGCCUAGCCUUGUACUUGUCAAUAGUAUCAUCAGGCCUAAGCUUCUUCUUAAACACCCAUUUACAUCCCACUGGUUUGCAGCCAUAGGGUCGUUCAGUAAGCUCCCAUGUUCCAUUAGAAAGAAUCGAAUCCAUCUCACUUUGGACAGCUGCUUUCCAAUCAUCUGCAUCUGGAGAUGCAUAUGCCUCAGCAAUGGACGUGGGAGUAUCAUCCACAAGGUACACAGUGAAAUCAUCACCAAAGGAUUUUGCAACCCUUUUUCUCUUGCUCCUUCUAGGAGCUUCACUGUCAUCCUUCUCUAGGACGUCCUCAUGCUCAAACUCAUUUGGUUGUUCAGAAGACUCAACAGGUGCAGGAGUUAUUUCAGCAGAAAGUCUAGAGUUGCUAUUCAUAUCUUUAAGAGGAAAGAUAUUCUCAAAAAAUGCUGCAUCAUGAGAUUCCAUAAUAGUAUCAACAUGCAUAUCAGGGACCUCAGAUUUAACUACUAAACAUCUAUAAGCAAUGCUCCUCUAUGCAUAUCCUAGAAAGACACAAUUCACUAUCUUGGGUCCUAACUUGGGUUUCUUCGGAAUUGGUAUAUUGACUUUUGCCAAACACCCCCAAGUACGCAAAUAAGAAAGUGAUGGUUUUCUCCCGAUCCACAUCUCAUAUGAAGUUUGAUCUUUGUUCUUGUUCGGAACUCUAUUCAAGACAUGACAUAAAGUCAAUAGAGCCUCCCCCCACCAUGCCUUAGAUAAACCAGCAGUAUCUAACAUGGAAUUAACCAAGUCAGUCAGUGUGCGGUUUUUUCUCUCAGCAACCCCGUUGGACUCGGGCGAAUAGGGAGGCGUCCUCUCAUGAAUAAUGCCAUGUUCCUCAUAGAAUUCAUCAGAAACUUUUGGAAAAUACUCACCACCACGAUCAGACCUUAGACGCUUGAUUUUUCUCUCAAGUUGGUUCUCAACCUCAGCCUUAUAAAUUUAAAGUAGUCUAAUGCUUCAUCCUUAGUUUGCAACAAAUAAAUGUAGCAAAAUCUAGUCGCAUCAUCAAUCAAAGUUAUGAAAUAUCUCUUUCCACCUUUUGUCAACACACCAUUCAUCUCGUACAAAUCAAAAUGUAUGAGUUCUAGAGGUGCCGAGUGUGUCUCCUCAGCCACCUUGUGAGGCUUCUGAGGUUGUUUUGAUUGCACACAACUCUGGCACUUGGAACCUUUGGCAAUGGUGAAGUUCGGAAUUAAACACAUGCUGGAUAGCCAAGACAUUAAACCAAAAUUUAUAUGACACAAACGUGAAUGCCAAGUACUUGCACCAUCACUUACGUUGCCACAAAUAUGGUUCACUGAUUUAUUACAGAAAUCUGCAAGGGAAAAGCGGAACAAGCCUCCGCACUCAUAGCCUUUACUAAUGAAUUUUCCAUGUUUAGACAUGACUAAUUUAUUGGAUUCUAGCACUACCUUAAACCCGUCCUUGCAUAGAACCGACCCGCUCACUAAAUUCUUGUUGAUAGUAGGGGCAUGCUGCACGUUCCUUAGCCGCACGAUCUUUUUCGAAGUAAACUUUAGAUCUACCGUACCAACACCAUCAACAACAGCAUGUGACCCAUUCCCCAUCAGCACGGAGGAACCCCGGGCGACCUAGUAAGAAGAAAACAUGGAGAUGUCAGCACACACAUGAACAUUGGCACCCGUAUCAAGCCACCAACUAGUGGAAUGAAAAACUGAAAGAACAAUAGGUAAAUUACCGUACCCAUCUCCAGUGUUGCCUAUGGUCACCAUGUUGACAUCCUUGGGCCCAUUUGCCUUUUUGCCCUUGCGGUCUGCACGCUUUGGACAAUCCUUAGAGAAGUGUCCAAGCUCACCACAAGUAAAGCAACUCAUCUUAGCCUUAUUUUUCUUCUUCUUGAAGGUAGUAGUCUUGACGACUUUGUUCUUCCCUUUGUUCUUGCCACGUGGGAAUUUUUGGACCAUGUUGACGCUAGACUGACCUUGGUCUCCUAUCUCAACAGUAUCCUUCUUCCGAGCUUUCUCCUCAACAUCAAGAGACGCUAUCAGAUUUUCAACUGAUAUCUCCUGUCUCCUAUGCUUCAGAGAAGUGGCGAAGUUCCUCCAUGAAGAAGGCAACUUUGCGAUUAUGCAACCAUCCACAAACUUGUCGGGUAAUUGACACUUGAGGAGCUCAAGAUCCUUCACAAUGCACUGCACCUCAUGGUGAACAACCUUCGCAUCUGUCAUGUCUAUGUAAACAUCGACCAGACGGUCAGAUAUGUUGCUGAUGAUACAUCCCACGAAAAGGUUGUUGGCAUCAUCGAACUUUUUCUGCGCUUCAGCAGUAAGUUCGCCUUCAGGUUUGCCAAGCCUCGUGUCCCAGAUGUUCAUAGCAUUAAACCAUAGGCGAACCUUAGAUUUCCAUCUCUUAAAGUUCACACCGGUAAAUUUUUUUGGCCUCAGUGACUCAGCAAAACCAGCCAUACCAGAAUCAACAGAUUGCCUAUAAUAAGGUUUUUGGAUUGUUGGAAAAUUAGGCAAUUGUAUGAUUAAAUUCCGAACUAUAUUUCUUAUAGCAAGAAUAAAACCUAGCAUGCAAAUCUCUAACAUACUAGGUAACAGCAAGCACAACAUCAUGUUCUCAUAAAACAUGCUGAAGUAACAAAUCAAAUCACGGCGUACGUACUUUGCGGGUGCAACCGUGAUGGGAAGCGGUGGCCGACGGAACGACCACGGUGUUGCGGAUGGAGCGCAGUAGACGAUGCUGAAGACGACGAGCCGCCGCAACGCCGGACUUGGACGGAAGACGAGCCGUGGUGAAGACCUUGAGCAGUCGCGCUGAACGCUUCCCAAAAACCUUAUUCGCCCUCUUCCGGUGCAUGAUCACAAGAGCGAGAGGUUCCGGAGACCUGCUCUCCCGUUCGUCGGUGCACGCCGACACUCGGGAUGGAGUAGAUUACGGUGGCGGCGCAACAACGAGAAGAGGCAAAAACCUAACUAGUACAGACCACCUUAGGGAUACCCUAACCUGGGAGCCUUCCCGUAUAGUAGUCUAUAUUGCGUCUUUUCCAUGAGGGAGGUGGUCCAUAUAUAUAGGGAGGAAAAGCUCCAACACCCUCAUCUAUUAGCAAUAUGGGACUAAUAGAUGGUGUACCCCCUCUUUACGCUAAUGGGUCUUUGAGAUUUAUUCAGAAUUAUCAUUUAUAUGGACCAAGCCCAUAUAUCUAACAAUUCCAUUAUCUAGCUGGGACCAAAACGUAGGUGAGCUGGGACACUCAUGACAAAGCAUGGGUUAUUUGAUUUGAAGAAUCACCUCAUGCAUUUUAUACGGAGCAUUCGGUUGAUUCCAUCAAUUUUAGUUGGAUGACUCCGUCGCUAGGCAUGAGGUGGUGACAAAUAGAAAUAUGAAGAGUGAAAAGGUGAUGCAUCACCGUAUUUCUGGGGCCAAACACCCCCUAGCUUUUCGAAGUUGUUUGCCUGAAAAUGAUAUGUUCCGCUCCAAAUGAUAGUGUCACUUUGAUCGAGUCUAGGACCUGUUCUUUAGUACAUUCGAGGCAAAUGUAUCCAAUUCGAGUUUAAUUAGCUUUAGUAUAUUUUAGUACUAAUCUGACUCUUCCAUCAGGACCUCAUCUGAUAUUAAACCAUGAAUGCUUUGAAUUGGCUAAAUGUUGCUGUAAUAUGGUGGUCAUGUUGCCGCAACCAUAACGCACUCUCAUAGAUAAUUAAUUUCAAGAAAAGAGUCAGGGUAUUAAUUUAAGGUAAGUAUUGGGUGAGAAAAUGUAAAAUUACUGCAAAUUCAUUUUCACUAGGCCCAUAAAUUUUCAAAAACUAUUUUUACAUAAAUGAUGCCAUUAAGCAAGUAUUUAUAUGCACCGUUUCCUUUAGUUAACCACACAGGCCAGAAAAGCCAUCAUCAUCCAUCCACCAUUUCCCUCAGCGCCAAACACACCCACACGCCAGCCCAUGUGAGGUCAGCCCAUGUCAGCCUAAAGCUCAAGUCUCUGAUAGCUAAAGUCAGACAACUUAAACUAUGGAUGUUUCUGUUCUACUAAAAUCACUGCCGUUAACCUGCCUUCCCGGUGCUUAGCAGCGGUGAUCAUGAUGAGUGAGCCUCUACCACCACAAAAUCAGUGUUAUAUCCAUGAGAAAAAAUAUUCGAGCAAGGAGGAAAAUAUGCUCAAGCUAGAAUAAAAGUGUUCGAGCCAGAAGAAAAGAAUGUUCUAUGGAGCGAAAAAAUAUUCCAUCAAAAAAAUAAAAUGGUAAUCACAGACGGUUCCAUAAGCGGACUGCUUGUGGUAAUGUAGCACGCAAAAAAAUAAAAAAGAAAAAGAAUUCAAACACCUGCAGAGCAUGCAGUUUUUCGUGCAAAAUACGCACGCAUGCGAUCUCUAGGACAGUAGGACUUGAACCUAGGACCACUGACCUAGCAUGAACCCUCCAUACUAUCCCAUGAAAAGUUGCUGCUAAUGGCAAUAGAAUAAAUUUUCUUUCGAGAUUUGUGGAAAAUUCCCAUAAGAAACGACAUGUGAAAAAUGACAUUUUCAUAGGUGUUCACGUGAAAAUGGUCUCAUUUCCUUUAUAUUUUUAGUUAUGUUGGGUGUGGAAAUGAAAUUUGGGUCUGUCUCCUUGCCAAAUUUGAGAUUUCCUUUUCUCUCGAUCACUUCUUAAAACCAUUAGAUCUACAUCCAAGGGUCCAUAUCCAUCAUUUCUUUCCUUCUCUAUUCUUUCUAUUUCUCCCAUCGUCUUCCUCCCGACAUCUUCCUCGCGCGACGCCCCCGCCACCACCACCUCCCGCUCGGCUCCGGCAGCCUCGGCCACCUCUACCGCCCAACACUAAUCCGCUUGGCCCAUACUCCCCCGCUGCAUCCGCCGCCCACCGGGGAUCCCCUACUGCCCGGCUCCGGUGGCGCCCACGCUGACUCCGCUCCACCGCCAUCUCUCCCACCUCCAUUGCCGGCCAACGAGCCUCCCCGGAGCUCCCUCUAGACCCAAAGGCCACAGGUAAAUCCCCCACCCCUGAACCCCAAACCUUAACCUCAAAUUCCAAUAUCCAAUUCAAUUUCUAGUAUAAGGUUGGGUGAUUGAGAGCUUAGCUAAAAAUCAAGCAUUUGAGGAGUAGCAAAUCUGAUGAAAUUUUGGGAGGGAUAUACCAUGUCCAUCCCCAUCUCUUAUAAAUUUGUAAACAUCUCCUUAUAAACCUAGUGAGAAUGUUAAAAACAAUCAUAAAAUCACAUAUAAUUAAUAACUUAAGCAUACCAUUUUUCCACUUGAAUGCAUUUUUUGUUCCAUAUAAACAAAUUUUUGUUCCAGUUAAAAAGACAAAGCUGAGGAAGGGGUAGAAUUUUUGUGCCUGUUUCCAAAUGUGUAGAUGUUUCCAAAAGACAAAGAUGUUUCCUAAUAUAUCUACCGUGCGCGUGCCUGUUCCAGUUAAUAUAUCUUCCCGGUAUAUAUAUUAGGAAACAUCUACACAUUUGGAAUAGGCACGCGCACGGUGGCCUGCAGCCACAGAUCGCUCUUCCUCCUCGCCGUGAUCCCAAGCCCCUCGGCCAUGUCCAGCUCCUCCGGCGCAGCGCCUCCGGGGAGCUCCCAGUCGAAGUGGAAGAGGAGGCUGGCGAGGCCGAGCUCCAUGACGGCGAGUCCAAGCGCUAUGCCCGGGCAGAUCCUCCGGCCCGCGCCGAACGGCACGAAUUCGAAGUCCGUGCCCCUGAAGUCCACCCCCGCCCUGGCGCCGCCGUCCUCGAACCUCUCUGGCCGGAACUCCUCGGCGUCGGGGCCCCAGCUCGCGGCGUCCCUGCCGAUCGCCCACGCGUUGACCAGCACCAUGGCGCCCCCGGGCACGUCGUAGCCGAGGACGCCGCGCGUCUCCUCCUGGCACUCCCUCGGGAGGAGCAGCGGCACCGCGGCGUGCAGGCGCAGCGUCUCCUUCAGGACGAGCUGCAGGUAGCGCAGCUCCGGCAGCGCGUCCUCCGACACGCGGCGCUCCCCGGCGAGCACGCGGCGCACCUCGGCCUGCGCCUUGCGCAGCGCCGCCGGGUGACGCAUCAGCUCUGCCAUGGCCCACUGCAGAGUCGUCGCCGUCGUCUCGCUCCCCGCACCGAAAAGAUCCUUCGCGGCAUCCGAAAGAUACAAUCUUGUCAAUUUCGUCAGGUGUCGAACACACAGCAGAAUGGAACAUAGUUUCGUCAAGUGGCGACUUGGGGAGCUUACGAUGAUCACGGCGCGUAUGGUGCCAAUGUCGAGGGGAACCUGCAGGCCGCCGUCCUUCUGGAUCCUGAGGAGCACGUCGAGGAGGUCUUCCUCCUCGUUGCCGGCGCCGGCCGCCCUCCUCUUCCUGUGCUCUUCGAUGACGCCGUCCAUGAGCCGGGUCAUCUCGCGGUGGUGCGCCCGCGCGCGGCGCGCCGCCCCGCUGAACGCGCGCGCGAGCCGUGAUGACGGGAACACGUCGGCGAGGCUGAACCCGGCGGCCACCUUGACGCCCUCGUCCAGCUUCUCCAUGAACGCAUCCCGGUCCCUGAUCCGGUCGCCCACCACGGCACGCACGAUCGCAUCCGUGACGUACGUGGCGAUGAGGGCGCUGACGUUCACGGGCUUGGGCGGCGCCGGCGCUGACGACAGCGAUGCGACGACGGACACGACGAGGUUGGCGGCCUCAGCCUCGCGCCCGCGGCGGAGAGAUCUGACCCGCCGCGCGCUGAGCAGCUCGGUGACACAGAGCUUGCGGAGCUGGCGCCAGUGCUCGCCAUGCGGCGCGAACGCGACGCCGAGCCCAUCGCGGGUGAGCUCCCGGAGGGUGGCGGUCCGGGGCCGCGUCGCGAACGCGGCGUCGUGGGUCCUCAUGACCUCUCGCGCGGCGCCGGGCGAGGACGCCACGACGACGGGGAGCUCGCCCAGGCGGAGCAGCAUGAGCGGGCCGUGCCGCCGGGCCAGGUCACGCAUGGCGCGGUGCGGGAGCGCGCCCACGAGGUGGUGCAGGCUGCCGGUCACCGGCAGCCGCCAUGGCCCAGGAGGCAGGUUCUUGCCGCGGUUGCAUCGCCGGAGCUUGACAGCGAGGAGAGGCAGCAGCAAGAUCACGAUCAAGGAGAUGUAAUGGUAGGAGGAUUGGAGUUCUUGGUCCAUGAUUGCGGUUGCAUCUCUGCUUGUUCCUCAAGGUUAUUGUAAUAGUACUAGUACACUAGUUCUCACGAAAAAACGAAAAAAAAAUCAAGUGCAGUGCUGUGGUUGGCAAAAUAAAACGUUCUAUGAGUUGAAAUGCGGUGUGGACUGGCAUUUUUUAGGCGAUCAGAUGGAUGGCGAGCGAAUUAUAGUAUGGAGAUUUGUGUUCAGAUCUAGAAGCAGUGAAUGGUCGAAGUCCAUGGAGAUGAGUAGAUGACAGAACAACGCCGAAUGAAAAUACAUAUUGUUUAUUAUGCGAUGAUCCCUGCAAGAUGAUUACAAGGAGUGUGCAAGUAUAGAGAAUUAGCCACGUCCUCAAAUCCCUAAAUAAAAACAUUUUGAUCAUCUUUUCUCAGUAUAGGGAGCUUGAUGGAGACAAUCACAAUUCAGUAUUAUAAUUUAUAACAAAAUGGUACAUGAAUUUUUCUACUCACUCAGAUUAUGCUCACUUAUAUAACUAGAGCAACUAUGACGAUUUACACAGAAUCCUAAAAAACACCUAUCCCAAAAACCAUGAACCAUGUCUUUUAUUUCAUUAUCUUUCUCUUGGUCUGAAUAAGUUUUUCCUCUCAGUUUCAGGACCUUCUGGAAUCAGGCCCAAGCUUGACCCAUAAAUUUCUGCAGCAGUAUUCUCCAUUCUCCAACAACAUGUAGGUUAGAAUAUGUCUGGAUUGCGAUGCCUGUAGGUGUUGCUGCAUUGUUUCGCUUGCUGAAGAUGAAAUGACAAGGCGUAGUUCUUCUCCUGGAUAGUACAGAAGAGAUUGUUAGUAGAGAAUGAAAGUUAAGAUUUAUCAUAGCAAAUAUUUCACAAAACCUACCUCUAAUGCCUUUAUUUGCUUCUGGUACUUCUCGAUAAUAUGGUUGAAUUGAGACCGCUCCUGCACCAUCUCCUGAUACUCCUUGAGCCGAUUGUGCUGUAUGAGGAAUGCCCGCUUCAGAACACCGUUCUGGUGAAGCAGGGCUCCCAGCAUCUGCUUCACUAUCUUGUGCUCCUGGAUUCACAACACUAAUUCAGGUGAGCCUGGAAGCAUGGAACCAAGUUUCAGAAUUAAGCCAUGAUAUUUAACUUUAGAUAAUACCUUGUGCACUUUGCCCUGUUCAUCUGGACUAACCCUAGCAGCAGAUUUUUCCAACAGUUUGAGUAUCUUGAGGGAGCGAUUCUUGGCGUCAACCAAAUCUGAAGCAGAGGACAUCUCCUUGACAAUAAGCUCUGCCCAUUCAGAGCCAUUGGUGGGAAUUGCCACUGGCAGAUCAACUGCAAUAGGCAUUCAUGAGGUAAGGUUUAAGCUAACUGAUUUAAAUGAUUAAGAUAACACUUUGUUGGCAUGGAAAUAAAUGUAGCUAAGAAAUUGGCAUCAGUGAGAACUGUUGAUUUUCCUAACUGUGACGAGUCUAAUGAUUGCAUGGUAAAUUGAAACAUAUGCAUAUGUUGCAUACUUUCAGAAAGGACGCCAUCGUCUGCGCCGUCGUUGGAUGUAGCAUAUGUUAUGGAAGAAGUAGAUUCUGAGCUUCUAUCUACCAGGUAAUCUUUGUAUGCUCUAAUUGCAGCUUCCAAAACAUUUCCUGACGCUUGUAAAUGUUCUUCAAGAAUCUGUAAAUUCAAGGAAAAAAGACAUUAAUUAGGUGCCCAGUUCCUAAUCAGUACCAAUUUGCAUGUUACAUAAAACCAAACAUGACUGAACAUAUUCAUUGGUACCAACUGGUCAGAACUCAGGACCUACGCUUGACCGGUUUAUGUUGGUUGGAUGGAUUGAAAUCCGAAUUUUGCAGUCAAGUUUUAUCAGCUAUUAAGGAUCUCACAAAUUCACAAUAAUCGCAGCACGCGCAAAGUCACUGUCGCUCGCUUGCCCUCUGCACUAUCGACGUGUUCUGUGACUGUUCGUCGUGGUUGAUUAGGACUAAUCCACGUAUCAAACCAGAGCACCAACACGAGAGAAGCAGAGCGCGAGCCAAAUUAACGUUGCUCGAUGCCACGUACGUUGACGUACCUGCGGAUCGGCGCCGGGGAAGAUGAGCUGGAGCGCGGUGACCGGAUCGAACUCCAGCGGGAAGCUGAGGCCUAGGUCGGCGGCGACGGCCGACAUCGAGCACCGGCCGCCGCGCUUUGCCAGGCGAGGCAGGUCGAAGGGGUCGUCGAGGAGGAACUCCGUGCCGCGCUUCCGGGUUGCCACGACGGUCGGCCCCAUGAGGAGGAUGGUAAGGGUGGUAGGGUUCCGGCCGUGGUGCUCGCCGUGAGCUUGGUGGAUUCUUGGAGCGGAGGUAGAAGAGAGCAGAGGCGGCGGGACUGUGCGGCGGGUUUCUGGGUCGCGCGUGGCGUGCACCGUGGAUAUAUAUAUCGGUCGGCGGCGGUUGGGUCGGGCGAAGGCGAAGCCUUGGAGGACACGGCCGGGUUACCGCGUGAUGGGACACCGACUCGAUCGCGACCGUCCCCAAUAUAGACCGGGUCCCAGCUCGGACUUGCACAGGGAAAUCGGACUCAUCCUCGUGCACAUCUUCGGCGGUUCUUCUCUUUCCCAAAAGACGGCUAGUAUUCGAAAGAAUUUGCUCAGCAGUCCUUUAAUAAUUUUUUCUUUCCUUAAUGAUUUUUGUUUCGUCCUAAUGAUUAGCACUAAUUCCUCUAAAUGGAGGGGUUGUGGCACCUGAAAAAUAUCGUGCGUCUUAUUUUUUUAUAUGUUGAAUUCUACCGCCUGCGUUGCCACUCCUUGUCCUGCCAGUAGCCGUCCCCUUCUAUCCGUGCAAGAGGCUCUUCAUGUAGGUUGUUGGUACCGUCGUAGCUCCAUCUGAGGAGGGAGCGAGGGACCCUCGCUAGGGAUGAAAGCGGUCGGGAAAACACUCUAAGUACUUUCGUUACUGUAUUUUUUUCGGGAACAAGAACAGGAGCAGGGAUGUUAGUUGGGAAAGCGAAAUCAGUUACACAGGAUGUCAGAAAUGAAACUAUUUGAUUGGAAACAUGUUGAUAACGGGCUGAAACCGGUAAUUCAAAUCGGGAAGAUCAGCACCAAUGCGCAGAGAAGCUAUAAAGGAAGCACCAUGAAUUUUCCUAUCAUGUUUUCAUCCCUAGCCCUCGCUGCCAAGCUAUUGCCAAAGGUUGGCUGGGCGCCAUCACUGCCCUUGUGCCUACUUACAGUGCCUAGCCGUGUUCGUUUAAUCAUCCGUUUAGCCAGUUUAAUGACCGUGUAAACAAUUUAAUUGUCAUUUAGUUCGAAUAAAGAGCUAAAUGGUAGAUGACCGACGGUUUAACGUUUAGCGUUUCAGAUAACAUUGCUUACAUCAGUUCUGUGCGUGCUCGAGGUACUUAGGGGGAUAUGAUGCCGUUAUGGCCUAGUUUAUUUUCAUGGUCUAUGUCUUGUUACUGAUAAUAUUCAAGCUUGUAAACAUCAUUCUGUCCCUCUUUUUAACAUGAAAGAUAAAAAAACAAGUACCUUCUUUGUGCAUCCUUAAACCUCUUAAAUAAACUUUUAGCACAAAAAACUUAUGGGUGUUUGUUAGAUCUUCAAAACGGAUGAAGAUAUCUGUAUUAUCCUAUUUAUAUAGGGCAAUUGUAUGCAAGUAUAGAUAUAUUCAAAUCCAAUUUCCCAAUUAUGGAUAUUGAUAGUAUCUAUAUUCAAAUAUGUAGAAAUAUUUCUCUAGAAUAUAAAUGGGAGUAACGAAGUUCUAGAUAUUUUCUCUUGUUCUUUCACUCUGUUUAUAUGCUAUCUAUUAUUUUAUAGUUGGGUAUUGUACUACAUAAACUGUAGGGAUAAAUCUGGCUAUUUAAUUUCACGAUCUAAAAUCAUCUUAAAACCUUGGUAUUGUAGCAAAAGUGGCUCACUACCACGUGACAGACGACAAUCCACUUAAAAUGAGAUUCCCUAUGUUGAAUCUAUGUCAUCAUGGUGUCAAAUAAAUUUGUUAUUUCAAAAUUUAUUUUUAGAGUGGUAGAAUAUUGACAUACAAACAGAAUCCAAUAUAUGUGGGUAUGGAUCCGAAUUCAAACAAUUCAAUUGAUAUUCACAUUUGAUUUGUACCAUAUUUGUGUAAAAACAUAGUUAGCAACAUGGAAAGCGGACUAUUUGAUUCGAAUAAAUCAACAGUAUUUAUCGUAAACGUCUUUAGAUGGCUAGCUAUAUUUACAUAAUUUACCAUUGAAUUGACAAUAUUUUCUGACCACACAUUGUGUUAGUCAACAUCAUGACAAUUUAGUUAGCGGAUGCAACCACUCCCCUCCCGACUUUUCCAUUUUAGUGAUUUUUCCUUUUGAUAACUUUUCAGUUUUAGAAACUUUUCAGAUAAAUUUCUAAAAAAACUUCGGUAACGCUAAGCUGAAGACGUCGGGACGCUUCAGGAAAUAUCGGACGUGGUCCCACCUCUUGAUUAUAUAAAAAAGAAAUUCAUCUUAUCCUCUCACCCAUCUACUCCCACAUCACUGUUCAUUCUUCUCUCCACCUAUCUCUCUUCCGUGCGUGCGUCUGGUGUCUCCACUGAUAUUCCUCCCCCAAAUCAAGUGACCAGUGCGCGAUGGAUGAGACAGAGGGCAACGAGGUGGUGGAAGGGGAUGAGGUAGCGGAGGGUGGCAGCUUGGACGGAGAUGUCGAUGCCCGUGCUGGGCGGCGGUGGGGAUGGAGAUGCUGAUGGCUGUGCUCGGCGGUGGCGGGGACGGAGAUGCCGACAUCCGUGCUGGCAGCGGUGGCGAAGAAGAUCGCUAUUGGUGCGAUGCCGCGCUCCCCUUUCCCUGACACAGGGACCUCCCAUGUGCUCCCUCCCUCCAUCCUUCUUCAUCAGGAACAAAUCGCGGGGGAGCCGAAGUUAGCUCCGGGCAAAUUCCAUCUUCCACAUGUUGCAUGUCCAGUUCCCCAUGACUGGGUAAGGCGUUAUUAGUGAUGUUGCAAUAACUAAAUCAUGAUGCUCUGCUUAUUGUUUCUCCAUGUUGCAACAUGAGAUGUUUGGAUGUUACAAUAUUUGAGAUUUUUGGAUGUUGUAAUUGAUGAUUCUCGUGUUGCAGCAACUGAUGGCCAUAGGAGCCUAGAUCUGAAGAUAGCCUUCCCGACUGACAUGUUUGUAACGACCCUGGUCAAAUCUUUCAAGUUAAUCUUAAUCCGAGUCCCUAAUCCCGCUGACUCAGCUCCCCGAGCUUAAGUGCUCAACCUCCAGUUCCGGUCCCGUCCCCUGAGAACUCGACCCCUUUCCGCCGGUUCCCAGCUCCGACCCCUGAAGACCUCCAACCCACCCCGCCGGAUCCUUCAAAGUCUCACCAACAAUGUCUCCUUUCAAUCUGGAGCAGAGGAUAAACCGAGACUGACCAGUGGACCCGCAAAUCUUUUCCCCGAUCUCCCAGUGCAGACGCACUCGAGUAGCAUGCCCGCUCCAGAGCUUCUCCGCCGCGUGGCUCAACUCCUCCGACCCCCGUCGCUCCGCCCAGUCGCCGGCCGCGACCGGACCCCAGCCGUGACAGUUCCUUUUCCGCCUUGCCAGAGGUGUGCCCGGCAAACCGCUGCUUCGCGCUCGCCCGCGCAGCCGCAGCCCGCUUGUCUUUUCACCUGUGCAACCUCGCUUAUAGCGUCGUUCCCCCUGUCACACCCAUCAGAUCCGCCGCUCGACGACGCCCGCCUCCGCCAAACCGCAACCACCGGCAAAACCGCGCCUGCGCCGCCUUGUCUCCAGUGCCCAAUGGCCGAAGACGCUAUCUCCGAAGUCCUGUUCCGCCGCCCAUCGCCGCUCAAUCGCCGCCAUGGCAGCACACUCCAUCUUCUUUCUUCCCGGUCUUCGUGCUGCUCCAACUCUCUCUCUCUUCCACGUAGCUAUAAAAGGGAAUGCCGGAGUCCCACCGGAGUUCCUUCGCCUUUGCUGUUUCACCGCCCUUACUCUGAGCACACUUGAGAAAAUCCCGCUGAACCUCUUGAGAGUUCCCCUUCUCCGCUCAACACCCUCACCUCCCAAUCCACCCAGCCGCCUGCUCCUCCGCGCAGUGCUAGAGCUUCCUUGCUGCUCACAAGAAGCUCCACCGCCGCCGGAGCACCGCCGGACAUCGCCGCUGCCCAAGUCUUAGUGCUUCAGUCCUUCCACCCGAGUCUACUCCUUCCCGACCCCAAAGCUUCACCUAUAAACCGAAGGUAAGCUGCCGACCCCUUUUCCGUCUCGCCCGACCCUAUCUGUCCGCCCGACCCCUUCUCCGUCUCGCCCGACCCUGUCUGUUUCACCGACCCUUUUCCGCCUCGCCCGAGGACUCGGCUGUAUCCUUUUUCCUUGACCCGAGGGUAUAUGUGUAAAAAUUGGGGAAUUCUCUGCGCUAAGUCUGAGGAUCCCCAGCACAGCUAUUCCUCUACUCUAGGGGUCAGAUCAUAAGUUUCUUCCAAUCUGACCCUUGGUCUUGUUCUCUAUCCACUGAAGCUGGAACCUCCACACUUUUUCCGUAGCUUUGCUACAAGUUUUUGGGCUAAAACUUGCAAGUGUUGCUGUUGAAAUAACCGUCUAAGUGCUAACUCCUGCAUUUGCAUUCGUGUAGAGUUGAAUCUCGCCGACGGUGUCUACGAACUGCAUCCGAUGCCAGAAGACGGAGCAGUAGCUGAGCCGCCGACCGCAGGAGCUGCAGCAGAACCCUCUGAAGACCAGUUCUCCUUCCCUCCGCUUGAAGGCAAGCCCCGGAGCAUGAACCCCAAAUUCCUAAACUUGCAUAUGCCUUCUUCAUCAUGUUUGUGCAUUUACGUCUAGGAGUUGUUGCAACCAUAGAUGCUUGACAUAGUUCCUUUGAUCUGAACACCAGUUUGUUGGACCGAGUAGUUGCUAUGCUUAAAUAGGAAUCGGUAAAAGUCGAGUGAUUUCCUGUCACUCGCGAGUUAUAGGAGUUGGUUGUUUCUCCUUCUACUACAACUAUAAGGACGAUGGACGGGGUAGGGUUUUGGUUAACUCAUUUGGUGGUCGGCUGAUCGCCCCGUCUGUCUAUGAAAUCUGUUAAGGCCCGACAGUGGUGGUGUUCGUGAUCAAGUGUUUGAAAGUACUAACCUCAUACUCAGUAUGGGAUGGGGAAGCCUAGUACCUGAUUGAACCUAGACGUGAGCGGUCGCCCCAUUGUCCUUGGAACGGAGUUCCCCUGCGGCCGCACGUGGUGGCAAGUGUGGUCACAGAACGGUAGAGGCCGGGUCUGUGGAACCUUGCACCAAAGGAAAUGGGCCCGACACGGGUUAGGGAAUUGAUGGGGAAGGCCGACACAGGAAGCAACCCUUGGGGGUGCGCGGAUGUCGUGAGGUUAGGUUCACCAUGCAUGGUUAAAGAACUCGAAUCGAUUCGUCUGCCUCUCACAGUUUGAGACUGCUUGAUCGCUAUGCUACACCGAGUAAGAAAGGAAUCUGAUGAUGACAUGGUCUUGAUGAUGUUUUAUAUACCCUUUGGUUGGAUCUAUGUUUGCUUAGAGUAAGUUGCCAACUUAGACCGGUUAAUGAACUUAGAAUCUGAGCUAAAACUUUGAAAAUAAGGAUCUAUAUAGUGCUUCUGGCAAACAAAACCCUCAGCCAAAGAGCCUUGCAUGUCUAGAAGGGUGGAGUAGUUUUACCACCGGUCGGUUAAGUCUUGUUGAGCUUAGCAGCUCAGCCUUGUUUGUGGCUUUCUUUUCAGGUGAAGUCGCAGCUCCUGAGUCUGCUCCUGUUGGCACUUGGCCGCCCCAACUCCCUCCAGGUUGGACGGUUGAGUGGGAUCCCUCCUCGGACGGCGGGGAAUGGGAUCACUGACGUCUUGGCUGGCCUCACCAAGGACGUCCGACCCUGACGAGUAGCUUCCGCUUGUUUUAUCUUCCGUCUGUUUUCUUCAGAACUUGUAAAACUCUGAUUUUCAACCAAGUGCGUAACAACUUGUAAUCUACUGUUGGACCUGUUGUAUUCUCUGGAACCACUCACCUUCGUGUGGGUUAUGCUAAACUCGGUCCUGUCAAGUGGUUAAAUCGGAUGAAAUCCGAUGGCACCUCGAGUUAGCACGACUAAGGCAUGAUUAUCGCAUCUUAAGCGACUUAACCAUGCUUUAGUUGAGUUAAUCCGAGGUGGUUCCGCCACAAUGUUGCAAUAGGUAUCUCAUGAUGUUGUAGUAGGGAUUCUUGGAUGUUGCAAGCACCGUAGAUGUGCACGGGUGUUGCGAAUGAAUGUAUCAUCUGAUGUUGCAUGAUUGAUUCUUCAAAGAUAUUUUGAUGUUGCAAUAGUUGACUUUGAUGUUUCAUCUGUCGAUUUUUCAUGUUGCAAUAUUUCUUCCCGUAUGAGCUCAACCCCAACUCAACAUAUGAUGAUUUGUUUGGAAAUGUUGCAUGAAAUAUGUGUUCGAUGUUGCGGUGGGAAUUUUCCCUCACGAAUAUUAUGUUUACAUUGAGCUAUUUUUUUCGCAUCUUUUUCAUGUUGCAACUAUAGAUUUUCGAUGUUGCAGCUAUUUUGUUUUGAUGUUGCAACGGAAUGUCGGAUAAUUAGUGGUAUUUAUUAUGGUACUACUAUAGCCGUUAGAUUUAAAACGGAUGGUGAUGCAUGCGUCCGACGGGAGUUGCUCCGUAUCAUCUGAUGUUGCAUGAUUGAUUCUUCUGAGAUAUUUUGAUGUUGCAAUAGUUGGCUUUUGAUGUUUCAUCUGUCGAUUUUUUAUGUUGCAAUAUUUCUUCCUGUACGAGCUCAACCCCAACUCAACAUAUGAUGAUUUGUUUGGAAAUGUUGCAUGAAAUAUGUGUUCGAUGUUGCGGUGGGAAUUUUCCCUCACGAAUAUUAUGUUUACAUUGAGCUAUUUUUUUCGCAUCUUUUUUAUGUUGCAACCAUAGAUUUUCGAUGUUGCAGCUAUUUUGUUUUGAUGUUGCAACGGAAUGUCGGAUAAUUAGUGGUAUUUAUUAUGGUACUACUGUAGCCGUCGGAUUUAAAACGGAUGGUGAUGUAUGCGUCCGACGGGAGUUGCUCCCGCCGGACGUCCGGGCACUAGCAAGCCCGACUAAGAACUUUAAGGAAGCUUUCUAGGGGGGAGAAUUUCCCAAUUAGUAAACUAUUUUAGGAAUGCUUUUAGAAAAAAAUCUUCAAAUAAGUUGUCAGGGUAGUUUUUUCAAAAUAAGUUUUGCAAAAAUUUCUUCAAAUAACCUUUUCACGUAGGUCCCACCCACACGAAAAAAGGAAAGUAAGUGGGAUAGCGGAUCGUAUGCUUUAAACCCAUGCUCGAAAAGCUAAUACCACGGCGCAUUGUGGCCUAAAGAAAGGGACUAAAAGGAAACCGGUUGCCCUCGCUCCUUACAUUUCCUACACACACACCACUUCUUUCUUGCCUAUCUGCCAUGAUGCACAACAUUGCCAAAACAUAUCGUCCCACUGUUUCAAUAGCUCAGAUCACUCACCUCUCUCUACUAGAACAUGGAAGCGCUUGCCAUGUCGAAGAGGAUGGGCGGGGCCAUGACUGCUUGAAGGAAGUCGACAGUGCAACACCGACCCAUAUUGAGGAGGAUCCUUUACUUGUUGCUCUAGACUACAAAAGAGUGGUUGUGCACAAGCCACAUCAAGCAACACUGUUAGAGAAGACUACAAAAGAGUGGUUGUGCACAAGCCACAUCAAGCAACGCUGUUAGAGAAGAAGGUUAACUUCAACCUUUAAUUUGUUCAAAUUUUCCUUCUCAUUAGAAAUUUCCAUCUUGAGUUAGAUUUUUAGUAGAUUUUCUUCAAUCAUUUUUUAAAAUGAAUGGUGGAAGAGGAAUGGGGAAAGGACGAAGGAAUAAGGAGUCAUUUCCUUGUCUCUUUAAAAAAAUUGCUAGGAAGUGCGUAAUAGGAUCUCGUUUAGUGCAACUUUCUGCAUUUCCCAGAUUAGACACGCAUCAUGACUAUUGGUUUUCCUCCUCUUGCCACUGGGGAACCAAAUUGUCUUGCAUUAGAUUCUGUUCAAAAUGUAUUUGUCCAUUACUGUUUCUCACUAAUUUCCUCAGUUUGAUUUGAUUUGCAUUGCUAUUACAAGCCAAUGGACACAAUAAUCUUGUUGUGGAUUAGACCCUGUAAUGCAAUGAUGUUGUGUAUGUAUUGAAAAGAUAUUCCUCCAUUAAUUGUGACACACAAAAUGAAUAUUUUAGAUUAUGAGAAAUAUACACUAAUAGAUAUAAGGUAUAGAUAUAGAUGUAGAUGUAGAUGUAGAUGUAGAUGUAGAUGUAGAUAUAGAUAUAGAUAUGAACAGAUAGAGUACGUGUCUAUAACAUGCUAUACUCGUAGUUCUUUUUGGUCUGCAGCAGCACAAGCUAAUUUCCAUUUAAAAAUAUGGAACUAUCUGUUUAUCUAUUGCAUAUUUCAUGAAGUGAAAUAUAUCUCUUUUAAAAAUCUAACAGUUUGGAUUCCCCUCAAUAGUAGAAACGUGAAAUAAUAAAGUUGGAACAUUUUAUUUGUCUACUUGGAACAUUUUAUUUCACCGUGGGAACGUUCUUAAUUAGACUAGAACAUCGCAAAUAUGACAGAUUUCUGCUAGAAAAUCUAUAACCCCUUUGAUUUUUAUGAACAUUUUAUUUCUCUACCUAUAACAUUUAUUUCACUGCUGGAUUUUUUAGGUUGGAACUUUGCGAAUCUUACAGAUUUUUGCCAAAAAAAAAUCUAUUGACAGUUGUAUAUCAUUUCUCAAAUAUAUAUCAUAUAGAUAUAUAGAGAUACAUAUAAGUCUCUUCCUCGUAUAACUGACUUUCCGACAGCAAUGCGCAAAGCGUGCAAAGAAGCACGCAAACACACUUACACAGACUGACACACGUGCCCUAUAAGUACUUCCAGUCACUCGCCACUGGAUCGACCCAUGCCAAAGACAUGGCGCUUCCGGUGGUAUAUCUCUUACUCCUCCCUCUCCUGGCCAUCGUUCCACUCGUCUUCCUCAGCCGCGCUGUGUCGCGCCGGCGAGGCGGCGCCGGCGGCAGUGCCCGGCUGCCUCCGUCGCCGUGGGCGCUCCCGGUGAUUGGCCACCUGCACCACCUCGCGGGCGCGCUCCCGCACCGCACCAUGCGCGACCUCGCCGCGCGCCACGGGCCGCUCAUGCUGCUCCGCCUCGGCGAGGUCCGCGUCGUCGUCGCCUCCUCCGCCGACGCGGCGCGCGAGGUGAUGAGGACGCGCGACCUCGACUUCGCGACGCGCUCGAUGAGCCGGACGGUCCGGCUAGCGUUCCCCAGGGGCACCGAGGGCAUCAUCUUCGCCCCCUACGGCCACGGCUGGCGGCAGAUCCGCAAGCUGUGCACCGUCGAACUGCUCAGCGCCCGCCGCGUCCAGUCCUUCAGGUCGGUCCGCGAGGAGGAGGCCGCCCGCCUCCUCCGCGCCGUGGCGGCGGCGGCGGCGCCGCCGACGCCGGCGCGGGCGGUGAACCUGAGCGAGCUGAUAACGGUGUACGCCGCCGACUCGGCGGUCCGCACCAUCAUAGGGAGCUCGUUCAAGGACAGGGAUGCGUUCCUGAAGUUGCUGGAGCGCAUGGUGAAGAUGGUCGCCAAGAUGAGCUUGCCGGACCUCUACCCGUCGUCUCGCCUCGCCAUGCUUGUCAGCCGAAUGCCGGGCCAGAUGAAGCGUCAGCGGCAGGAACUGGUGUCGUUCAUCGACAACAUCGUCCGGGAGCACGAGGAGAACAAAGCCGCUGACAACGACGGCGACAAGGAAGACUUGCUCGACGUGCUCCUGAGGAUUCAGAGGGAGGGUGAUCUCCAGGUCCCCAUCACGACUGACAACAUCAAAUCAGUGGUCGGAGUAAGCAGUACUAUAUACACGCCUGAAUCAAAAAGAGUAGCUACUAUCACCAAUGUGUUUUCCAUUAUGUACUUUACUGUACUGAUGAUGAUAAUCUGAUUAUUUGUUGCAAAGGACAUGCUCGGCACGGGCAGCGAUACGGUCGCGACAGUCCUUCAAUGGAUCAUGGCUGAGCUUAUGAGGAAUCCGAGAGUGAUGCAAAAGGUACAAGAUGAGGUCCGGUGUAUACUCGCCGGGCGCCACCAAGUAACCGAGGACAACCUACGCAAUCUGCACUAUAUGAACCUAGUCAUCAAGGAGACCCUUCGGCUACAUCCACCGGCACCCCUACUAUUUCCACGCGAUUGUAGGAGUUCAUGCCAAGUAUUAGGGUUCAGUGUGCCGAAAGACGCCAUGGUUCUCGUGAACGCGUGGGCUAUUAGUAGAGACCCCAAAUACUGGGACAUGCCCGAGGAAUUCGUUCCGGAGAGAUUUGAAGAUUCCAAGAUUGAUUUUAAGGGAACGGAUUUUGAGUACACGCCGUUUGGGGCAGGGCGUCGGAUGUGCCCGGGCAUAGCGUUCGCGUUUGUGAACAUGGAGCUCAUACUGGCUAGCCUCUUAUACCAUUUUGAUUGGGAGCUGCCGUGUGGAAUGGAGGCAGCAGAUCUGGAUAUGACGGAGGAAUUGGGAGUCACGGUUCGACGGCUCCAGGACCUCCAGCUUGUUCCUGUUGUCCGGGCGCCCUUACCAGUGGAGUAGUAGCAGUAGUACAAUGCUUUGCAUUUCUAUCUUCACUGGUGGAAAAUUGGGCUUUAGUUCCGGUUGGAGAGACGCAAAGAUAUCAAAAAUCCAACCGAGACUAAUUAUUCGGGACUAAAGGUCACAUCUUUAGUCCCAGGUCAUUCACCCGAAACUAAAGCCUACCUUUUGUCAUGCCUUGUCAUGCCUACUCGCGCCGCCGCUCCUAUAGCUCCGCCUCGACCACCACCACAUCGAGCUCCAACUCCACGGAGAAAAUCAAAUUCACAUAUGACCAUCACACAAGGAAGAACACAGAACCAAUCAGUUCUUAGAAGACCUGAUUCACAACACAUGAGUUUGAUUUGACUUAAGGAUCCACACAAUACAUGAGUUCGAAUUGAUUCACAACACGCAGAGGAUUCAUCAGCACAAUCACAAACGAAUCCUUCACCAACAAAUCAUGCACUACUGAUCACUCAUGAACAAACAUGCUGGGUCGCCUGCGCUGUGCCGGGCAUGCCGGCCGCCCUCACUGCCGAGUUUAAAGAUACCCCCGAGCUGCCCUGGCCGCUCCCGUCGCUAGGGCCGAAACUGGCUUCCCCCGCUGGGCUGCUGUGCCCCGCCGCAGGGUCGCCGCUCUCCUGCUGCUCGGUCGAGUGCCGCAGGGAGCUGUGCCCCUGCUGGUCGGACCGCACGCCGCGGGGAGCCGCGCACCCACUGGAGGUCGGGCCGCGCCAGCCACGUCGGCUGACAGGCCCCCACAGGAGGCCGUUGCGCUCCUGCCACUAGGUGACGCGCUGCGGGGAGCCGCGCCCACGCUGGUCGGACCGCACACCGCGGGGGGCUACGCCCUCACUGGAGGCCGGGCCGCGCCGGUCGCUGGGCCCCACAGGAAGCCGCGCGUCGCUCCUGCCACCCCUAGCAGGCCGGCCAUGCCCUACUGCUCUGCUUGGAAGAAAGGAGGAGGAGGAGAGAAGAUAAGGAAGAAAGGGAGAAAGGCUACUUCUAGGGCACAUACACCCGACUUGGGAACUCCUGGGAUCUGAAGAGUUGCAAGCAGAAGUCGGGCAAAACCCUCCGGGAUUACAUCCGACGAUUCUCAAGGCAAUGUAACAAGCUCCCCAACAUAGCCGACGCAGACGUAGUCGAGGCUUUCAUCUCCGGCACGACUUGCCAAUCCCUGGUGCACAAGCUCGGAUGCUCGAAGCCAUGAACCACCAAGGAGCUGCUGGAUAUCGCCACCAACCAUGCCUCAGGGGAGGAAGCUGUGCACGUGGUGUUCGAGUGCAGCAAAGGGAAGGCAAAGAGGGAGGAAGAUGAGGCCACAACCUCCCAUGGGCGCAUGAAGAAAAUGAAGAACAAGCCACAAUGGGAAAGCGAGCUUGUCGCGGUGGCAGAACGAUCGGAGAAGAAGGGUAGGAAGCCCCCAACCGACUACUUUGAGAAGAUGCUCGAGUGACCAUGCCCCAACCACGUGUUCCCAGCCAAACACCUCUACAAGGACUGCUCCCUCAUGAAGAAGUACCUGCAGGGAAACCUCAAGCUGGCAGACUCGAAGAAGAAGAAAGCUGAGGCCCCCACCCUGACAGACGGGGGGGAGGGGGAUGACUUCCCUGAGCCGGACAGGUGCCUCAUGAUAUUCGGAGGCCCAGACACCUAUGAGUCGAAGUGGCGGCAGAAGAUGUCCCAUCGGGAGGUGAACACCGUCGAAUCAGUGGUCCCAACGUACCUGAAGUGCUCAGAGUCCGCAAUCACCUUUGAUAGGUCGGACCAUCCCGAUCUCGUAUGAUGCCCAGGAAGGUUCCCACUGGUGGUAAACCCAAUCAUCGAGCCCAAGAGUCUCUCCAAUGUACUAAUGGAUGGUGGAAACGGCCUCAACAUCCUCUAUGUCGACACCCUUGAUUUGAUGAAGAUCAGUCGUGAGAGCAUCCGGCCGACUGGGGCGCCCUUCCAUGGUGUGAUCCCCGAGAGGCACGCCGUCCCACUCGGGCAGAUUGACUUGCCUAUGAUGUUUGGAGACCGGAUGAACUUCCAAACCGAAACUCUCACGUUCGAGGGGGUAGACUUCAGGGGCUUCUACCAUGCCAUCCUUGGGAGGCUGUGCUACGCAAAUUCAUGGCCAUCCCCAACUACGUUUACCUCAAGUUGAAGAUGUCCGGGUUGAAGGGCGUCAUCACCGUCGGGCCAAGCUUCGCACACGCACAACAGUGCGACCAAGAUAGCUUCCAACUCGCCUCCAAGAUCGUCGCGAAAGCAGAACUAGCGGAGAUCAAGAAAAACCUCAUCCCGACUGUGUUGGCUUUCCAAUAGGCCAAGGAGACCAAGAAAGUUGAGAUCGACAGCAACAACCCAACCAAGAAGGCACACAUCGGGUUGACCCUCUCCGGCAAAUAGGAAGAUGCGCUCGUCGACUUCCUAUGCUGCAAUCGGGAUGUCUUCGCGUGACAACCAUCCGACAUGCCAGGAAUUCUGAUGGAAGUCGCCGAGCACCACCUCCGCAUAAAGUCGAACACGAAGCCGACCAAGCAGCGCCUGCGGCGCUUCAACGAGGAAAGGCGAAAGGCAAUCGGUGAGGAGAUCGUGAAGCUGUGGGCGGCAGGCUUCAUCAUGAAAGUGUACUAUCUGGAUUGGCUCGCCAAUCCUGUGCUUGUAAUAAAGAAGAAUAGGAAAUGGAGGAUGUGUGUUGACUAUACUAGCCUGAAGAAGGCUUGUCCCAAAGAUCCCUUCCUGUUACCACGAAUCGACCAAGUGAUCGAUUCAACCGCAGGAUGCGUAUUCUUGUGUUUUCUCGACGCCUACUCCGGCUACCACCAAAUAUCAAUGUAUGAGCCCGACCAGCUCACCACAUCGUUCAUCACACCAUUCGGCUCAUACUGCUAUGUAACAAUGCUAAUCGGACUUAAAAAUGUGGUCGCAACCUACCAGCGAUGCAUGUAACAAUGCUUUCGAGAUCAGAUAGGGAAAAAUCUGGAGGCAUACGUCGAUGACAUCAUGGUAAAAUCAAAAAGGGCAUGCGACCUUGAAGCCACCUUUGCUAAUCUAUGAAAGAAUAGCAUUAAGCUGAACCUCGAAAAAUGUGUGCUCGAAGUCCCAAAGGGGAAGCUCCUUGGUUUCAUGGUUUCCAAACGCGGCAUAGAGGUCAACAUGGAAAAGAUCUCCACGAUCCAGAACAUGGGUCCGAUCACUAGCAUUAAAGGAGUGCAGAGGCUCACAGGUUGCCUUGCCUACCUAAGCAGGUUCAUCUCACGGCUAGGAGAACGUAGCAUGCCGCUAUACAAGUUGCUCAAGAAGUCCAACCAGCUCUGUUGGACCAAAGAAGCCCAGGCAGCCCCUGACAAGAUAAAGGCCUUCCUAACCAUGCCGCUGGUGCUGGUCUCCCCGAUGGCAGGUGAACCCAUCCUGUUGUACAUCACCGUGAUGAUGCAAGUCGUAAGCGUCGAGUUGGUAGUGGAACAGGAGGAGCCCGACCACACGCUAGCCGUGCAGUGCCUGGUCUAUUUCGUCAGUGAUGUCUUCUCCGACUCCAAAACCUAAUAUCCACAGAUCCAGAAGCUCUUGUAUGCCGUGCUCAUAGCGAAAUGGAAAUUGUGACACUACUUCAAAUCCCACCCGAUAUCGGUAGUGUCCAGCAUGCCCCUCAGCGAGUUCGUGCACAAUUAGGAUGUGACUAGGUGAAUUGCGAAAUGGGUGAUCAAACUCAUGGGAUGCGAAAUCUCGUACAUUUCUCGAACCGCAAUCAAGUCACAAGUCCUGGCCGACUUUGUCACCGAAUGGAUCGAGGUUCAGAUCCCGACUGAUCCCCGGGUGCACAAGUGCUAGACCAUGUACUUCAAUGGGUCGGUCUUGAAGGAGGGUGUGGGGGCGGGAGUGGUUCUAAUCUCACUGCACAGAAACAUGCUCUGAUACACGGUCAGACUACAUUUCAAAGCCUCAAAGAACAUCACGAAAUACGAGGGGCUAGUCAACGGACUACGAAUCGCCUCCGGGCUAAGUGUGCAACAACUCUACAUACUAGGCGAUUCCAAGUUAGUCGUUGAUCAAGUCAUGAAAGACCUGCCUGCCAGAACCCAAAGAUGGAGGCCUACUGCCAGGAGGUCAGAAAAUUGGAGGACAAAUUUGAGGGGCUCGAGCUCCACCACAUCCUCCAAAAAGAUAAUCAGGAAGCGGAUGACCUGGCUAAAUUCACGUCAAGCAGAGGACUCGCCCCUGAUGGCAUUUUUGUCAACGACCUCCACGAACCAUCCUUCCGACUCAAACCAGUGGAUGAAGCUUGCCGAGGCCCUGGAGGACAAGAUGCGAGAGCUCGCCACACCCUCAGCUAACAAUGAUAGCUGACCCACCAUGACCGAAGCCAUGCUCAUAGCAGGAGAAGCUAAGCCUGGGGAGCCCGACUGUAGAACCCCUUUUCUCGACUACCUAUUAUAGGAUUUACUCCCUUCCAACAAAACGGAAGCGAGACGCCUCUCCCAACGAGCAAAGACCUUCGUGGUAAUCGGGGACGAACUCUACAAGUGAAGCCUGAGCGGAUCCGCAUGCUUUGCAUCCCCCGCGCACAGGGCAGGUAGAUCCUUCAUGACACCCACACCGGGGUUUGCGGACACCACGCAACCCCAAGAACACUCAUGGGCAAAGCCUUUCGACAAGGCUUCUACUGGCCGACCGCUGUGGCCGACGCCAAACACCUAGUGCAUACGUGCUAGGGAUGCCAGUUCUAUGCAAGACAAACACAUCUCCCAGCACAAGAGCUACAGACGAUCCCCAUCACGUGUCCCUUCGCGGUCUAGGGGCUUGACAUGAUAGGACCCCUCAAGAAAGCGCCUAGGGGCUACGACCACCUUUUGGUCGCGGUCGACAAAUUCACCAAAUGGGUAGAAGCUAAGCCAAUAACGUCACUCAAGUUGGAGCAAGCAGUCGAGUUCAUGUUGGAUAUCGUCCAUCAUUUCGAGGUACCCAACUGCAUCAUCACCAACAACGGCAGCAACUUCACCAGGAAAAUGUUCCUGGAGUUUUGUGAUAGUUAUGGCAUUCGAAUCGACUGGGUGUCCGUAGCCCACCCGCGAACCAAUGGCCAAGUAGAGCGGUCCAAUGGCAUGAUCCUACAAGGCCUCAAGCCUCAUAUCUACGACAAACUCAAGAAAUUCGUUGGGUGAUGGGUGGCCGAGCUCCCCUCUGUGCUCUGAAGUUUGAGAACGAUGCCCAAUAGGUCGACGGGCUUCACUCCCUUCUUCAUGACCUAUGGUGCCGAGGCAGUGCUCUUGACUAAGCUAGAUUACGGCUUGCCAAGGGUCCAUGCAAUCGGAGCAAGCAUGGCAAGAUGACAUCGACAUGCUAGACGAAGCCCAAGACGUCGCCCUAAUCUGGUCAGCAAAAUACCAAUAAAACCUGCGACGAUACCACAACAGAUGCAUCAAAGCACGCUCCUUCAACGUCGGCGACCUCAUCCUCUGAAGGGUGUAAUCCUCUAAGAACAAGCACAAACUAUCGCCGCCUUGGGAAGGGCCGUUCGUCAUCGCGGAGGUGCUAUGGCCAAGUGCGUAUCGUCUCAAAGAUGCCGCAGGCAACAUCAUCAUCAACUCAUGGAACAUAGAGAAGCUAUGUCGUUUUCCCCGUAAAAGUGUACCUGACUUAAAGCAAGUCGUAUGAUAUGAAUAAAAGCACAUGUCAUGUCUCGACUGAGCAACCCGUGCCCAUCCACAAGUCGAUCCGCACGGGUCGCUCGGGGGCUAACCAACUUGUAAUAACUCAACCCGUUUGAAGCUUAUCACUAAACCUGGACUCGUUCUCAAGAUCGAUAAGACUAAACAGCCAAACAGCCAAAAACCACAAAUGGGACGACCCAGGUUUUCAAGGGCUGCAGCAAAAAAAGUCUUACCAACUCGAAAAGGGUAGAAACCGGAAGUACGACAGAUAAACAAAAACUACAAAAUGGGUUCACCAUACGAAGUUCACGAAAGAAGAACACACAUAAAUUGUUCAUACAGCCCACACGCAGGAAAUAACCAAACAAUAGUAGCGGCACAACUAAUUCUUUUUCACCUCCUUCCCGAGCUCGAGCUCUGGCGGGAUCCUCUCAGUCAAGGCCUGGGUGCAGGGGGUCACCUCCGACUCAAUACUCAGCAGCUCGACUUCCAGAAUAGGAGCAAACCCACCCACCAGGGCAGCCAGGUCUAGCUUGCCGUAAUAGGAAGCAGCCAUAGAGAGGGUUGUAUGAGCCCCAAGGAAGUACGCGGAGUGGAUCGCCGAUUGAACACGGUCGGGAAGACUUGAGAGGUGGCCCAGAGUGUUGCUACUUCUGCUCGGGGGCUGAAGUGCCUCGCACGCUACCAUGGCAAUGUUGUGGAACUGCUCCAACUCCCCGGUCACUACCGUAAGAUCCUCACGCGCCCGAUCUCUAUCCGCCUGUAACGUUGCCACCACCAUCUGAGAAUCUGUAGGAGAAAACAAAACACUCAGGACAAGGAUCAAUAGGGGACCCACCGUGGAGCAGCAAAGUACAAGCUACCCAUGAUAAUCUGCGGCAAUCCUAUGUUGAAGAUCCUGGUCCAAGUGCUCCUUAGCCCUUUCCACCGACACUCGGUUGGCCCGCUCGUCGUCACGCGCCUCCUCCAACACCUUCACGUGUUGCUCCAGGUGACUGCACCGGUCCUCCGCCAUGUGAGCCCUCUCCCCCGCCGCAACAACUAGCUCUGCGUAGAAGGAGAAAAACAAGGAUAAUGAGGAGAAGGCUGAGCGUGACAAGACCGACCAACCGUAAGUAAAAAGGAUAACUAACCUUGGGUGUGCUCAGCCUCAGCUAAGGUGGCGUCCCUCGCCGAUUGAAGGUUCUGGGCCUCCGACAACACCUCAUCAUGAGCCGACUGCGCCUGGAGUAGUGACGCCUACCAAUCCACGGCAACCUUCUUUGUGGUCUCCACCAGGUCGGACAUCCGCGACUCCGUGCUAGACAUGUCCUCCCAGAGUUGCCGGUUCUAGACGGACAAGCGCUCGAGCUCCUCCCACGCCGUGGCAAGCUGGGUUUCGACCUACUCGCGACGGCGACGCUCGUCCCCCGCAGCCCCCGAAGGAAGGACCAUGCAGUGGAGGAAGUCGGACUUGUCUUGAGAAUGGGAGAAUAUCCACUGAAAAGAAAACAAAGCUAAGAGAGCAACGCCAACAAGAAGCUGCCGAACAACACAAGAAAGAGGUUACCUCCUCGCGUGGAAGUAGAUCGCUCCACAAAAGGCAAAGGAUGUUCUCCAACCCCAGAUCUACCCGAGACGCGACGUGUCUCGAUUGCUCCCACUCCUGGUGCUCUGCCUCAUCGUCUAGCCGGAACACUUCCCUGUCUGGGAAUUGGCGGUCAGCCCACACGAGCGGCAUCGCAGUCGGACGGGCCGACGAUGAGCCAUUGCCGACUGCCGUCACAAUAGGGCCCAACCACGACGCCACCAAAGAUGGCUGAGCAUCCCUCGAACCAACUUCCAUCGCGGCCCAUCUCAUGGAUGGCGCCUCCUAACAAGCAAUGACAGGAGAGAAGGCAACUGCCAGCGGGAUGGUUGCGGCCAGGGAGGAAGACGUCCCGUCUGCGACACGAAGCAACGGAGAAAGUGGGAAGUCAAUAGCUUCGAUCACCAAUGGAGGAGACAGCGGCGUCUCUACGGUCGCCGAGCCCUCCAUGGGAGGAGUAGCCAGACCCCCCUCGAGCAACGGGAUCCGACGGCUCAAGGAGGCAACGCCAACGAUAGCAACGUCCAAGGAGUCCUCACUCGCCGUGACCUCAGGCUAAGGACCCGACGGCAUCACCACCUGCACCGACUGAACCAUGGCAGGGUCACCUUGUGGGACGGAGCCGUGACUACACCAGAAACUGCCGCACCCGAAGGCGCGACGGACAUGGACGGAGCUUGCGAGGAAGCAGGAGGCACAGUCGGGGUGUCGGCCGCACCCCUCUUGGAUAGUGGCUGGGCGGGACCCCUUUCAUACGCAAAACAAGAACCUGUGGCGCAAAGCUCAAAAUCCCAAUAACAACCAAGAAAAUGAGAACAGGAACAAACUUGGGCCAGAAUACACGUGGGACUCCGAGAGCUCCAGUCGGAGCAGAAUCAGGACCUUCAGGAGGAGGAGCAGUGCUAAAAGCAACACCCGCCGACGGACCCUCCACACGCGCACGCUUAGAGGCGUCAUAGUCAAUCACGAUCCCCAGCUCGUGCUUUCGAGCCGAGGCAAGGAAGCGCAGCCUGACCAGUCGGGAGCGCCAUUUUCCAUGCCCAAAAGGAUGGGACAACCACUUCAGGACAAAGGUCUCCAGUCAGGAGCAGCGCUACAAUGUUGUUCCGUACCAUACUCGGUCGUGCCUGCCCGGUCUCCGCCCGCCAUCAUAACGGUUCCAGGUGAUGUGACCGGAGGCAGGCGCUGCCUUCGGAUAUGCAUAGGGGCCGGGUUCGGUGACCGAGGCAACCGAACGGAUAGGCCCCGAAUGAAGGUUUCAACGGGAAUCGAGUGGAAAGGAAUCCGAUUGAGGGGUGGGACUCACAACAACUAGCCGGAGGGGGACGCCCGACUGAAUGAGAAAACACGACAGUGCCUCCCCAUGAGCCGUGUAUAUAAGGACGUGGGGGGGAGGGGACGAGAGAGGGGAUUCGACUCUAAGUAGAACACACACAUACAUACUGUUUGUAACCCUCUAGUACAGACUUGAGCUCCUGAGCCUAGGAAUAAAGACUCUGCAUCUUGAACUAGAUGUAGGGCAAGUUGCGUGCACCAGUAUAAACCUCCCGUGUCUCGUUAGCUAACCCAUCCGAGGAUUUAUAGGGCAAAUCUUCACUGGUUGGCGUUACUAAACGUCAACACCGCUCGUGCCAAAUAUCGAGAUGCUACUACAACCAAAUCCUAAGGCGCUGGCGUAUAAAGGGGAUAGCCCAAGUACACGAGCAGCGUAUACCUGAGUAGAUAACUUGCAAAUGAGAAGGAGAUUAUUUUUUUUUCAAAAGACAAAUCAUACCCACAUAACCACAAGGUUCAGCUAACUGGUGCAGCAGCAGGUUUGGUAAAACAUGUUGUUCCCAUGUUACAGUACAUCACAAUCUAUCUGUCUGUAUUUCUUAUGUUUUUUGCUCGGCAUGCAGCAGCAGUAGCUUGGUAGGUUUAAUUUAUUCCUGGCAAAUUCAUUUCAACUACUUAGUUAAUUGAUUCAUGCACUGUUUUUUUCUUGUUCCCUGUAGUAGCAUAGCAAUUGCAGUUUGCCUCGUGCGGUUUAAUUCAGAGUUGCAGAUCAGUGAGAAUACACUUCUACGAAUAGUCAUUUUCGUAUUAGUAUGGCAAUUGCAGUUUAAAUUGUGCAGUUCAAUUCAAUUCAGAGUUCUAGCUCAGUGAGAAUUCACUUCCUGUGAAGGGUCAUUUCCUUACCACAGUGGGCAAUCAUCAUUGCUUGUCUGGUGGCUCCUGUUCUUUUGUUUACUCUUUCAAGCUAGCCCGGUCGGAAGGUAAAACAGCAUCUAGCCCGGUCGGAAGGUAAAACAGCAUCAGUUUGGUCCCUAUUUAAUUAGUUGCAAUAGUGUUUUGUGUACUGUUAUCUAGUGCUAGGUAUGGGAUUUUUUUAAAUAUAAGGCUGGGGUUUGGUUGUGUAGGAUUCCUGUCACAUCGAAUGUUUAGAUACUAAUUAAGAGUAUUAAACAUAGACUAAUUAUAAAACCAAUUGCAUAGGUGGAGGCUAAUUUGCGAGACGAAUCUAUUAAGCCUAAUUAGUCCAUGAUUUGAUAAUGUGAUGCUACAGUAAACAUGUGCUAAUCAUGAAUUAAUUAGGCUUAAUAAUUCAUCUCGCGAAUUAGCCUCCAUCUGUGUAAUUAGUUUUAUAAUUAACUCAUAUUUAAUCCUCCUAUUAGCUUUCGAAGAUUCGAUAUGACAUGAACUCGACUUUAGCUUAAGGAUCCAAACACCCCCUAACUUUAGUUCACUAGCUAGCUGAUCAGUAGUUCAAGUAAGCUCUCAAUCCUAUCCAUAUGCUUUAUUUUAUUGCGGGUAUAUAUCCAUAUGCUUAUUGAUUAGCACUUUGCUUGACCUUCUUGUUGCAAGUUACUCUCUUCGUUCCAAAUUGUAGAUCGUUUUGACUUUUCUAGAUUCAUAGCCUCCGUUCCAAAAAUCAGAAUUCAAAAUUUCCACUAACACCCAGCCAGGUCAGUCUUCUCUCUUUAGGGUCACUUUGGUACCGUGGCUUCUCCAAAAGCUACACCACAGUUAAAAGUAGAUUUUGGCUAAUCUCAGCACCCUCACUCUCACUUGUGCUUUCACCUGCGGUGAUUUUCAACUUUUCACAAAAAUUAUCCGCCAGGCAUUGGUUAAAAUGUGUACCGGUUAGUUUUUUUUCUUUCUUUCCUAAUCUUCCCGUCGUGCAGGACCUCGUGAACUCUUCCAUGACCGGCGGCGCCCCUCCCCGGUCUCCUCCUCUCCCUACGGCACCCCUCCCCACUCCGGCCCCCUCCUCUAUUCUUGGCGGCGCCCCUCCCCGGUCCCCUCCUCCUCUCUCCCGGCGACGAGGCUAAAAACGGCCGUGGAAACUCGAUGCACGCAUGAAACUGAAGGAGAGAUGAGCAUUUGUGGGUCUUGGAGGUUCGAUUUUUAUACCUAGAUGGAGUAGGAGACAGCCGGAGGUAGGAGUUCGGACGACUGGCGGCAAUGGAGGUCGCGAGAUCCGUGAUUCCCAUCGAGGUUGAGCUCGGCUGUGCCUAGGGCUUGGUCUUGGAUGGAGAUGGGAAAGUUGUGGUGCCGUGGGUGAGAGGAAUCGGCCGGAGGUGGGGUGUGGCCUGUGAAUUUUGCCGGGGUGCGGGAGCUGCUCUAUCUGCUCUGUUUUGGGCGGGGAAGAAGAAAGGAAGAGAGAGGGAGAAGGGGAGGAGGCCGGUUGGCCACGGAGGGGGCUCGGCCAGGUAGGAGUUGGGUGCGAAGCGGAGGCAGCUUGGCCAGGCGGCGGUUCGGUGCGGAGCGACCAUGGCCGGCGUCGCAUGGACGCGGCACAGGGCUGGGCGGCGGCUCGACCAGGGUUUGGACAGGGAUGGCCCGGCGGUGUAGGAGCCUCCCACUAUCCACGCUCGACCUCCUUGUGUUCAAGGAUUCAACCUUUGCGAUUUCGAUAUACGGACUGAUUAAGGGGGUGUUUGGAUACGAGUUGCUAAACUUUAGGAGGGUCACAUUAGAUGUUCAUACGCUAAUUAGGAAGACUAAAUAUGAGCUAAUUAUAAAACUAACUGCAAACCCCUAUACUAAUUCGCGAGAUGAAUCUAUUAAGCCUAAUUAAUCCAUCAUUAGCAAAUGGUUACUGUAGCACCACAUUGUCAAAACAUGGACUAAUUAGGCUUAAGAGAUUCGUCUCGUGAAUUAGACUACAUCCGUGCAAUUAGUUUUGUAAUUAGACCGUAUUUAAUACUCCUAAUUAGUAUCCAAACAUCCGAUGUGACAGGUAGGGGGUGUUUCUUGGUUUUGAGGUGCAAUUAUUACGGUUGCCAAUUUUCAUGUUCGUGCAUGGUUCAUGUUCGUGCAUGGUUCGAUGGACGAGCAAAGUCCAUUAAGGGGGUGUUUGGCUGCCACAUGCUAAACUUUAGCACCCAUCACAUCGGAUAUUUGGAUACUAAUUAGGAGUAUUAAACAUAGUCUAAUUAUAAAACUAAUUACACAGAUAGAGUCUAAUUUGUGAGACGAAUCUAUUAAGCCUAAUUAUUCCAUGAGUUGAUAAUGUGGUGCUACAGUAACCAUUUGCUAAUGGUGGAUUAAUUAGGCUUAAUAGAUUCGUCUCGCAAAUUAGCCUAGGGAUUUUGCAAUUAGUUUUAUAAUUAGCUCAUGUUUAGUCCUUCUAAUUAACAUCCAAACAUCCGAUGUGACCCUGCUAAAGUUUAGCACCUCACAUCUAAACACCCCCUGACUAGUGAUACUGAAGGCUUAUUGUUGAUGGUGUUGCGAGCGGGGCGUGGGACAUUACAUACAAAUUAGUGAACUAACACUGUGUUUUACAAUAAGUUUGUAUCGAGAAAAGCUAGACGUCGCUCGAGUAUUUCUCAGGAUGCCAUCACUUGAUUUUUAGGUCGUACAUUCCUUUAACCUCUGUGAUGCGUCAGCGCUUCGAUCUGAAUAUAUGAUGCGGAUUGCGGUGUUUUUAUUUUUCUUUUUUGUUUUCUUUUUCUUUUAUAUCUGAAUCUGAGGCCUGUUAGGCUAAUCCCAGUGGAAGUUUCAUAGAGGUUUCAUGCACAUUAAAUACGGUGACACAUCAGCAUAUGUGAUGACAUGGCAUGAUAGUUAUGGAGUGAGAGAGGGAAGGAGUUUCAUCAGGAUGAAACUGUGUAUACACUGUUUCCAAGACUAUGAAACCUAUUGAAACUUGCAUUGGGGGCUAUAGAGUUUCAUUUCAUCUAACCAUAUCCAAUCACAUGCCUCACAAUUAAAUGUCAUGGGCAUCCUAUGAAAUCGUGAAAUGAAACUGUGCACUGGGACUUCCUGUUUCAUUCAUGAGAAUACACCUCAUGGGAUGAUGUGGCAUCCUUGGAAACAGUACAAUGAAACCUUGCACUGGGACUAGCCUUAUUCAUUCUCUAAUAAUUCACACCACGGGAGUCUGUACCUCCAUCUCUUCAUCUUCCUGGUUGAGUUCUCCAGGUAGGCGAUUGCUAGGGUUGGGCGAUUUCGAUCUUCUUUGAUUUUCCUCCUCAGAUUCUUUGCGAUUUGAAUCCAGUAGUGAGAUAAGGUUUGUAGGUGUUGGUGAAUCAUUUGUGGGGUUGUUGUGGUUGAUGAUUUCGAUCCCCAUCUCGAAAUGCUUAGUUCUUCGCUUGAUUUGAUUGUUCCAUGUCUCGUUUUUAGCUAUGUUCCUCCUUUUGAUUUGAGUUCCGUUGAUGAGAUAAGGAUUUGUGGGCUGUUCUCUCUUCCAAUGGGUGAUUUCUCUGCCCGUUUGUUGCGCUUUGGUGGUGAAUAAGUUGGUACGGAAUCUGUCUUAAUCUGGUCUGUUCUAUUGGGAUCCUUACCUUUCAAUUUGUCAGGUCUUAUACAUAUCUUUAUUCCCUUGUUUAGUAGUUGGAUUGUUCGACUAGGGUUUCAUUUUCCUCUUUUAUUUUAAAAAUCUACAUCAUCCAUUUUCGAAUGGUAUGGUUCAUGUGGAGUGAUGCGUGGUGAUUUUGUAGGAGUUCGAGAUUUUUGUUUUGUUGUUCAUUCAUAUCUGUUUUGCAAGGUGGUUUGGUUUUUUUUAUUGGACGCCUAUUGUAAUCCAUAUUGUGGGGAAUGGAAAUGCAAUUUUUACAACUAGAUGUUGAUUGCAAAUGUAGCCUGCUGCCCCGUUUUAUAUCUGACAUUCUUUGUUUUUGCAUUUGUUGAAAGUUCUAUAUAGCACUGAAAUUUUUGAAUCUCUAAAACAGGCUACCUGAAACCAUUUUUUCCACUAUUCUCACUUGACAUUUUAGAGAUUAGUUUGUUGUAGGCUAUAUAUUAAUGCUAUGUGUGACGACCGUGGUCAAAUCAUCCGAGUUGAUCUUGAUCCGAGUCCCUAAUCCCACUGACUCAGCUCCCCUGAGCUUAAGUGCUCAACCUCCAGUUCCGGUCCCGACCCCUGAGAACUCGACCCAUCCCGUCGGUCCCUUCUGAGUUCCCCAAGGCAGUGCCCCUUUUCAAUCUUGGAGCUGGGUAACAACGGAGACUAACCGUGGACCCGCAAAUCUUUUCCCCGGAUCUCCCGAUGCAGACGCACUCGAGUAGCAUGCCUGCUUCAGAGCUCCUCCGCCGCGUGGCUCAACUCCUCCGACCCCCGCCGCUCCGCCCAGUCGCCGGUCGCGACCGGAUGGAUUCCCGCGCCCUCCUCCCCAAUCGCAGUGGAAGCCCCUCUGCAACCCUUUCUGCAGCGUCUCGUCUCGCUCGCGCCCUCGCCGGCCGCGCCUUGGUGCUCCGACGCCGCUGUGGCAGAGCUUGCCGCCUGCUGCGUCCAAACUGCCUCACUGCUCGCGCCCAUCAUCACCUCACCGGAUCUCCUGCUGCAAGGCCCGAUGCCUUCUGGCUUUUCCGGCGCCUCUCCACAGUCGCGCCACUCCGGACUCACUACGCGACGAUUCCUCCAUCGCCAACCCCGACUUUGGCCAUGACAGUUCUUUUCCGCCUUGCCAGAACUGUGCCCGGCAAACCGCUGCUUCGCGCUCGCCCGCGCAGCCGUAGCCCGCCUGUCUUAUCACCUGUGCAACCUCGCUUAUAGCGCCGUUCCCCCUGUCACACCCAUCAGAUCUGCCACACGGCGACGCCCGCCUCCGCCAAACCUCAACCACCGACAAAACCGCGCCUGCGCCGCCCUGUCUCCAGUGCCCAAUGGCCGAAGGCGUCAUCUCCGAAGUCCUGUUCCGCCGCCCAUCGCCGCUCAAUCGCCGCCAUGGCAGCGCACUCCAUCUUUUUCUUCCCGGUCUUCGUGCUGCUCCAACCCUCUCUCUCCCGCGCAGCUAUGAAAGGGAAUGCCCGAGUCCUACCGGAGAUUCCCUUCGCCGUCGUUGCCUUGCCGCCUUUUCCUCUGUUUCGUGCUUCAGCGCUGCCACCUAAGUUCUUGGGGAACUCCCAUCCCCGCUCAACACCCGCACCUCCCAAUCCACCCAGCUGCCUGCUCCUCCGCGCAGUGCUAGAGCUUCCUUGCUACUCACAAGAAGCUCCGCCGCCGCCGGAGCACCGCCGGACAUCGCCGCUACCCAAGUCUUAGUGCUUCAGUCCUUCCGCCCAAGUUUGCUCCUUCCCAAUCCCAAAACUUCACCUAUAAACUGAAGGUAAGCUGCCGACCCCCUUCUCGUCUCGCCCGACCCUGUCUGUUUCGCCCGACCCCUUUUUCCGUCUCGCCCGACCCUGUCUGUUUCGCCCGACCCCUUCUCCGUCUCGCCCGACCCUGUCUGUUUCGCCGAUCCUUUUCCGCCUCGCCCGAGGACUCGGCUGUAUCCUUUUCCUUGACCCGAGGGUAUAUGUGUAAAAAAAUCGGGGACUUCUCUGCGCUAAGUCUGAGGACCUCGAACACAGUUAUCUCCUAAAGUUUAGGGGUCAGAUCAUAAGUUUACCCCAUCCGACCCUUUGAUCUUGCUCUCCACCAACUAAAGUAAUCUCUCCCCACCUUUUCUGUAGCCUUGCUACUAGUGUCCGAGCUUUAACUGCAAGUGUUGUUGAAUUAACCAUCUAAAACACUAACUCCUGCAUUGCAUUCGUGUAGAGUUGUAUCUCGCUGACGGCGUCUACGAGCUGUACCCGGCGCCCG
This 110396-nucleotide long non-coding RNA is filed under the name Setaria viridis. Its description in RNAcentral is "long non-coding RNA (SVIR_LNC004944)". The stretch from base 17567 to 17868 matches the Rfam family "Plant signal recognition particle RNA". Lineage: Eukaryota; Viridiplantae; Streptophyta; Magnoliopsida; Poales; Poaceae. The record is from RNAcentral.